RNAcentral lists this long non-coding RNA (95484 nucleotides) under Arabidopsis lyrata. Its description in RNAcentral is "long non-coding RNA (ALYR_LNC002405)". Lineage: Eukaryota; Viridiplantae; Streptophyta; Magnoliopsida; Brassicales; Brassicaceae. The record is from RNAcentral.
GGUGGGUCCAAUGGUGUGGAACGAUACUCUUGCAGCCUAUGCACAGAGCUUUGCUAACAAACGUAUCGGAGAUUGUGCUCUAACGCAUUCCUCGGGACCUUAUGGUGAGAAUAUUAUUCUCGGGAGAUAUCCGGACUCCAACCUGAGCGGACCCGUCGCGGUUGGAUAUUGGAUGGAGGAGAAACCAAAUUACAAUUAUAAACUCAAUAAGUGUGAUUUUGCGUGCCAUGACUAUACUCAGAUCGUUUGGCGCAAUUCGGUCCGGCUCGGUUGCGGUUCGGUGAGAUGUCAGAAUGAUGCGAACGUAUGGAUCAUAUGUAGCUACGAUCCUCCGGGAAAUAUCCCUGGUGAACGUCCCUAUUGAUGUUUACUAUAAUGAAUCUAAAGCAUAUAUUGAGCUAUGUGCUUUUAUGAUAUUAAUUAAACAAAGAAUAAACUAAUCAAUGAAAAUUUUAUAGUUAUUAUGAUUAAUAAUGCCUGGUUACAUGAUAACAUUUGACCUAGUAUAAACAAUUACAUUGCAAAUCAAUAAAAUAAAAUAAAAGCAAUCAUAUACGUAAUAAAUUUACGUACUCCCUAUUGACCAAUUGUAUAGUUAAGCUAAGCCAGUAUGACAACUAUAAUCACAACUCACAAGAACAUUUGAAAAAUAUCGAAACGACACCGUUUCCACAUUUUGUGAUCUUUUCGGAUUUUUUAAUAACCGGAAUCCGGUUUGAGAUUUAUUUGGAUUUUGUUAAUUUUGAUUUGUCUCUGCAAUUUCUCAAGAGCCAGAGGCUAGAAUGCCACUAAACCAGAAAAAUGAAUCACACCUGCCAUUUUAGAGUAUGUAUGCCAUCAUAGUAUGUGUUAUUUCUAUUUUGCCCUUACUGAAUAUUUUUGAUUUAAUUAAUUUUGAGAAACUAAAACUAAAAGAAAAACAAAAAAAUAAAAACAAUUUUCUCGCAUCCUCACGAGACCUCCGAUUUUCUCCUCCCACACCGGAGCGGUUCGCCCACCGAUCUCGCCGGCCGUCGUCUUCGGCGUCUCAUCCUUGCAAUCUGUUUGUUCUUCUCUCUCCUCCGCCAUUGAUGAAACUGAGAAAUUCUUUCUUAGUUCCUCAAUCUUCCGUCAUGGAUAUCAACAACAACCACCACCGCUCCGACGACGAUGACGAUUCAUUCUGUUGUUAUAAGAAGUUGGUUUGGUUCGUUGAUAUAUGCUCAGAAAUCUCUGCUUUAUUUAUACGUCAAUUGUGGAGAUGUAGCUAAUGUAUACAAGGUGUUUGAUAAAAUGCUUGAGAAAGAUUUUGUGGCUUGAAAUUUUGUGAUUAAUGGGUUUGGAGAAAACGGUAAACCAAACAAAGCUUUGACGCUUUAUACUUAAAUGGAUUCUAAGGGUAUCAAGCCUAAUUGGUUCACAGUUGUUAGCUUGUUGUCUGCUUGUGCAAAGCUUGGUGCUUUGAUAUUGGGUAAGAAGCGAUUGAGCUUUUCACUAAUAUGGAAUCAAAGGAGGAUGUAUUACUGUGUGAGAUCACGUUUGUGGGGAUCUUAUCUGUAUGUAGCCAUUGCGGGAUGGUGAAGGAAGGGUUUUAGUAUUUCAGGAGAAUGAAAGAAGAGUAUAAGAUUGAUCGUAGAAUUGACAUUUUGGUUGUAUUUUCGAUUUGCUAGUUAGAAUUAGACAAGUGAAAAAAUUUUCUACUUUUCUUCUUUCUUAGUUUACCCAGUUGGACCGAAUAAUUAGAUCUCUGUUGUACCUAAUAAUUGCAGUUGUACCAAAAUACCAUCAAAGUACAUAAACAAAAAAUCUACUUUACCAUACAUAAACAAAAGGUCAAAUUUUAUUACAUGUAAUUAUAUUUAAAUUUAUCAGUUGUACCAAAAACAACAAACUAUCCGACAAUUAUAUAAUGCAGUUGCACUGAGUAGUUCUAGUUAUACAAAAAAUUGUCUCAGUUGUACCUAAGUGAUCUAGUUGUACAAAAUACCUCACUUUCACCAUAUGAUUUUAUUAUUUACAAUCAAACAAAUCUCAGUCUUUUAGUAUCUGCUGCAACUCUUUAAUCUUCUGCUGAUUAUAGCAGAAGUUGUUGCUUCCACGUGCAGUGUACAAUCAUGAUUGUCACAAAGAAAGACUUGACUUGUGCGCUUUCUUUCUAGUUCUUGAUGAAGCUCUUCCUUGCACUUAUUCUCUAUCUUUGACAAAGCAACACUGCAAAGCCAAAACCAGCCAAUUUAAGCAGAUGAAUGAAUGAAACAAGAAGCCUAGACAAAGGUCCUAGACUAAAGGAAAAAGUGAAACCAUUCUUACUGAGUGCCUAAGAGAUUUUCACACGGAUCAAAUCCCAUCCAGAAACUAAUGUAAUCUACUUCCUCAUGUCGGAAAUCUAAACUUCAUAACCAACAGAUUCACGCUAAAAAGUUUUAUACUUACUAAACAAAUCAGAACCUAUGAAUCAUUUCCCUAGAUUAUUUUUCUUUGAUAUCCUUAAUCAAGUUUAAAGCAUUUACAACACCUAAACAAAAGAAACAAACAAAGCUUAUAGCAAACAAACGAAACAAACAAGUGUAAAAGAUGCUAACCAAUUAUACUAGAAUGCAAAAUGGACUCUAAGAGGAUGUGAUUAUCUCUUACUUUCUAAGGAUGCCGUAAAUUCAACAACUUUAACUAAACUUGAACCAAGUAAACCCAAAUUCAAAAGUUAGUGCUAAUAAUUCAUUUUUCACUGUUUUCCCCAAAUUCUUCGAACGUUUCUUGUUCUAGAAAUUAAAAUUACCUUCUAUGUACCUCAAAUCCUAUAACUAGCACUGAACCAAACUAGACCUAAAGCAAGUUUAACACUUCCACUAAAUAGCUAGAAGAAAUUCGAAUCUGAAUUAGAUAUGACAAAGAUUGAAGGAAUUGUUUUUGGAAACGGUGAUCUUACGUCCUCAAGUAAAUCUUCGUCGAGUUUAUCAGCGAUUUUGAUUGAAGUGAAGACAGUGGUGGCGACAAGAGUAGCAGGAAUUUGCGAACGUGAGCAAGUAGCUGCUCGUACUAAGCCUUACUCGGGUCACCACAGAACAGUCUCUGAUUCUCCGUCUAAGACAUAAUCCCCCGGCUACACCAUCGGGGAAAUUUUUCACCAGCGGAGAGAAUAGUGGCUGGGAAGAAGACGCAGAGAAGCUUAUUUGUGUGGGUUGCAUAGGGAAAGAGACGAAAAGUCUCGCCAUUUUUUUUUUUGUUGAUUUUGGAAACAAACGAUUGGCAAAGGCAAGUAACAUGAUCUGGAAGAAGAGGAGGAGCGGAGGAGACGAGAAGCAGCGGUGGUCGUGCGCAGAGAAGUAUACAUGGUUGUGGUGAUUUUGAGGGUAUACAUGGUUGUGGUGAUUUUACAACCAAUCAAAAUCACCACAACCAUGUAUACCUCAAAACAACCGUGUAUUUGGUUGUGGUGAUUUUGAGGGUAUACAUGGUUGUAGAGAUAGUAAAUUUGAGGUAGGAUUUGUAAUUAUUGAUCUUUUGAAAGGGUUUUUGGACAUUUCCUUCGCUUUUGAUUUAGAAAAAAUGUUAAAUGAAAUUAGAAAUUAGGAGGUGGCAUUCCAGCAUUUUUUUUCUCAGAUAGUGGCUUUCUAGCCAUUGAUUCAUUUCUCAAUCCACCAUAGCUGAGCUCCGAGAUCACUUGUCGCCAAUCGCCGUCGUUACUCAGAACAGAGCCAUUGUUCUCCACCUUAAGCUGGUUCGUCUCUUAUCUCAAAUUCGAUGAUUCGUGAUUACUCUUGUUUAUUUUCUCCCUCUGUCUAGAUUUUAGUUUCAUUGUCUAUUAGGUCUAGCUAAUGAUUCUACUUCGUCAAUUUGAAUACUCAACUCGUUUGGUGCUCUUCGAUUCUAUAUUCAAUUGCAUUUUAACACUCGGUAUUCAGUUUUUGAUUGAAUUUAUUAUCGAGAUUCAGAUUCUAGGCCUUAUGAUUGACUGUACACAAGGUCUUGUGUAUUGAUCUUGAGCCUUUUUAAGAGUUUAGAAUCAGUUUGAUUGAUGUAAGGCUUGUUUAGGGAAGAUUUCUUGUUGAUAUAGUGUAUGAUAUAUCUCUUUGUUUUGCAGAUGGUUCAAAGCCACCCUACUGGCUUAUCCAAAAAUAAUCUCUUGAAGCUCUUUGAGCCACGGCCGCCAUUGGAGUACAAACCACCAUCGGAGAAGAGAAAAUGCCCACAUUGUAUAUCUGAUUGUUUUUUAACUUUAUUCUCACGAGCUUUAAAUUUGUUUCGUGUAUUCAUUUUAGGUAUGGCUCAGCUUGUGAGUAACUUUGCUGAGCCUGGGGAUGCACCUUAGACUUUUUCGAACAUGCCAGCUUUAACCAAAGUCAGUGUCUUACAGUCACGUGUGGUUUUGUUUCAAGUUCCAGGCACACAAAAAAGGAGAGAAUUCAUAAAUUACGACUAGAGAAAGGAGUUUAAAAAGCUGCUGGGAACUUAAGAAAUUGUAAUCAACUAUAUGUUAUGUAUGUUCCCCUUCAUGCCCUCUUAUGGUAAGAGGAUUUCAGAGUAAUUGAAUUUUUAUAUGCAAAUUAAAUGACCCAAAUAAUUAUCCAAAUGCUUCUUGAGAUCCAUACAAGACAUUGUUCAUGUCUUAGAUCUAAAUACCCGAAUUAUCUUUUGGUGAGUUAGUCUAUGGCUUCCUCCUACAUUUUUGAUUUUAGAAAUUUCUGAGGCUUUUUUUUCUGGAAUUGUCAAGUCAAUUGCUAUGAUUCUGGAUUUCAUUCUAUUUGAUUAACCAUUUGUUCGUUAAUGAGCCAGUGAUGUGAUUUCAUGUAUAGACGUUUUGCAUUGUUCUCAUAUUAUAAUUCGAUGACAUGAUUUGUAACGCUCCGACCAUCCCUACCAGUGAGCACCCACGUCCAAUCUCAGGCCUGUGGGCCUCAUCCUUGUCCGACGGUCGAUUCGCUACGUUCGGGAGGGUUGAAAGACUUGUUUACCGACCCUACAAAUCACCACGUGAUCUUUCCCCGUGUUUUGUCCUCACUCACACGGUUCCGACAAUCAUUUUCCGAAAGGUCAUCUAUCCUGAAACUACUCCAGCAUAAGCACGCUUAACUAUGAAGUUCUCUCAGGACAGUUGACCGGAAAGAUAAGUGCACUUUGGUGACAUAGGUAGCCAAAUCAAUUCUUAUAAACCUCUCCGCAUGCACCACCAUAUUCCUGAAUUCGGAGUGUUACAAUUCACCCCCACUAACUGAUCGCAACGUCCUCGUUGCGCACCAAGACCGUCACCCCCAAUGGUGUGAGCUCUCUUGACUCCACAUUCAUCUGGGUUCGGCUCUGAUACCACUUGUAACGCCCCAACCGUCCCUGCCAGUGAGCACCCACGUCCAAUCUCAGGUCCGUGGGCCCCACUCUUGUCCGACGGUAAAUUCGCUACGUCCGAGAGGCUUUAAAGACUUGUUUACCGACCCUACAAAUCACCACGUGAUCUUUCCCCGUGUUUUGUCCCCACUCACACGGUUCCGACAAUCAUUUCCCGGAAGGUCACCCAUCCUGAAACUACUCCAACAUAAGCACGCUUAACUGUGGAAUUCUCUCAGGACAGUUGACCGAAAACAUAAGUGCACUUUGGUGACAUAGGUGGCCAAAUCAAUUCUUAUAAACCUCUCCGCAUGCACCACCAUAUUCCUGAAUUCGGGGUGCGUGUUACAUGAUUGUUCCAGGAAUGCUAUGUCAAAAAAGCUUUAUGGGUACUUCAUGUUAUUGUAGAUGAUCAGAAUGUUGCCUUUGCGUAGAAUGUUGCUCAACGUUGUGUCAAUGGAGAGAGCUGGACCGGGGAGUUUCCUGUCAAGACCAAAUGUUGUGGGGAUCAUUUCUAUCACAAGUGACAUAGCACCAUAUAUGAACCCGAGAAUCUCUUUGGCUAAAUUAAAGGCGCAAGAAGGUGAAACGAGCUCUAUCUCUGCAAGGAAAAGUUUUGCCUAUAAACUUGGUGCUUAUGAGCUUAUGAGCUUUUCGAAAAGGAAGGAAACCGACCCAUCAUGAUCGAUGAACUCGCUUCGGUCUGUCUCUUUUUAUCUAACCCUAUCUUUAUACAAAAGUCUGUUUCAAGUCUUUGAAAAUGCCCAAAUCAACUCGUUGGUUAAAAUAUAUUUCAGGAACUUGGUCUUGGUCCUUCUGUACCGGUUCACGCAGUGCUUCACGAUUGGCUUAGGCAUACCGAUGGAAAGCUUAGCUUUCUCGGAUUUGUGAAAUUGCUACAUGGUGUGUCUAGCCGCACGAUCAAAGCUCAUUAGAAGGGUUUUGAAACAUGGAAUGAUAUGUAUGAGAUUUGUGUGAGAUCUCUUUCUCCUAGGAGCGCUUUCUUAGGAGUUAUAAUAUGUGGCUUUUGAAAUUUGUUAUGAAAGCUGAGAAGAAAAGAUUAAAAAAGAGUGUAGCAAAAAAGAAAAAGAGAAGUGUGUGUUAGUUUGUAGAGAGAAUGAGAUAUUUUUCCAAAUUUGGUAACUUAUGACGAUUGAUGAUGUCUCUGACAUUUCCUUCUAGAUUUUGGUUUUUUCACUUUUUGACACAAAUCUUAUUUUCCAAUAUUUUAUCUCUUACAAUAAAAGAGCAAAUGGGUCUAACUUCUUCAAGUUUUUUUCCCAUUUAAUCUUCGAUUCAAAUUCAUAAAGAAUAACAAACAUGAAGAAAUGAAUUUCCGACGAUGAUUUUGGUAAUUCAUUAUCACUUUAAUCGAGGGAUGGAAACCCCAAAAAAGGAGUAAAAAUCAAAAUAAUAAAUAGAUGGCUUUACCUGUCGAAUCUCGAUCGUGAAGUGAAACUCCCGUUGCAUCUUCUCUUCCACUUCCUGUGACACGAAUGAGUAAUGAAUCUGAUCGUUCGCAUUUGAUAAAUAUAUUGGAGAGGUUAGAGGAACACCUUAUUGAGGAAAAUCAAAGAAGUCUAAGGGAUUGUCACUGUAGUUGAAAGCGUUUUAUAAUUGUCCAAUUAUAUCAUUCAUUAAGUAACUAAAUUUAUGGUUUAGAAUUUCUGAUUAUUGUUUAACGCAAAUAAGAAGCAUAUGUGUGUUGAUGUGGCAAUCUAAGAGAGAAGUUUGAGAAGCUGAUGUGGACACUUUGAGAGGGCUCAAAUUGUCCUUUUUAUUAGUAUAGACUAGGGGCGAACCCGGGCUACGCCCGGGUAUAUCUAAAAUUUGAUAUUAUUAUAAAGUUUAUAACCAAACAUUUUUCUUAAUUUUUUUAUAAUACAUUGUGUAAACUCAUGUGAUGUUGUAUUCAACAUUUUAAUAAAGAAAACAUAUAUGAUUUCAUUAAAAUUAUUUAUAACCUUUUUGUUAUUGUUAUUGUUAUUUAUAUUAAAACUUAAUGUCUGAUUUCUCGAGAUUAUCUGUUACUUCAAAACAGAUGAACUGUUAACUUGUGGACUAUUGUUUGAAAACAUUUUCUUGACUACACAAUUCUUUGAUUAGGGAUUUAAAAUCAGCAAUAUACCUAAUAAUUUUUAACAAUAGCCUUGUGUAACAUAAGCGCUAGAAACUGAGAGAACUACUAUGUAUAUAAUUGGGAGAAAAUAGCAUGCUUAUGGUACGUAGUAUGAAUUGGAACUUUAGAAUCACUAGUAACAAAGCAUGUGGUGCCAAUUAUCUAACCAACAAUGUUGAGAAUUCUAAUAUGUUGAGGACCCCACGUUUGUUAAGCUAAGGCUAAGCGUUCAUGUUGCUCUUCCGUAAUUUUAGCAUAACAGAUUAACAGUUGACUUCUCUUUUGCUUAAGAAUGAAUUCACUUUGUUUAAGUCCAACCAAACAGGACUUGCUAAAGCAAAUCCUACACUAAAAAUGAGACAUCUAUUUUCAAUUUCUAAGAUAUUUUUGUUUCAGUCCUGGAUUUUUAUGUGAAGACUAAACGUAAACCAUAUAUAUAUAGCAAAAUUUGCAAGUUCAGUAACCAACCAAACAUAAUAUAUAACUCAAUUCGUAACAAUUUACAAAAAAAAAAUUUCCUAAAAAAUACGUUAAUGACCUGACCACAUAGCACAUAUGACAUAUGAUAGUAAAACCCCUCAGAAUACAACACAGUGUUGAGUUUUUUGCAUAAGGAGAUAAACAUUUUCUGAAAUUAAUCAUCUGUUAUUUUCUCUAUCGUUGAAACCCCUUAUGAUUUUUGAUAUUUUAAAAAAACAUCCUUAUGGUUAAUUUUCCUCUACAAUACCUUUGAUGCGGACCUUAUUUGCAGAUCUUUUUUGCAGCCACAAAAAUAUCUCCAAGAAGGAUCACCAAGAGUCAUACAAAUGAAAGAAACAAUUCGUAAGUGACCGAGAAAGAGGGAACCGCUUAUCUACACUAUAAUUUAUGAUUGCAGAACUAAAAACAAAACGGAAAAACGGGAGUGUAAGCUGACAGAGCUCUUGCUUCUUUUUUAUUAAAAUGACCGAACCGACCCGAACCGACCCGAACCGACCCGAACCCGAACCGAACCCGAACCGAAUUUUUAGAAUACCCGAAUGGGUCUCGACCCCCUACUCGAAUAAACCCGAUACCCGAAAAAAAAGAACCGAACCCGAACGGGUAUCCGAAUGCCGAGGCCUACCUAAAACCCUCAUUAAAUUACCACACUAGUACAAAGUUUUUGGUGUAGGUUUGGUUCAGUUCUACAAAACCGAUCGGUUUUUCGAGUUCUUAAGAUUGAAUUUGAGAUGGUAUUAGUUUGUUUGGUUGGUUUAGCUAUUUAACAAGAAAAGUAUAAUGUACGUAAAACCCUAGAACAGUAGAACCAAAACGUGGUAUGGCUUUUUGGCCUAACUUCAAAGAAAAAUGUUUAAGAGUUUUUUCACUCUAUAUAAACAAUGAUUGUGCCUCACAUGGACAAUGAUAGCUUAAAUUUGUAGCUAUAUGGUGGUCAAUGCUCAUUUCAUUGAUAUAUACAAGUUUGUGUCUGCACAUAAAAUCAUCAAUUUUAAGUCUAUCUCUAGCUAUAAAGGAUAGACAAUUGGAAAGCACCCAAUGAGUUGUUAGGGAUAUUGAGAAAAUGGUUCAUAUCUGCUAUUGAUAAUUAUUGUGUAGUUCUUAAAAAUUUAUGCAUGUCAGAUGUGCUACACUGCUACUCAUAUAGAUGAGAGUUCAUUUGUUACUAGGAAUGUUGUAGUAUGAGAGAUCUUUUGACCAAUAAUUUCAGUCUUAAAGAAAAAUACUCGAUUAUUUUUUUAGGUAUUUUCUAAUGAAAUAUAAAAUAUGCAAUGUUUUCUAUAAAAAAGCGCGAAUGAAAUCAAGCCGAAUAAAAAUAUUUGCUAAAGUUAAAUAUAUUGUCAAAAAUUUACAAUAAUUAUAUUUUUAAAAGAGUUAUUUAUGCUUAUACACCAUCAGAUCGAUAAAAUGCACUUGAAUGAUUUAUUUUAUUUUCUUUAUCAUUCCUUCAUUUGUGACAAUUGGGUUAGAAACAAAUUCUUAAAUAUGCAAAGAUGAAAAGCGUUAAUAUGAAAUGAAACAAUCCAAACUAAACCCUAUAUUAAACAAACACUUAGAUGAUAUAGUACCAAAAAGGUUGACCUUGAAAAGUAAAAAAUAUAAUAAAUUAUGAACAAAUUCAUUUUUUUUUGGUGAACAAUUAUGAACAAAUUCAUUACCCACUCAUACAUUUUUUUGACAAAAAAAUAAAUAAAAAAGUUAUUUUUUGCCUACAUGAAAUCUAAUUAUUAAUAUCAAUAUGCACAAACAACAUUAACUGCAUCAGCAAACACAACGGUAACUUCUUUCUCAAACUCCGAAGACCUGUCCCAGUCCGGUUUUUAUAAAUCGUUGGUCAAAACUCAAAAUCAAAUGUGAACCGAUCACUUAUCACAAAUAAUCACGUCAAUGACCGUAACUUAUUAAAUACGUGUACAUUUGGAAUUUUUUGCCAAUUCUUUUGAUAUUUAUCUCUCUCUAUAUAUAUACUAGAUUUACUCGCCCGCGCAUCAAAUUUUAACUGGCUACAAUAUAAAAUGUUAAAAAUAAUCAUAAUCAUUUGAAUUUCAAAAACUAUAUAUAUAUAUAUAUAUAUAUAUUCAUACUUAUUUUACAAAACAAUAUACAACAUAGAAAUUAUAAAAUACAUUUGGUAGGUACCACGUAAUAACAAAAGUUAUAUAAGAUCAAUCGGUCUCGGUAGUCAUCAAUGAACUUUUAUCAAAAAGAGAGUUAUUUCCAUAAACAAAUCUUGUAAGUAUAUUUGUCGUGAUGUUUUGACCUAUUCGUACCUCAUACUAAAAGUAAAUUUGCUGAGUUUGAACAUCAAUUUAUGAAAAUGUAUAAACAUAAUAUUCAUGUCGUUUCAAUAGGUUUGGAGAGCACAUUUUACCUAUUGAAGCAAGACCAUCAUACCUUAAAGAAAGUUUUGACCAAAUCAUGAAUGUUUUUAUCUUAUCUAUUCUACUACGCUUACAUGGCUCGACGAUUUAACUCGAGGUUGAAUAUGUUAGUCUGGUUUAUAGUCUGGUUUACUAAACCAAACUAUCCGAUAAUGCAUACAUAUAUCUGAUGCUUCAAGCAUUACUAAAUUUCUCUUCAAACAUUUUUUCGUCAUCUUCUAUAAUGCACUUGUUCGCUACCCAACAUCUACUAUUCUUUUAUCUUCUAUGCUCACUUACAUAUAAUAAAACUUUAAAUUGAUUCUUAAUUCAAAACUAUUUCCUCAUUUUCAUCUUCUUAGUUUAUUUUUCUUUUAUUAAUUAUAUGGUUUCCACGCUUUAACGUAAUAUAAUUUUACGAAAGAUAUAUAUUUGUUAAAAUUUCUUCAACAGUAUUUAUUUAGAUUCUUAAUUACCUAUAUUUAAGCAACUUCACCUUUUUAUUUAGAAAGCAAACAAUAAUAUAGAUAUAAUUAUAUUAUUUUAAUUCUUAUAUUUUAAUAUAAUUUAAUAUUAAGAUACAAUUAAUCUUUCUAUUUUUUCGUCAAUAUGAAUUUAUACUAUUACUCUCUUGAAAUAUAAUUUUCAAUUUCAAAUAUGAAUUAUUUCUUAUAUCUUAAAAAACUUAUACAAUCAUACAUUUACUAUAACAUUUAACCAUUUAUUUUUUAAAUAUAAAAAUAAUAUCAUUUUAAAUAAAUUUCUUCCACUUCAUUAUUAUCUCUUAAAGUUAAUGUUUCAAUGAAAUAUGAAUAUCUUCUUAUUAUUAAAAACAAAAAAACUCUUAUAGUCUUCCAUUUCAAUUGAAUUCUUUUGUUCAUCCUAAAUUAUAUUUGACGUUUUCUUAUUAAACGUUUUUUUAUUUUUAAUAAGUUAUUAUUUGUUUUAAUAAAUUUCAUUAAGAAUCCUUUUGUCCAUCUUAAAUAGCAUUAGUAUUUCUAUGAAAUUUUCAUAAUUAUUUUUUUAUUUCUUAAUUAAAUAUUUAGGGAUUAUGUUCAUUUUAAGUUAUAUAUUGACAAAAAAAUUAAUUUUAAGUUUUUUAUAUGUAUAUAUGUUACACUUGUGUUAUUAUUAUUCAAGUAACCUUUAUUUAAAAUUGUGCAUUAAUUGAUGAUUACUUCUUUGAUAAUGAGAUGUAAUUAACCAUAAAAUUAAAUAUUUUGAAAUAAUUAUUAGUGGGAUCCAUAAUAUUAAUUUGGUGAUGAUGUGGACACCCUAAGAGGAGAAAAACUCUCCCAUUAUAUAUAUAGAUUGCUAAGUUAAUAAAUUUUCUUAAUAAAUCAGAGUAACACAAUUAAUGUUUUUUCUUUUCAUUUUGAGGGUCAAAGAGUUAAACAGUUAAUGAUAAUCUCUCUACUAAUUAAUAGUCAACAGUUUCCAAAUUAAUGAAUAUCUUUACUAAUUAAAUCUAUACAACUUUUAUAUAUAACACAUUAGCCAAAAAAAUUAAAAAAAACUCUCGUAGAAAACAAAAAUGAAGAACAAGUCAAUUUAUGGCUAUAUCAUCAUCGUCGUCACAUUAUUGUCGGUCGUGGCUCGAGUCACCCUAGCUCAACCUCCAAAGGGACAUCCAGGAGCCGAUAUCAACCCGCAACAAACUCUUGCGGCUCAUAACAAAGCCCGAGCAGAAGAUGGGGUGGGUCCAAUGGUGUGGAACGAUACUCUUGCAGCCUAUGCACAGAGCUUUGCUAACAAACGUAUCGGAGAUUGUGCUCUAACGCAUUCCUCGGGACCUUAUGGUGAGAAUAUUAUUCUCGGGAGAUAUCCGGACUCCAACCUGAGCGGACCCGUCGCGGUUGGAUAUUGGAUGGAGGAGAAACCAAAUUACAAUUAUAAACUCAAUAAGUGUGAUUUUGUGUGCCAUGACUAUACUCAGAUCGUUUGGCGCAAUUCGGUCCGGCUCGGUUGCGGUUCGGUGAGAUGUCAGAAUGAUGCGAACGUAUGGAUCAUAUGUAGCUACGAUCCUCCGGGAAAUAUCCCUGGUGAACGUCCCUAUUGAUGUUUACUAUAAUGAAUCUAAAGCAUAUAUUGAGCUAUGUGCUUUUAUGAUAUUAAUUAAACAAAGAAUAAACUAAUCAAUGAAAAUUUUAUAGUUAUUAUGAUUAAUAAUGCCUGGUUACAUGAUAACAUUUGACCUAGUAUAAACAAUUACAUUGCAAAUCAAUAAAAUAAAAUAAAAGCAAUCAUAUACGUAAUAAAUUUACGUACUCCCUAUUGACCAAUUGUAUAGUUAAGCUAAGCCAGUGUGACAACUAUAAUCACAACUCACAAGAACAUUUGAAAAAUAUCGAAACGACACCGUUUCCACAUUUUGUGAUCUUUUCGGAUUUUUUAAUAACCGGAAUCCGGUUUGAGAUUUAUUUGGAUUUUGUUAAUUUUGAUUUGUCUCUGCAAUUUCUCAAGAGCCAGACGCUAGAAUGCCACUAAACCAGAAAAAUGAAUCACACCUGCCAUUUUAGAGUAUGUAUGCCAUCAUAGUAUGUGUUAUUUCUAUUUUGCCCUUACUGAAUAUUUUUGAUUUAAUUAAUUUUGAGAAACUAAAACUAAAAGAAAAACAAAAAAAUAAAAACAAUUUUCUCGCAUCCUCACGAGACCUCCGAUUUUCUCCUCCCACACCGGAGCGGUUCGCCCACCGAUCUCGCCGGCCGUCGUCUUCGGCGUCUCAUCCUUGCAAUCUGUUUGUUCUUCUCUCUCCUCCGCCAUUGAUGAAACUGAGAAAUUCUUUCUUAGUUCCUCAAUCUUCCGUCAUGGAUAUCAACAACAACCACCACCGCUCCGACGACGAUGACGAUUCAUUCUGUUGUUAUAAGAAGUUGGUUUGGUUCGUUGAUAUAUGCUCAGAAAUCUCUGCUUUAUUUAUACGUCAAUUGUGGAGAUGUAGCUAAUGUAUACAAGGUGUUUGAUAAAAUGCUUGAGAAAGAUUUUGUGGCUUGAAAUUUUGUGAUUAAUGGGUUUGGAGAAAACGGUAAACCAAACAAAGCUUUGACGCUUUAUACUUAAAUGGAUUCUAAGGGUAUCAAGCCUAAUUGGUUCACAGUUGUUAGCUUGUUGUCUGCUUGUGCAAAGCUUGGUGCUUUGAUAUUGGGUAAGAAGCGAUUGAGCUUUUCACUAAUAUGGAAUCAAAGGAGGAUGUAUUACUGUGUGAGAUCACGUUUGUGGGGAUCUUAUCUGUAUGUAGCCAUUGCGGGAUGGUGAAGGAAGGGUUUUAGUAUUUCAGGAGAAUGAAAGAAGAGUAUAAGAUUGAUCGUAGAAUUGACAUUUUGGUUGUAUUUUCGAUUUGCUAGUUAGAAUUGGACAAGUGAAAAAAUUUUCUACUUUUCUUCUUUCUUAGUUUACCCAGUUGGACCGAAUAAUUAGAUCUCUGUUGUACCUAAUAAUUGCAGUUGUACCAAAAUACCAUCAAAGUACAUAAACAAAAAAUCCACUUUACCAUACAUAAACAAAAGGUCAAAUUUUAUUACAUGUAAUUAUAUUUAAAUUUAUCAGUUGUACCAAAAACAACAAACUAUCCGACAAUUAUAUAAUGCAGUUGCACUGAGUAGUUCUAGUUAUACAAAAAAUUGUCUCAGUUGUACCUAAGUGAUCUAGUUGUACAAAAUACCUCACUUUCACCAUAUGAUUUUAUUAUUUACAAUCAAACAAAUCUCAGUCUUUUAGUAUCUGCUGCAACUCUUUAAUCUUCAGCUCAUUAUAGCAGAAGUUGUUGCUUCCACGUGCAGUGUACAAUCAUGAUUGUCACAAAAAAGACUUGACUUGUGCGCUUUCUUUCUAGUUCUUGAUGAAGCUCUUCCUUCCACUUAUUCUCUAUCUUUGACAAAGCAACACUGCAAAGCCAAAACCAGCCAAUUUAAGCAGAUGAAUGAAUGAAACAAGAAGCCUAGACAAAGGUCCUAGACUAAAGGAAAAAGUGAAACCAUUCCUACUGAGUGCCUAAGAGAUUUUCACACGGAUCAAAUCCCAUCCAUAAACUAAUGUAAUCUACUUCCUCAUGUCGGAAAUCUAAACUUCAUAACCAACAGAUACACGCUAAAAAGUUUUAUACUUACUAAACAAAUCAGAACCUAUGAAUCAUUUCCCUAGAUUAUUUUUCUUCGAUAUCCUUAAUCAAGUUUAAAGCAUUUACAACACCUAAACAAAAGAAACAAACAAAGCUUAUAACAAACAAACGAAACAAACAAGUGUAAAAGAUGCUAACCAAUUAUACUAGAAUGCAAAAUGGACUCUAAGAGGAUGUGAUUAUCUCUUACUUUCUAAGGAUGCCAUAAAUUCAACAACUUUAACUAAACUUGAACCAAGUCAACCCAAAUUCAAAAGUUAGUGCUAAUAAUUCAUUUUUCACUGUUUUCCCCAAAUUCUUCGAACGUUUCUUGUUCUAGAAAUUAAAAUUACCUUCUAUGUACCUCAAAUCCUAUAACUAGCACUGAACCAAACUAGACCUAAAGCAAGUUUAACACUUCCACUAAAUAGCUAGAAGAAAUUCGAAUCUGAAUUAGAUAUGACAAAGAUUGAAGGAAUUGUUUUUGGAAACGGUGAUCUUACGUCCUCAAGUAAAUCUUCGUCGAGUUUAUCAGCGAUUUUGAUUGAAGUGAAGACAGUGGCGGCGACAAGAGUAGCAGGAAUUUGCGAACGUGAGCAAGUAGCUGCUCGUACUAAGCUUUACUCGGGUCACCACAGAACAGUCUCUGAUUCUCCGUCUAAGACAUAAUCCCCCGGCUACACCAUCGGGGAAAUUUUUCACCAGCGGAGAGAAUAGUGGCUGGGAAGAAGACGCAGAGAAGCUUAUUUGUGUGGGUUGCAUAGGGAAAGAGACGAAAAGUCUCGCCAUUUUUUUUUGAUGAUUUUGGAAACAAACGAUUGGCAAAGGCAAGUAACAUGAUCUGGAAGAAGAGGAGGAGCGGAGGAGACGAGAAGCAGCGGUGGUCGUGCGCAGAGAAGUAUACAUGGUUGUGGUGAUUUUGAGGGUAUACAUGGUUGUAGAGAUAGUAAAUUUGAGGUAGGAUUUGUAAUUAUUGAUCUUUUGAAAGGGUUUUUGGACAUUUCCUUAGCUUUUGAUUUAGAAAAAAUGUUAAAUGAAAUUAGAAAUUAGGAGGUGGCAUUCCAGCAUUUUUUUUCUCAGAUAGUGGCUUUCUAGCCAUUGAUUCAUUUCUCAAUCCACCAUACCUGAGCUCCGAGAUCACUUGUCGCCAAUCGCCGUCGUUACUCAGAACAGAGCCAUUGUUCUCCACCUUAAGCUGGUUCGUCUCUUAUCUCAAAUUCGAUGAUUCGUGAUUACUCUUGUUUAUUUUCUCCCUCUGUCUAGAUUUUAGUUUCGUUGUCUAUUAGGUCUAGCUAAUGAUUCUACUUCGUCAAUUUGAAUACUCAACUCGUUUGGUGCUCUUCGAUUCUAUAUUCAAUUGCAUUUUAACACUCGGUAUUCAGUUUUUGAUUGAAUUUAUUAUCGAGAUUCAGAUUCUAGGCCUUAUGAUUGACUGUACACAAGAUCUUGUGUAUUGAUCUUGAGCCUUUUUAAGAGUUUAGAAUCAGUUUGAUUGAUGUAAGGCUUGUUUAGGGAAGAUGUCUUGUUGAUAUAGUGUAUGAUAUAUCUCUCUGUUUUGCAGAUGGUUCAAAGCCACCCUACUGGCUUAUCCAAAAAUAAUCUCUUGAAGCUCUUUGAGCCACGGCCGCCAUUGGAGUACAAACCACCAUCGGAGAAGAGAAAAUGCCCACAUUGUAUAUCUGAUUGUUUUUAACUUUAUUCUCACGAGCUUUGAAUUUGUUUCGUGUAUGCAUUUUAGGUAUGGCUCAGCUUGUGAGUAACUUUGCUGAGCCUGGGGAUGCACCUUAGACUUUUUAGAACAUGCCAGCUUUAACCAAAGACAGUGUCUUACAGUCACGUGUGGUUUUGUUUCAAGUUCCAGGCACAGAAAAAAGGAGAGCAUUCAUAAAUUACGACUAGAGAAAGGAGUUUAAAAAGCUGCUUGGAACUUAAGAAAUUGUAAUCAACUAUAUGUUAUGUAUGUUCCCCUUCAUGCCCUCUUACGGUAAGAGGAUUUCAGAGUAAUUGAAUUUUUAUAUGCAAAUUAAAUGACCCAAAUAAUUAUCCAAAUGCUUCUUGAGAUCCAUACAAGACAUUGUUCAUGUCUUAGAUCUAAAUACCCGAAUUAUCUUUUGGUGAGUUAGUCUAUGGCUUCCUCCUACAUUUUUGAUUUUAGAAAUUUCUGAGGCUUUUUUUUUUGGAAUUGUAUAGUCAAUUGCUAUGAUUCUGGAUUUCAUUCUAUUUGAUUAACCAUUUGUUCGUUAAUGAGCCAGUGAUGUGAUUUCAUGUAUAGACGUUUUGCAUUGUUCUCAUAUUACAAUUCGAUGACAUGAUUUGUAACGCUCCGACCAUCCCUACCAGUGAGCACCCACGUCCAAUCUCAGGCCUGUGGGCCUCAUCCUUGUCCGACGGUCGAUUCGCUACGUUCGGGAGGGUUGAAAGACUUGUUUACCGACCCUACAAAUCACCACGUGAUCUUUCCCCGUGUUUUGUCCCCACUCACACGGUUCCGACAAUCAUUUUCCGAAAGGUCAUCUAUCCUGAAACUACUCCAGCAUAAGCACGCUUAACUAUGGAGUUCUCUCAGGACAGUUGACCGGAAAGAUAAGUGCACUUUGGUGACAUAGGUGGCCAAAUCAAUUCUUAUAAACCUCUCCGCAUGCACCACCAUAUUCCUGAAUUCGGGGUGUUACAAUUCACCCCCACUAACUGAUCGCAACGUCCUCGUUGGGCACCAAGACCGUCACCCCCGAUGGUGUGAGCUCUCUUGACUCCACACUCAUCUGGGUUUGGCCCUGAUACCACUUGUAACGCCCCAACCGUCCAUGCUAGUGAGCACCCACGUCCAAUCUCAGGUCCGUGGGCCCCACUCUUGUCCGACGGUCAAUUCGCUACGUCCGAGAGGCUUUAAAGACUUGUUUACCAACCCUACAAAUCACCACGUGAUCUUUCCCCGUGUUUUGUCCCCACUCACACGGUUCCGACAAUCAUUUCCCGGAAGGUCACCCAUCCUGAAACUACUCCAACAUAAGCACGCUUAACUGUGGAGUUCUCUCAGGACAGUUGACCGAAAACAUAAGUGCACUUUGGUGACAUAGGUGGCCAAAUCAAUUCUUAUAAACCUCUCCGCAUGCACCACCAUUUUCCUGAAUUCGGGGUGCGUGUUACAUGAUUGUUCCAAGAAUGCUAUGUCAAAAAAGCUUUAUGGGUACUUCAUGUUAUUGUAGAUGAUCAGAAUGCUGCCUUUGCGUAGAAUGUUGCUCAACGUUGUGUCAAUGGAGAGAGCUGAACCGGGGAGUUUCCUGUCAAGACCAAAUGUUGUGGGGAUCAUUUCUAUCACAAGUGACAUAUCACCAUAUAGGAACCCGAGAAUCUCUUUGGCUAAAUUAAAGGCGCAAGAAGGUGAAACGAGCUCUAUCCCUGCAAGGAAAAGUUUUGCCUAUAAACUUGGUGCUUAUGAGCUUAUGAGCUUUUCGAAAAGGAAGGAAACCGACCCAUCAUGAUCGAUGAACUCGCUUCGGUCUGUCUCUUUUUAUCUAACCCUAUCUUUAUACAAAAGUCUGUUUCAAGUCUUUGAAAAUGCCCAAAUUAACUCGUUGGUUAAAAUAUAUUUCAGGAACUUGGUCUUGGUCCUUCUGUACCGGUUCACGCAGUGCUUCACGAUUGGCUUAGGCAUACCGAUGAAAAGCUUAGCUUUCUCGGAUUUCUAGCCGCACGAUCAAAGCUCAUUAGAAGGGUUUUGAAACAUGGAAUGAUAUGUAUGAGAUUUGUCUGAGAUCUCUUUCUCCUAGGAGCGCUUUCUUAGGAGUUAUAAUAUGUGGCUUUUGAAAUUUGUUAUGAAAGCUGAGAAGAAAAGAUUAAAAAAGAGUGUAGCAAAAAAAAAAAAAAGAGAAGUGUGUGUUAGUUUGUAGAGAGAAUGAGAUAUUUUUCCAAAUUUGGUAACUUAUGACGAUUGAUGAUGUCUCUGACAUUUCCUUCUCGAUUUGGUUUUUUCACUUUUUGACACAAAUCUUAUUUUCCAAUAUUUUAUCUGUUACAAUAAAAGAGCAAAUGGGUCUAACUUCUUCAAGUUUUUUUCCCAUUUAAUCUUCGAUUCAAAUUCAUAAAGAAUAACAAACAUGAAGAAAUGAAUUUCCGACGAUGAUUUUGGUAAUUCAUUAUCACUUUAAUCGAGGGAUGGAACCCCCAAAAAAGGAGUAAAAAUCAAAAUAAUAAAUAGAUGGCUUUACCUGUCGAAUCUCGAUCGUGAAGUGAAACUCCCGUUGCAUCUUCUCUCCCACUUCCUGUGACACGAAAGAGUGAUGAAUCUGAUCGUUCGCAUUUGAUAAAUAUAUUGGAGAGGUUAGAGGAACACCGUAUUGAGGAAAAUCAAAGAAGUCUAAGGGAUUGUCACUGUAGUUGAAAGCGUUUUAUAAUUGUCCAAUUAUAUCAUUCAUUAAGUAACUAAAUUUAUGGUUUAGAAUUUCUGAUUAUUGUUUAACGCAAAUAAGAAGCAUAAGUGUGUUGAUGUGGCAAUCUAAGAGAGAAGUUUGAGAAGCUGAUGUGGACACUUUGAGAGGGCUCAAAUUGUCCUUUUUAUGAGUAUAGACUAGGGGCGAACCCGGGCUACGCCCGGGUAUAUUUAAAAUUUGAUAUUAUUAUAAAGUUUAUAACCAAACAUUUUUCUUAAUUUUUUUAUAAUACAUUGUGUAAACUCAUGUGAUGUUGUAUUCAACAUUUUAAUAAAGAAAACAUAUAUGAUUUCAUUAAAAUUAUUUAUAACCUUUUUGUUAUUGUUAUUGUUAUUUAUAUUAAAACUUAAUGUCUGAUUUCUCGAGAUUAUCUGUUACUUCAAAACAGAGGAACUGUUAACUUGUGGACUAUUGUUUGAAAACAUUUUCUUGACUACACAAUUCUUUGAUUAGGGAUUUAAAAUCAGCAAUAUAGCUAAUAAUUUUUAACAAUAGCCUUGUGUAACAUAAGCGCUAGAAACUGAGAGAACUACUAUGUAUAUAAUUGGGAGAAAAUAGCAUGCUUAUGGUACGUAGUAUGAAUUGGAACUUUAGAAUCACUAGUAACAAAGCAUGUGGUGCCAAUUAUCUAACCAACAAUGUUGAGAAUUCUAAUAUGUUGAGGACCCCACGUUUGUUAAGCUAAGGCUAAGCGUUCAUGUUGCUCUUCCGUACGUAAUUUUAGCAUAACAGAUUAACAGUUGACUUCUCUUUUGCUUAAGAAUGAAUUCACUUUGUUUAAGUCCAACCAAACAGGACUUGCUAAAGCAAAUCCUACACUAAAAAUGAGACAUCUAUUUUCAAUUUCUAAGAUAUUUUUGUUUCAGUCCUGGAUUUUUUUGUGAAUACUAAACGUAAACCAUAUAUAUAUAGCAAAAUUUGCAAGUUCAGUAACCAACCAAACAUAAUAUAUAACUCAAUUCGUAACAAUUUACAAAAAAAAAAUUUCCUAAAAAAUACGUUAAUGACCUGACCACAUAGCACAUAUGACAUAUGAUAGUAAAACCCCUCAGAAUACAACACAGUGUUGAGUUUUUUGCAUAAGGAGAUAAACAUUUUCUGAAAUUAAUCAUCUGUUAUUUUCUCUAUCGUUGAAACCCCUUAUGAUUUUUGAUAUUUUAAAAAAACAUCCUUAUGGUUAAUUUUCCUCUACAAUACCUUUGAUGCGGACCUUAUUUGCAGAUCUUUUUUGCAGCCACAAAAAUAUCUCCAAGAAGGAUCACCAAGAGUCAUACAAAUGGAAGAAACAAUUCGUAAGUGACCGAGAAAGAGGGAACCGCUUAUCUACACUAUAAUUUAUGAUUGCAGAACUAAAAACAAAACGGAAAAACGGGAGUGUAAGCUGACAGAGCUCUUGCUUCUUUUUUAUUAAAAUGACCGAACCGACCCGAACCGACCCGAACCGACCCGAACCCGAACCGAACCCGAACCGAAUUUUUAGAAUACCCGAAUGGGUCUCGACCCCCUACUCGAAUAAACCCGAUACCCGAAAAAAAAAGAACCGAACCCGAACGGGUAUCCGAAUGCCGAGGCCUACCUAAAACCCUCAUUAAAUUACCACACUAGUACAAAGUUUUUGGUGUAGGUUUGGUUCAGUUCUACAAAACCGAUCGGUUUUUCGAGUUCUUAAGAUUGAAUUUGAGAUGGUAUUAGUUUGUUUGGUUGGUUUAGCUAUUUAACAAGAAAAGUAUAAUGUACGUAAAACCCUAGAACAGUAGAACCAAAACGUGGUAUGGCUUUUUGGCCUAACUUCAAAGAAAAAUGUUUAAGAGUUUUUUCACUCUAUAUAAACAAUGAUUGUGCCUCACAUGGACAAUGAUAGCUUAAAUUUGUAGCUAUAUGGUGGUCAUUGCUCAUUUCAUUGAUAUAUACAAGUUUGUGUCUGCACAUAAAAUCAUCAAUUUUAAGUCUAUCUCUAGCUAUAAAGGAUAGACAAUUGGAAAGCACCCAAUCAGUUGUUAGGGAUAUUGAGAAAAUGGUUAAUAUCUGCUAUUGAUAAUUAUUGUGUAGUUCUUAAAAAUUUAUGCAUGUCAGAUGUGCUACACUGCUACUCAUAUAGAUGAGAGUUCAUUUGUUACUAGGAAUGUUGUAGUAUGAGAGAUCUUUUGACCAAUAAUUUCAGUCUUAAAGAAAAAUACUCGAUUAUUUUUUUAGGUAUUUUCUAAUGAAAUAUAAAAUAUGCAAUGUUUUCUAUAAAAAAGCGCGAAUGAAAUCAAGCAGAAUAAAAAUAUUUGCUAAAGUUAAAUAUAUUGUCAAAAAUUUACAAUAAUUAUAUUUUUAAAAGAGUUAUUUAUGCUUAUACACCAUCAGAUCGAUAAAAUGCACUUGAAUGAUUUAUUUUAUUUUCUUUAUCAUUCCUUCAUUUGUGACAAUUGGGUUAGAAACAAAUUCUUAAAUAUGCAAAGAUGAAAAGCGUUAAUAUGAAAUGAAACAAUCCAAACUAAACCCUAUAUUAAACAAACACCUAGAAUAGAUGAUAUAGUACCAAAAAGGUUGACCUUGCUUCUAAUUUCUUUUCUAGUUUUCUUCAUUACUUUACUUCGCGUCUUUAGUUGUCCUAAAGUAUAGGAAUUUGAAGCUUCUAUUGAUUUUAAAAUUUGUCAAUUUCUCUCUUUAAAAACAUGAGUAGUUUGGUGGGCUGUCGCCAUGUUCCACAGGCCACAUUGAUGUUCUUAUUUGUUUUUUUUUCAUGUCAUAUGUGUCCAUCACGACUCAUUUCUCUCCAUUUUUUUUCUUUAGUUAAUUACAAGCUCAACGUAUUCUUCUCUUAUUUUUUUUCCUUGAAAAGUAAAAAAUAUAAUAAAUUAUGAACAAAUUCAUUUUUUUUUGGUGAACAAUUAUGAACAAAUUCAUUACCCACUCAUACAUUUUUUUGACAAAAAAAUAAAUAAAAAAAGUUAUUUUUUGCCUACAUGAAAUCUAAUUAUUAAUAUCAAUAUGCACAAACAACAUUAACUGCAUCAGCAAACACAACGGUAACUUCUUUCUCAAACUCCGAAGACCUGUCCCAGUCCGGUUUUUAUAAAUCGUUGGUCAAAACUCAAAAUCAAAUGUUAACCGAUCACUUAUCACAAAUAAUAUCACGUCAAUGACCGUAACUUAUUAAAUACGUGUACAUUUGGAAUUUUUUGCCAAUUCUUUUGAUAUCUAUCUCUCUCUCUAUAUAUAUACUAGAUUUACUCGCCCGCGCAUCAAAUUUUAACUGGCUACAAUACAAAAUGUUAAAAAUAAUCAUAAUCAUUUGAAUUUCAAAAACUAUAUAUAUAUAUAUAUAUAUAUAUAUUCAUACUUAUUUUAUACAACAUAGAAAUUAUAAAAUACAUUUGGUAGGUACCACGUAAUAACAAAAGUUAUAUAAGAUCAAUCGGUUUCGGUAGUCAUCAAUGAACUUUUAUCAAAAAGAGAGUUAUUUCUAUAAACAAAUCUUGUAAGUAUAUUUGUCGUGAUGUUUUGACCUAUUCGUACCUCAUACUAAAAGUAAAUUUGCUGAGUUUGAACAUCAAUUUAUGAAAAUGUAUAAACGUAAUAUUCAUGUCGUUUCAAUAGGUUUGGAGAGCACAUUUUACCUAUUGAAGCAAGACCAUCAUACCUUAAAGAAAGUUUUGACCAAAUCAUGAAUGUUUUUAUCUUAUCUAUCCUACUACGCUUACAUGGCUCGACGAUUUAACUCGAGGUUGAAUAUGUUAGUCUGGUUUAUAGUCUGGUUUACUAAACCAAACUAUCCGAUAAUGCAUACAUAUAUCUAAUGCUUCAAACAUUACUAAAUUUCUCUUCAAACAUUUUUUCGUCAUCUUCUAUAAUGCACUUGUUCGCUACCCAACAUCUACUAUUCUUUUAUCUUCUAUGCUCACUUACAUAUAAUAAAACUUUAAAUUGAUUCUUAAUUCAAAACUAUUUCCUCAUUUUCAUCUUCUUAGUUUAUUUUUCUUUUAUUAAUUAUAUGGUUUCCACGCUUUAACGUAAUAUAAUUUUACGAAAGAUAUAUAUUUGUUAAAAUUUCUUCAACAGUAUUUAUUUAGAUUCUUAAUUACCUAUAUUUAAGCAACUUCACCUUUUUAUUUAGAAAGCAAACAAUAAUAUAGAUAUAAUUAUAUUAUUUUAAUUCUUAUAUUUUAAUAUAAUUUAAUAUUAAGAUACAAUUAAUCUUUCUAUUUUUUCGUCAAUGUGAAUUUAUACUAUUACUCUCUUGAAAUAUAAUUUUCAAUUUUAAAUAUGAAUUAUUUCUUAUAUCUUAAAAAACUUAUACAAUCAUACAUUUACUAUAACAUUUAACCAUUUAUUUUUUAAAUAUAAAAAUAAUAUUAUUUUAAAUAAAUUUCUUCCACUUCAUUAUUAUCUCUUAAAGUUAAUGUUUCAAUGAAAUAUGAAUAUCUUCUUAUUAUUAAAAACAAAAAACUCUUAUAGUCUUCCAUUUCAAUUGAAUUCUUUUGUUCAUCCUAAAUUAUAUUUGACGUUUUCUUAUUAAACGUUUUUUUUUAAUUUUUAAUAAGUUAUUAUUUGUUUGUAAUUGUAUAAUAAAUUUCAUUAAGAAUCCUUUUGUCCAUUUUAAAUAGCAUUAGUAUUUCUAUGAAAUUUUCAUAAUUAUUUUUUUAUUUCUUAAUUAAAUAUUUAGGGAUUAUGUUCAUUUUAAGUUAUAUAUUGACAAAAAAUUAAUUUUAAGUUUUUUAUAUGUAUAUAUGUUACACUUGUGUUAUUAUUAUUCAAGUAACCUUUAUUUAAAAUUGUGCAUUAAUUGAUGAUUACUUCUUUGAUAAUGAGAUGUAAUUAACCAUAAAAUUAAAUAUUUUGAAAUAAUUAUUAGUGGGAUCCAUAAUAUUAAUUUGGUGAUGAUGUGGACACCCUAAGAGGAGAAAAACUCUCCCAUUAUAUAUAUAGAUUGCUAAGUUAAUAAAUUUUCUUAAUAAAUCAGAGUAACACAAUUAAUGUUUUUUCUUUUCAUUUUGAGGGUCAAAGAGUUAAACAGUUAAUGAUAAUCUCUCUACUAAUUAAUAGUCAACAGUUUCCAAAUUAAUGAAUAUCUUUACUAAUUAAAUCUAUACAACUUUUAUAUAUAACACAUUAGCCAAAAAAAUUAAAAAAAACUCUCGUAGAAAACAAAAAUGAAGAACAAGUCAAUUUAUGGCUAUAUCAUCAUCGUCGUCACAUUAUUGUCGGUCGUGGCUCGAGUCACCCUAGCUCAACCUCCAAAGGGACAUCCAGGAGCCGAUAUCAACCCGCAACAAACUCUUGCGGCUCAUAACAAAGCCCGAGCAGAAGAUGGGGUGGGUCCAAUGGUGUGGAACGAUACUCUUGCAGCCUAUGCACAGAGCUUUGCUAACAAACGUAUCGGAGAUUGUGCUCUAACGCAUUCCUCGGGACCUUAUGGUGAGAAUAUUAUUCUCGGGAGAUAUCCGGACUCCAACCUGAGCGGACCCGUCGCGGUUGGAUAUUGGAUGGAGGAGAAACCAAAUUACAAUUAUAAACUCAAUAAGUGUGAUUUUGCGUGCCAUGACUAUACUCAGAUCGUUUGGCGCAAUUCGGUCCGGCUCGGUUGCGGUUCGGUGAGAUGUCAGAAUGAUGCGAACGUAUGGAUCAUAUGUAGCUACGAUCCUCCGGGAAAUAUCCCUGGUGAACGUCCCUAUUGAUGUUUACUAUAAUGAAUCUAAAGCAUAUAUUGAGCUAUGUGCUUUUAUGAUAUUAAUUAAACAAAGAAUAAACUAAUCAAUGAAAAUUUUAUAGUUAUUAUGAUUAAUAAUGCCUGGUUACAUGAUAACAUUUGACCUAGUAUAAACAAUUACAUUGCAAAUCAAUAAAAUAAAAUAAAAGCAAUCAUAUACGUAAUAAAUUUACGUACUCCCUAUUGACCAAUUGUAUAGUUAAGCUAAGCCAGUGUGACAACUAUAAUCACAACUCACAAGAACAUUUGAAAAAUAUCGAAACGACACCGUUUCCACAUUUUGUGAUCUUUUCGGAUUUUUUAAUAACCGGAAUCCGGUUUGAGAUUUAUUUGGAUUUUGUUAAUUUUGAUUUGUCUCUGCAAUUUCUCAAGAGCCAGAGGCUAGAAUGCCACUAAACCAGAAAAAUGAAUCACACCUGCCAUUUUAGAGUAUGUAUGCCAUCAUAGUAUGUGUUAUUUCUAUUUUGCCCUUACUGAAUAUUUUUGAUUUAAUUAAUUUUGAGAAAUUAAAACUAAAAGAAAAACAAAAAAAUAAAAACAAUUUUCUCGCAUCCUCACGAGACCUCCGAUUUUCUCCUCCCACACCGGAGCGGUUUGCCCACCGAUCUCGCCGGCCGUCGUCUUCGGCGUCUCAUCCUUGCAAUCUGUUUGUUCUUCUCUCUCCUCCGCCAUUGAUGAAACUGGGAGAUUCUUUCUUAGUUCCUCAAUCUUCCGCCAUGGAUAUCAACAACAACCACCACCGCUCCGACGACGAUGACGAUUCAUUCUGUUGUUAUAAGAAGUGGGUUUGGUUCGUUGAUAUAUGCUCAGAAAUCUCUGCUUUAUUUAUACGUCAAUUGUGGAGAUGUAGCUAAUGCAUACAAGGUAAUCUACUUCCUCAUGUCGGAAAUCUAAACUUCAUAACCAACAGAUUCACGCUAAAAAGUUUUAUACUUACUAAAUAAAUCAGAACCUACGAAUCAUUUCCCUAGAUUAUUUUUCUUCGAUAUCCUUAAUCAAGUUUAAAGCAUUUACAUCACUUAAACAAAAGAAACAAACAAAGCUUAUAGCAAACAAACGAAACAAACAAGUGUAAAAGAUGCUAACCAAUUAUACUAGAAUGCAAAAUGGACUCUAAGAGGAUGUGAUUAUCUCUUACUUUCUAAGGAUGCCGUCAAUUCAACAACUUUAACUAAACUUGAACCAAGUCAACCCAAAUUCAAAAGUUAGUGCUAAUAAUUCAUUUUUCACUGUUUUCCCCAAAUUAUUCGAACGUUUCUUGUUCUAGAAAUUAAAAUUACCUUCUAUGUACCUCAAAUCCUAUAACUAGCACUAAACCAAACUAGACCUAAAGCAAGUUUAACACUUCCACUAAAUAGCUAGAAGAAAUUCGAAUCUGAAUUAGAUAUGACAAAGAUUGAAGGAAUUGUUUUUGGAAACGGUGAUCUUACGUCCUCAAGUAAAUCUUCGUCGAGUUUAUCAGCGAUUUUGAUUGAAGUGCAGACAGUGGCGGCGACAAGAGUAGCAGGAAUUUGCGAACGUGAGCAAGUAGCUGCUCGUACUAAGCUUUACUCGGGUCACCACAGAACAGUCUCUGAUUCUCCGUCUAAGACAUAAUCCCCCGGCUACACCAUCGGGGAAAUUUUUCACCAGCGGAGAGAAUAGUGGCUGGGAAGAAGACGCAGAGAAGCUUAUUUGUGUGGGUUGCAUAGGGAAAGAGACGAAAAGUCUCGCCAUUUUUUUUUUUUGUUGAUUUUGGAAACAAACGAUUGGCAAAGGCAGGUAACAUGAUCUGGAAGAAGAGGAGGAGCGGAGGAGACGAGAAGCAGCGGUGGUUGUGCGCAGAGAAGUAUACAUGGUUGUGGUGAUUUUGAGGGUAUACAUGGUUGUGGUGAUUUUACAACCAAUCAAAAUCACCACAACCAUGUAUACCUCAAAACAACCAUGUAUUUGGUUGUGGUGAUUUUGAGGGUAUACAUGGUUGUAGAGAUAGUAAAUUUGAGGUAGGAUUUGUAAUUAUUGAUCUUUUGAAAGGGUUUUUGGACAUUUCCUUAGCUUUUGAUUUAGAAAAAAAUGUUAAAUGAAAUUAGAAAUUAGGAGGUGGCAUUCCAGCAUUUUUUUUCUCAGAUAGUGGCUUUCUAGCCAUUGAUUCAUUUCUCAAUCCACCAUAGCUGAGCUCCGAGAUCACUUGUCGCCAAUCGCCGUCGUUACUCAGAACAGAGCCAUUGUUCUCCACCUUAAGCUGGUUCGUCUCUUAUCUCAAAUUCGAUGAUUCGUGAUUACUCUUGUUUAUUUUCUCCCUCUGUCUAGAUUUUAGUUUCGCUGUCUAUUAGGUCUAGCUAAUGAUUCUACUUCGUCAAUUUGAAUACUCAACUCGUUUGGUGCUCUUCGAUUCUAUAUUCAAUUGCAUUUUAACACUCGGUAUUCAGUUUUUGAUUGAAUUUAUUAUCGAGAUUCAGAUUCUAGGCCUUAUGAUUGACUGUACACAAGGUCUUGUGUAUUGAUCUUGAGCCUUUUUAAGAGUUUAGAAUCAGUUUGAUUGAUGUAAGGCUUGUUUAGGGAAGAUUUCUUGUUGCUUUAGUGUUGAUAUAUCUUUCUAUUUUGCAGAUGGUUCAAAGCCACCCUACUGGCUUAUCCAAAAAUAAUCUCUUGAAGCUCUUUGAACCACGGCCGCCAUUGGAGUACAAACCACCAUCGGAGAAGAGAAAAUGCCCACAUUUAUAUCUGAUUGUUUUUUAAGUUUAUUCUCACGAGCUUUGAAUUUGUUUCGUGUAUUCAUUUUAGGUAUGGCUCAGCUUGUGAGUAACUUUGCUGAGCCUGGGGAUGCACCUUAGACUUUUUCGAACAUGCCAGCUUUAACCAAAGUCAGUGUCUUACAGUCACGUGUGGUUUUGUUUCAAGUUCCAGGCACACAAAAAAGGAGAGAAUUCAUAAAUUACGACUAGAGAAAGGAGUUUAAAAAGCUGCUGGGAACUUAAGAAAUUGUAAUCAACUAUAUGUUAUGUAUGUUCCCCUUCAUGCCCUCUUACGGUAAGAGGAUUUCAGAGUAAUUGAAUUUUUAUAUGCAAAUUAAAUGACCCAAAUAAUUAUCCAAAUGCUUCUUGAGAUCCAUACAAGACAUUGUUCAUGUCUUAGAUCUAAAUACCCGAAUUAUCUUUUGGUGAGUUAGUCUAUGGCUUCCUCCUACAUUUUUGAUUUUAGAAAUUUCUGAGGCUUUUUUUUUUUGGAAUUGUACUCAAUUGCUAUGAUUCUGGAUUUCAUUCUAUUUGAUUAACCAUUUGUUCGUUAAUGAGCCAGUGAUGUGAUUUCAUGUAUAGACGUUUUGCAUUGUUCUCAUAUUACAAUUCGAUGACAUGAUUUGUAACGCUCCGACCAUCCCUACCAGUGAGCACCCACGUCCAAUCUCAGGCCUGUGGGCCUCAUCCUUGUCCGACGGUCGAUUCGCUACGUUCGGGAGGGUUGAAAGACUUGUUUACCGACCCUACAAAUCACCACGUGAUCUUUCCCCGUGUUUUGUCCUCACUUACACGGUUCCGACAAUCAUUUUCCGAAAGGUCAUCUAUCCUGAAACUACUCCAGCAUAAGCACGCUUAACUAUGAAGUUCUCUCAGGACAGUUGACCGGAAAGAUAAGUGCACUUUGGUGACAUAGGUGGCCAAAUCAAUUCUUAUAAACCUCUCCGCAUGCACCACCAUAUUCCUGAAUUCGGAGUGUUACAAUUCACCCCCACUAACUGAUCGCAACGUCCUCGUUGCGCACCAAGACCGUCACCCCCAAUGGUGUGAGCUCUCUUGACUCCACACUCAUCUGGGUUCGGCUCUGAUACCACUUGUAACGCCCCAACCGUCCCUGCCAGUGAGCACCCACGUCCAAUCUCAGGUCCGUGGGCCCCACUCUUGUCCGACGGUCAAUUCGCUACGUCCGAGAGGCUUUAAAGACUUGUUUACCGACCCUACAAAUCACCACGUGAUCUUUCCCCGUGUUUUGUCCCCACUCACACAGUUCCGACAAUCAUUUCCCGGAAGGUCACCCAUCCUGAAACUACUCCAACAUAAGCACGCUUAACUCUGGAGUUCUCUCAGGACAGUUGACCGAAAACAUAAGUGCACUUUGGUGACAUAGGUGGCCAAAUCAAUUCUUAUAAACCUCUCCGCAUGCACCACCAUAUUCCUGAAUUCAGAGUGCGUGUUACAUGAUUGUUCCAGGAAUGCUAUGUCAAAAAAGCUUUAUGGGUACUUCAUGUUAUUGUAGAUGAUCAGAAUGCUGCCUUUGCGUAGAAUGUUGCUCAACGUUGUGUCAAUGGAGAGAGCUGGACCGGGGAGUUUGCUGUCAAGACCAAAUGUUGUGGGGAUCAUUUCUAUCACAAGUGACAUAGCACCAUAUAUGAACCCGAGAAUCUCUUUGGAUAAAUUAAAGGCGCAAGAAGGUGAAACGAGCUCUAUCUCUGCAAGGAAAAGUUUUGCCUAUAAACUUGGUGCUUAUGAGCUUAUGAGCUUUUCGAAAAGGAAGGAAACCGACCCAUCAUGAUCGAUGAACUCGCUUCGGUUCGUCUCUUUUUAUCUAACCCUAUCUUUAUACAAAAGUCUGUUUCAAGUCUUUGAAAAUGCCCAAAUCAACUCGUUGGUUAAAAUAUAUUUCAGGAACUUGGUCUUGGUCCUUCUGUACCGGUUCACGCAGUGCUUCACGAUUGGCUUAGGCAUACCGAUGGAAAGCUUAGCUUUCUCGGAUUUGUGAAAUUGCUACAUGGUGUGUCUAGCCGCACGAUCAAAGCUCAUUAGAAGGGUUUUGAAACAUGGAAUGAUAUGUAUGAGAGUUGUCUGAGAUCUCUUUCUCCUAGGAGCGCUUUCUUAGGAGUUAUAAUAUGUGGCUUUUGAAAUUUGUUAUGAAAGCUGAGAAGAAAAGAUAAAAAAAGAGUGUAGGAAAAAAAAAAAAAAAGAGAAGUGUGUGUUAGUUUGUAGAGAGAAUGAGAUAUUUUUCCAAAUUUGGUAACUUAUGACGAUUGAUGAUGUCUCUGACAUUUCCUUCUAGAUUUUGGUUUUUUCACUUUUUGACACAAAUCUUAUUUUCCAAUAUUUUAUCUGUUACAAUAAAAGAGCAAAUGGGUCUAACUUCUUCAAGUUUUUUUCCCAUUUAAUCUUCGAUUCAAAUUCCUAAAGAAUAACAAACAUGAAGAAAUGAAUUUCCGACGAUGAUUUUGGUAAUUCAUUAUCACUUUAAUCGAGGGAUGGAAACCCCAAAAAAGGAGUAAAAAUCAAAAUAAUAAAUAGAUGGCUUUACCUGUCGAAUCUCAAUCGUGAAGUGAAACUCCCGUUGCAUCUUCUCUUCCACUUCCUGUGACACGAAAGAGUGAUGAAUCUGAUCGUUCGCAUUUGAUAAAUAUAUUGGAGAGGUUAGAGGAACACCGUAUUGAGGAAAUCAAAGAAGUCUAAGGGAUUGUCACGGUAGUUGAAAGCGUUUUAUAAUUGUCCAAUUAUAUCAUUCAUUAAGUAACUAAAUUUAUGGUUUAGAAUUUCUGAUUAUUGUUUAACGCAAAUAAGAAGCAUAAGUGUGUUGAUGUGGCAAUCUAAGAGAGAAGUUUGAGAAGCUGAUGUGGACACUUUGAGAGGGCUCAAAUUGUCAUUUUUAUCAGUAUAGACUAGGGGCGAACUCGGGCUACGCCCGGGUAUAUUUAAAAUUUGAUAUUAUUAUAAAGUUUAUAACCAAACAUUUUUCUUAAUUUUUUUAUAAUACAUUGUGUAAACUCAUGUGAUGUUGUAUUCAACAUUUUAAUAAAGAAAACAUAUAUGAUUUCAUUAAAAUUAUUUAUAACCUUUUUGUUAUUGUUAUUGUUAUUUAUAUUAAAACUUAAUGUCUGAUUUCUCGAGAUUAUCUGUUACUUCAAAACAGAGGAACUGUUAACUUGUGGACUAUUGUUUGAAAACAUUUUCUUGACUACACAAUUCUUUGAUUAGGGAUUUAAAAUCAGCAAUAUAGCUAAUAAUUUUUAACAAUAGCCUUGUGUAACAUAAGCGCUAGAAACUGAGAGAACUACUAUGUAUAUAAUUGGGAGAAAAUAGCAUGCUUAUGGUACGUAGUAUGAAUUGGAACUUUAGAAUCACUAGUAACAAAGCAUGUGGUGCCAAUUAUCUAACCAACAAUGUUGAGAAUUCUAAUAUGUUGAGGACCCCACGUUUGUUAAGCUAAGGCUAAGCGUUCAUGUUGCUCUUCCGUAAUUUUAGCAUAACAGAUUAACAGUUGACUUCUCUUUUGCUUAAGAAUGAAUUCACUUUGUUUAAGUCCAACCAAACAGGACUUGCUAAAGCAAAUCCUACACUAAAAAUGAGACAUCUAUUUUCAAUUUCUAAGAUAUUUUUGUUUCAGUCCUGGAUUUUUUUGUGAAGACUAAACGUAAACCAUAUAUAUAUAUAUAGCAAAAUUUGCAAGUUCAGUAACCAACCAAACAUAAUAUAUAACUCAGUUCGUAACAAUUUACAAAAAAAAAAUUUCCUAAAAAAUACGUUAAUGACCUGACCACAUAGCACAUAUGACAUAUGAUAGUAAAACCCCUCAGAAUACAACACAGUGUUGAGUUUUUUGCAUAAGGAGAUAAACAUUUUCUGAAAUUAAUCAUCUGUUAUUUUCUCUAUCGUUGAAACCCCUUAUGAUUUUUGAUAUUUUAAAAAAACAUCCUUAUGGUUAAUUUUCCUCUACAAUACCUUUGAUGCGGACCUUAUUUGCAGAUCUUUUUUGCAGCCACAAAAAUAUCUCCAAGAAGGAUCACCAAGAGUCAUACAAAUGAAAGAAACAAUUCGUAAGUGACCGAGAAAGAGGGAACCGCUUAUCUACACUAUAAUUUAUGAUUGCAGAACUAAAAACAAAACGGAAAAACGGGAGUGUAAGCUGACAGAGCUCUUGCUUCUUUUUUAUUAAAAUGACCGAACCGACCCGAACCGACCCGAACCGACCAUAUUUUAUCCUAUCACCAAAGAGUACAUUGUUUAAAUUUAACACAUGAAAAUUACACUAACAAAGCAAUACCCCCUACUCGAAUAAACCCGAUACCCGAAAAAAAAGAACCGAACCCGAACGGGUAUCCGAAUGCCGAGGCCUACCUAAAACCCAGUUAUUCUUUCGUUGAACACCUGGUUCGAAACAGGUUAGCCUACUAUAAGGAUUGGAUUCUACCUAAAAUAUAUUUUUCUGAGGUAUAUUAAGAUUCAGUCGUCUCUACGACAUCUUACUGAGUUUCCCCCUCAUCUUUUUGCAAAAAAUCGCUCUCGGCACGUCGGAUUCUCGUGAGUUCACCGGGGUGGAGCACAAUAUUUUUUAUUUGCAGGGUCCUGAUCUUUCCUUACCUUCACACAUCUACGUCGCUUUCUCUUCCCCUGUUGCAGCACAAAACCGCUUCUUUAUGUUCCACUGACUCUGUUAAUAUUAGUGGGAUUGCUUUAGAAAGAGUUUCAUAUCAUUUUUGACGUGAAACAUGAUUUGAAAGCUUAAAUGACCAGCAAACUAUCUGAAAACCUAGGGAAAAUAUUUCAUCAUUCAUAAACACUACAACUGCAAGAAUAUUAGGUAACAAUGUUCAUUUCUCUAAACCCAAAAGCCACUGUCAAUUAAGUUCAAAGACACAUGGAUUUAGUUUCUAUUUAAUUUCUAAAUGAAGUGACACAUAUGGAAGAAAACGUAGGAAUUUAUAUAACUAACAUCUCAUAUCCAAAGAGUUCGAAUGAAAAUGAACAAAAUUUUACCCCAGAGAAGUGUGAUUGACAAUCUACAAAUAGUGGUGGCGGAGGAAAUGUUGUGAAGGCACAAAAUGUAGAAAAUGUUUUAGGCACCAAAACUGUGAUCAAUAACUCCUAUGUCUAAACACCACCAGUAAGAGAAUACUAAUUGUAAAAAUAGGCAAAGAGGAGAAUUAAGUUUUCUUUUUACAGGGUAAAAGCUAAGUCAAAAGAAGAGCUCCAUGAAGAAGAUACAAUAAACCUUUCCACAAUCUAAACUCUUAAAAAUAGUACAUAACUCAUUCGCUUCUUAUUUUGUUUUUAAUUUUAAACUCCUUUGCUUUAUUACUACAAAUAACAUAAGUGUAAUAACUCACCAAGUCCAGGACGAAGCUGGAUGAAAUGAUGUAAUGAAAUCUAGGAAGAAAACACGUAAAAAUCUGAAGUUAGAAUGUGAGUUUGAGAAUAAAUCAUACUAAUCAUCAUAUAUGUAUCUUAAAUUGGGAUGGGAUUACUAAAUCAAUUCAAUCGCCAUUACAAAGUAAUAAGCCAUAUAUAUCUUCUGUAGCUUGUUGCACUUGCAAAACUUACACAUAAUCAUAUUACAUUCAAAAUAAUAAUUAAGUACCGUAAAAUAUGCUUGACAGAGGAAAAUGAGACGAUCGAGAGAGAAUGUCGUCGUAAUGAAGUAAUAAAGAUCUCACUCUUCCCAUCAAAAAACUCACGAACAUGUUCAAAGCCGGAGGGAGGCGAAGUUAAACCCAAAAAGAGAAAGAAAAACGGUUAGAUACGACCAGCGAGUUUCAUAGUUCCUAACGCAAGCGCCAGUUGAUAGCCAUAGAUUUAUGAAACAGAUUUACUCUUAUGUUAUCCAAAACUUCAGAAAGAAAUAUAUUCCUCCUCGCAAACUUAAGACAAUUGUUGAGACGUAGUCACGCUGAUACUUGCCUUGCCAAUAACAUCGAGCCAUUUUGAAGUCGAAGAGACGUUUUCCACCGAGGUAAGAGAUGUUUCAAUGAAAAAAUGGUGUUUUUCUUAUUGCACGACCUCCUCUACCUCUUCUUCCCCUUAUUCAAACUCAAAGUUCGAUCCUUACGACGAUCCAUUUCUGAGCUUGAAAAAAGAAGUUGAAACUGAUGGGAUCGUGGCCUUAUGGGAGAUGAUACGUUUAGGAUAUAAGAGGGGAGCGAUGAAUGUAGAUUCCCGAAUGAAGUCGUUUCGAGAGCUACAUUUUAAGAGUGGAAUGGCUGACGUGGCACUACAGGAAAAGACUUUAGAAUGCUGAUGUGGACACGGGCUCAAAUUGUCCCUUUUAUUAGUAUAGAUUAAAAUGAGGGUAAAUUUCAUGUUAUGGCAGUUGACCAAGUUUUAAUUUCAAGUUUUGGCAAAGUGAAAAUGGGCUUUCAAGUUUUGACAAUUUAGCCAAAAUCUGACCAUUUUACCCCUACCGAUGUACUGUUCACUGUACGGUUCAGUGAAGCGGUUCAGUUACGUACACUGUUCUGGUUAAGCAAUAUAUUUCGUUCUUAAUUGAUUCGUGCGGGAGUACAGUGACAAGUUGGGAUUAAUAACAUUAAAACACAAUGAGACAUCAGUAUUUAAUGACCAAAAAGUUUAGACAUGACUCAUGUCACAAUUAAUGCAAAAGUCAUCAUUACUUUUUCUAAUAUUAGUUUAUAUGUGUGAAUAGUUGUAAGAGACAAACAUGAUCCAUCAAACAAACAAAUUUUUCUGAACGAAUGUGAUUCUGCAUCGGUUUGAUCUUCUUGAUUUACAAAGUUUGGAGCCAAGACAAGCAUUGAACGUGUAAGUAAUGAAAUUGGUUAAGAAGUUUUUUGUUUUAACACACUAGGGUCUUGAUUGUGUGCUAAGAUCAACAUUGUUUUUAUAUAAAAACCCAGAAUAUUUUUAUUUCCACUUUUUUUAGUUGAAAUUGCUAAAUGAGGAUAGAUUUAUGUUUAUAAGUGUGUAGUUGGGAAUUCUUUUUGUUUUUUGUAGAUAUAAUCAUGCUUUCAUUUGCAUUUAAUGAGGUUCUGCUGAAUUUAUGAUGCAGGUUGGUAAUGGAUAUUCCCGUAUUUACUAUGGUGGGUGAGUGGAAAUGCAAAGAAGAAGAAUGGAAAUUUGAACCAUGGGAAGGCUGGUUUGGUCGUUGUGUACGUGUUAGGCAAAACAUGACGUACACGGCAUUUGUACGUAUAUUAUGCGAGGUUUUCAGUUUGAAGUGCACCGAAUGCAAUCCAAUAAUUAGUUACUGGAUGCCGGGAAAGAUGUCAGUGAUGAUAGAAAGUAAACGCCCUCCUGUAUACAUUGACAAUCAAAUGAACCUGGAUACAUUCUUUUUGAUUCAUGGUGGGGAUCCUAGUGUCACCUUGUUUGUCUCUUUCAUUACAACCGUCAAGGCACUCGGGAAUACUGUCCCUAGGACCGAUGGUGAGAGUUACCGUGUGUGUGGGAGUGCAACGACACCAAAUCCCAUCGUAGCGGCUUCAAAUGUAGAUGGAAAUAAUGAGGCCGUAGAUGAGCAAGACGAUGUUGAAGACGAUAAAACAGAUGAGGAUGAAGAAGAGGAGGAGGACAACGAAGAUGGUGCUGGGUAUGAUGAUUAUCAGGGUGAUGAUGGAUCUAUGGGGGGAAGUACCCUCGAUCCUACUAUAGACGGUAGUGAAGGCAGUGGCGAAGAUUACGAUUACAACAAGUGGAACGAUUUAAUUAUUGAAGAAUAUGGAAUAGGGAAUGUUGAGGAGGACGUCAUUCUCACUCAACAAACGGUUCAACAUCCAGGGGAAUUCAGUCGUCUAUUGGCAGAGUGUACGUACACAAGUCAUCGUGUACGUGGGGGAGAUAACUCGGUUGACCGUACACCAACGGUGACUCCAAGACGUACGUGUCAACAUGGUUUGUACCAAUGUACGUACACAACAGAAUGUGUACAAGAUACAGGCUGCGAAGGUAACACCGAUAACAAUAUUAAUGGUAUAGACGAUGUCUCUGGGGACGAUGUUAUCGACCGUGGUAUUGGAGAUUCCCCAAGUGGGACACUGAAUGAUAAUCGGCUAGUUACUGCACCUGGCGGAGAUAACAUUUCUCAUUCGGGUGACCGUACACCAACGGUGACUCCAAGACGUACGUGUCAACAUGGUUUGUACCAAUGUACGUACACCACAGAGUGUGUACAAGAUACAGGCUGCGAAGGUAACACGGAUACCAAUAUUAAUGGUAUAUACAAAGUCACUAUCGACCGUGGUAUUGGAGCUUCCGCAAGUGGGACACUGAAUGAUAAUCGGUUAGUUACCGCAGCUGAGGCUUACGAAGUGUAUAAUGACUUUUCUACAUUACAUGGUGGCGAGUUGGAGAUUCUCGAUAAUGAUGCUGCUCCGGUAUUCGAUGAUUUAGCCAAUUUACGAGAUGAUGAGACACAAGUCGAACUGAGUACGACAGGUGAGACUUUGUAUGUCGGGAGUGUUUUUAAGAACAGAAAAGUCAUACAACAAACAAUGUCUUAUCUCGCAAUCAAACAAUGCUUUUGCUACAAGCAACGUAGGUCAUGUCCUACAAGAUUGGAGAUGGUCUACGUUGAUGAUACUUGUCCAUGGCAUUUGACAGCUCAAGUUGUCAAGAAUUCAGAAUGUUUCAAAAUCACAUCGUAUGAUACCACCCAUACGUGUGACAUCGACACUCGUAAGAAUUAUAAUAAACAUGCUAGUUAUAAGCUUCUCGGAGAGGUAGUGAAGAGCAGAUACAGUUCUACGCAAGGGGGUCCGAGAGCUGUCGAUUUACCACAGUUGCUCCUAAAUGAUCUCAAUGUUCGGAUUUCAUAUUCUACCGCUUGGAGAGCUAAAGAGGUUGCAGUGGAAAAUGUAAGGGGGGGUGAUAUAAAAAGUUACAGGUUUUUGCCUACAUAUUUGUAUCUUCUUAAAUUAGCUAAUCCGGGUACGAUAACUCACCUACACUCUACACCUGAAGCUGAUGGUACGCAGUGCUUUAAGUAUGUUUUUGUAUCUCUCGGGGCUUCUAUAAAAGGUCUGAAGUAUAUGAGGAAGGUAAUUAUCGUAGAUGGAACGCAGCUAGUAGGACGUUACAAGGGAUGUCUCCUCAUUGCAUGUGCCCAAGACGGGAACUUCCAAAUAUUUCCAAUAGCGUUUGGUGUUGUGGAUGGUGAGACUGACGCUUCAUGGGUGUGGUUCUUUGAUAAAUUAGCUGACAUUGUUCCAGACAGUGAAGAUUUAAUGAUUGUAUCGGACAGACAUUCUUCAAUAUAUAAAGGCCUCAGUGUGGUUUAUCCGAAAGCUCAUCAUGGUGCAUGUGCAGUACACCUUGAGCGAAAUAUCUCCACCCAUUAUGGUAAGUAUGGUGUAUCUGGAUUAUUCUUCAGCGCUGCUAAAGCUUACAGAGUGAGAGAUUUUGAAAAAUACUUCGAACAGUUAAGGGCUAAGAGUGCUGCAUGCGCAAAUUACUUAGAGGAAAUUGGAUUUGAGCAUUGGACAAGAGCUCACUGUAAAGGGGAACGCUACAAUAUCAUGUCUAGCAACAAUUCGGAGUCUAUGAAUAAUGUCUUAACAAGAGCCAAAUCAUAUCCGAUUGUGUACAUGAUAGAGUUCAUUCGAGAGGUCCUAAUGCGAUGGUUCGCAGCGAGGAGGCAAAAAGUGGCUAGGUGUAAGUCUUUAGUGACGCCUGAGGUUGAUGAGCGUUUUCUCCAAGAUUUGCCUGCGUCAGGGAAAUUUGCGGUUAAGAUGUCUGGACCGUGGAGUUAUCAAGUUACAAGCAAGUCAGGUGAGCAUUUUCAUGUCGUUCUGGACGAGUGUACGUGUACGUGUCUUAGGUACACAAAGUUGAGAAUCCCAUGUGAACACGGUCUAGCAGCUGCAAUCGAGUUUGGAAUAGAUCCGAAGGUUGUUGUAGGAUGGUGGUAUGGACUUCAAACGUUUUCCGAUUCUUUUCAAGAACCGAUUCUACCUAUCGCGGAUCCGAAGGAUGUUGUCAUCCCACAACAUAUAUCGGAUUUGAUACUAAUUCCUCCAUACUGUAGACGACCACCAGGAAGACCAACAACCAAAAGGAUUCCAUCUAGAGGUGAAAACCGGGUAAGUGGUAUCAUUCAAACGUGUACAGAUUUUUCAAACAUUAUGUUUUGAAUAUAAGAUACGUAGAUUAUUAACUUAUUGUUGUUGUCAUUUCAGAAAAAGAGACAGAAAAGACUUAUUCCGAAUCAGUGCACACGAUGUAGACAAGCAGGUCAUAACAAGAAGACUUACAAAAAUCCUAUUUAGUUCUCCUCAUAAGCUUUAUGUCUCCGCGAAGACAGUGUACGUUUAUGUGUGGACAGUGUGUACCAAAGUGUUGUGACGGUGUACGUACGUUUAAUGUUUGCCAUCGUAUAACUAUGUACGUUUUCUGAGUGUACGUUUUUGUUAGUGUACGUGUUUGUUGUGUCUGUGUACGUAUAAUCUUCAUGCAAUAAACGGUUACAAACGGUUACAAACAUUUGUAUCUCAACCGUUGGAACACUUUCGCACUACCCACCGCGUCCGUUACGGAAUUUCCUUAUUUAAGCCACAUCUCCUCCUCAAUUUUAUCCACGUUCCUUCAAACGAAAACCCUUUCACAUUCGGCAGUUACAUCAAUCAAACACAAAGUCUUUCGAUUGUUCUUGCUAACCGUGUGAUGGACGGGUAUCACACCAUCUCUGAAUUGUGUCCUCAGAUCACUGGGUGGACAAUUUGUGUAUUUGUCGUGAGAGUGUUUAAGAAGUUUGUUGCGCCCAACAUCUUCGAACUCGGCCUUAUCUUGGCAGAUAAUUCGGUAGUUUCCCUGUGCCGUGUUUAUGUUUUUUUAUCAUACGUUAGGUUCAAUUCUAUAUAAAUCUGUUAUAUAUCAUAUUCUGUAGGGAUCCCGUUCCCGUAUCGAGGCCACCAUUGAUCGUCGCCUUGCUCCUUUUUACAUAGACCGAAUCAAAGAAAAUGAGUGGAAAAUUGUGACCACUUUCUUGGUCCGUAACGUCGCUGACCCAGUGAGAGCAACAUCUCAUGACUACGGCAUAUGGUUUAUGGAUCGGACCGUUGUUACUAACGCCUUACGAAGGGACCCAAUAUCGUUUUACGAUUUCACUCAAUUCGACUACAUUUUGGAGAAAACAGUUGAUAAGAAAGUUUUAGUCGGUGAGAUGUUUUUUAAGUUACGUUUUAUUUACACAUUUUUGAAAUUAGAAGUUUGUUUCUAUUUUUUGGCCCUUGAUGUAGAUGUCAUUGGAGCGUUGUUGGAGGUUGGCCACUUGACCGGAGACUUCUACGGUCUCAAGCUUCCUUUCAAGAUCAAAGAUAGAUAGUAAAUGUUCUUUUCACAUUUGAUUCACUUACACUUUUUAAUCUAAACGCUGACUUGAUUCUUCUUUUAAUCUAAUGUAGCAACGAAGUUUUGGAAUGCGAAGCACACAAUGAACAGGCGUUGGAAUUCCAAACCUUCUUUCGGAGUCUAGGUCAGCGCAAUGUUGUUGUCGCACUCGUCUUCUGGCGUUUAACCGACAGAGCUAAUCCUAAGGUUGUGAGUCAUGGUCCUGUGUCAAAGGUCUUUGCCGAUCCGGACACACCGGAAGAGGAAGAGAUCAAGCAGGUCGUUUUUUAGAUAGGGGGAUUUGUUUUCCCCAGUCUUCUUAUUAUUAAAGACCAGAUUUAUAUUAAGUAUUGUAAAACUACAUAAACUUGUUGUCGUUUUCUAAUUACUUGAAUUUGUAUAAUAAACUAUUGGGUAAUUGUACGUACAUUUUAUACGUACAGUGUCUACAAUUACAAUUAAUUUGCCAUGUACGUUUUACUCGCUUUUUGGUUCUUCAAUCAGCAAAUUGUACGAAACCCGUGUUCGUACACGAAAACAUACAUAUAUCAUAAUUGUUGUCCUCAAACAACAAAAACUUCAUUCAUUCAUAAUUAAGUGCCCGAAGAAGGACAUACAUUCAAGAAAGACAAACUAUAUAUUAGAUGCGGAAGCAAUAAACUAAAAAGUAGAGCCCGAAGCAUACACAUGAGCCGGAAAAUUGUAUGCCUCAUCCGUCAUUAUCAAAGUCAUAUCUAAUAGAAGACACACAUCUCCCUCGCGUACCAGUAAAAGAAACACCCUCUGCAGCCGGAACUGUACGUGCAAAGGCCAACACAUGCCGGUGUGUGCACAUACAUCCAUGAACGUUGCCAGAGCCGAGGACCUUCGGUGUGAAGCUGGCUUAUGUGAUACAUCACCAUCUCCCCCACUGCGUGAGCUGCCGUUAAUGUGGGUGUCAUCGCCCAGAACAUAUCGCUGACUGGAAGAAAGUCGACAUGGUUGCCAGUACAAGUUAGGAAUAAGCCGGUCGCGAAGCAGGCGAGAGGGUUAGAUGGAGCGACGGAGUUGAGUAGUGUAAUGCCGUGGGCCACCGUUAGGAAGCUGCUUGCAUGGCGGACACCUUCGAGGUAUAUAGCCGGGAUCGCACCCCUUUCCAGCAAGAGGCUGAAGUAGGCCCUAAAGGGAGACUCCGGCUGCACGAAGUGAGGCCAUGUGAUGAAGUCGUCCAUCACUAUUGCGUUUACGUCACUUGCUUCGACCAAGUGGCGGAGGGUCUCGAUGGGAGUCUGGGAUACGGGCAGGUAGUUGAUGAGGACGGAAAUCGGGUUUGGUAAUUGUAUUGCAAGGUACAUCUCGGUUGGAGGGGUUGCGGGGAAAGCCAUGUUGUUAACAAAGGAGGUUUAGAAAUAAUCUUGUAGUUGAUAAAAGAAGGAGGUUUUAGAAUAAUGUGAGCAAAUAAAUUAGUGUGUGUGAUAUCGUUUAUAUAGGGCCUAAAUAUUGAGUUCAUGUAUAUGGCUACAUUUGGGGGGGGAACGCAUUAAUAAAGUGUCAUUAUUUUAAAGUUCCUCUUAUCUGACAAAUGCAAGUGUACAUUAAUUGCAAACCGUGUACGUAAAGUAAGGAGAUUUAGUGCGAAAAGAUAGAGGUCAUUCUAUGAAUAGAGCUUGACAGUAUGCAUUAAAUAACCACUCCAAAACUUGUAGAUAUGGGUUAUUACAGGUCAAAUCAAUCAGCAUUGCAUCAUCAUUUACUACCAUCUCAAAAGUCGCUUCUCAUAUUUCUAGUUUCAAACCAACUAAAAUCGUGUACACAGUAACGUAUACCCGUGUACGUAUGUCUACCCUUAUUACGUUCUCUGACUAAAAGUUUGAGUUAAUGUCUGUCGCCGAAUUAGGGGAAAAUAUUGAGUUCAUGUAUAUGGCUAAAUCUGGGGGAAACGCAUUAAAAACCAAAUCUCUUUCUUUUGCAAUUUCGUUUUAUCUGACAAAAGACAGUGUACAUUAAUUACAGGGAUGUGUACGUAUAUAUGUACAUUAAUUUGCGUUUCUUUUUUUUUUUUUUGAAAAGAUAGAGGUCAUUAUCAAUGGCUAAAUCAGGUCAAUAUGUAUUUACUGAUAAUUCGUAAGCCAGUGUAGACAAGGCACCAUUAUCUAACAUUAAGAAACUUGUUUCUCAAUUUAAUAUAAAAUAUUACAAUUAUUUGUAACCAUUCAUAAGAUUGAGUAGUAUAUGAGAAACAAGCAAGGAUGUAGAUAAAAAGAUAUUCAUUACUGAUAAGCAAAGUACAAUUGCAAAGGCCACAUAUUAUAACAUAAAAACUUAGAAAUUCAGAUAAUAUUACGUAAGAAAUCCCUAGAGAAUUUGACUAAUUCUUCUCGCACACCACCAGAGGUAACAUACGUUGCACACAUUCUUGAAGGGUCCAAAUCUGAUGUAACACAGCAUCGCGCAAGGAGGCGUUUGAAUACCACGUUCCUCAGGGUACGAAAAGGUUGCGCCGUAUGUGUUGUUUAACCUAAUUCCAUAAUUUUUUAUUUCUUCUAGGAGUUCCUCACAUAUGUCACGUGUUUCUUCUGAUUCCAAAGCGUAAUGGUUGUUUGCGAACAGGCGUAGGUACACACCACCCAUGUGAGCAUUCCCGUCGCAUAUGCACAGAAUAGCGCAGGCCAGGGUUGCAUCGGCAUGCCUUGGUACAUUCCGCUGUAAAAGUACAAUGGCGCCCUUAAUGUCAGACUCAUGGGUAACUAGACGCAGUCCUUCAUGGUAAAUAGCAAUCGGGUUACCAGCCUCUAGACACCUUUUGAAAAAGGGUCUAUAUCGACCUUCAGCGUUGAUGUCAUUCGGAUCAUGGCCUGCCGCAUGGAAGUCAUCGGGAUCACUGCACAUUCUAUAAAUAUUAGCAUCUUUCAAGACAUCCGGCCUGUAGACAAUGUUUCUUCCACCACGCCCUGAUCUUAACAGAGGUCCGAGGUACCACCAACAUUUUUCAGCCAUUUUUUUGGCUAUCUUGGCUAGCAAAUCUUCUGGUAGAUUUGGUGUAGACAUUUCUUGGAAUUUGGUGUUUCAAAACAAUGCAAUUCCUACUCUUAAAUAAAGAACAAUGAAGUUAGUUGGUUAAGUUAUGGUUGUAGUUAAUGCAAUCUUACGUAAGUGAUGAUGCAGUGGGGGAGGGUUGUCAAAUCAAUGUAAGUAAAGAAAUAGAUAUCUUAUUAUGAGAAAAAUCGACUUUGUGUAAAAGACGUACGUUAUAUAAGAUGUACGUACACAUGUUGGUUUUUGAAUAAGUGUACGAUGUGCAGAUUGUUUAGAGAAGAUAGUUAUAACGAUUACAUAAAUAUUUUGAGGAUCUCCAUAAUUAAUUACGUUGUUCUAAUUAGGUUGUUGAAAUAAGGAAAUAAGUACUAGGAAAUAAAAAUAAUUCAACAUCCAGGGAUGAUUACAAUAAACGCCGAUUACCACACUCGCGCUUGCCGUGCUCGUAGAUUUCUGUUGCGUACACCUGACGGUAGGUGGCCAUAUCUGCUUCUUGAAUAUUCACCAAGUCUGACAUUGGGUUACCAAACGCCAGCAACUCCAAGAACUUCAUUGCGUAAGGCCCGCAAUCUCCUGUACUUGGGUUUUGAGCGACCAUAACAUUUCUCUCAUAGGCAAAAGGUUCAACUGAGUACUUCGCAGGCAAUACAUCCGCGCACAUCGCUCUCACUAGGUACGGCAUCAUCUCGCAGACAGGCUGCAUCUUUGACCAUGCAACAGACUCCCGCGUGUGUUCUAUGAGAGCGUCAUAGACAACUAUAUUCCGGGCUCUGAGGUGGAUUGCCAACCCAACCCAAUGAUCACCUUUCCAGUUCAUCAGAGCAUAUACCACGUCGACAUCCUUGAACCACCUAAGACUAGGUUCAUGGUGUAUGUGUAUUCCAUUGGCCAUGUCGUAUAGCCGGUCGCCCCAUUUGAACCCAAGCUUAUUUAUACAAUUCCUGAAGCUGACAGCACGCUUAGUAAGCUCAUAAAGCAGGAAGGAGUCCAAAACAACGCAUCGGUUUGCUAUCAUUUGUUGACCGUUCUUGUGCCACAUCAAGAUUGCGAGCAUUUCCAAGACCUGAAUGAUAAUAGCAUAGGCAGUCAGUGUACGUACAAUUCAGGCAUAUUUAAAAAAAUGUACACAAAUGUACUAUUUCAACUUACCAUAUUAUCCACCCACUGUCCUUGUGCUAUAAGCAUGGAGAAAAACUCGUUGUCCACUUUGCGAUACCCGAAAAGAGUGUGCUUCCUGUAUAUCCAAUAUUAUAGUAUGACUGGUUGUUAUAGAAAACCAAUGUAUCAAUUAAGGGAUAAUUUUGAUAAUGCACGAUACUUACACAUUCGGACCGCGGAGGACAUUGGUUAAGAGCUCUAAUUUGGAAGCAUCAACCUUCUCCAAGGGGUUGUAAGGGACAUUUCCAGCCGCUAUAACCACCUCUGAAUCUUCAGCUCGUCCAGGAACAUCCUCCACGAGGACUGUUGUUUCCUUAAAACCUUCCGGAAGGGCUUCAUCCAUCUCAACAAUUAUUUGCUUCUUCACUUUUUUGGGUACAACCGGCGUAGGAAUUUUAACUGCUAUUGCUUCGACUGCAGCAUCGUUGUUUGGUUCAUCCUGUAAAGAAGUAUUAUUGUAAACAGCAUGAUUAAACAAUUUCAAAAUGUAAUGAUAAUAUUUACUGGGAAGAUACUCACAAUAUUUUCCAGUGUACCAACUGUCGUGUCUGCUUCAUCUAACCCUGGGUUUGAAUCCUCUUGUUCUUCCACCCCGUCGACAAUCCCCUGCUGCUGCAACACUCCCUUUUCAAAUUAACGUGCAGAAUUAUUUAAAUGUACGCAUACAAUCCUAUGUACGUAUGUUAAUAACUGUGUAUAAUUUUAAACCAAACACGAGAUUUUUACCUCUUUUACAUUAGCUGCAUCCACAUCCAUGGAGGCUAUCGUUGCCAACUCCUGUAACACCUGCAUAAUAGAAGAUUAUAAAUUUAAACAAGCCUACACUAUUUUAUUUAAAAAUAUAGUUAGCUUACAUUCUUAACUACUGCAAAUGGUGAAGGGGGAUCCCCUAGGGUGCCCUCAAGUACUGAGUCAUCCACUUUACUCUCUGCAACUACAUUGGGUACAUCUCCCGCAUCAACCUGUGGCAGUAGUUAUCAACUUCAUCAGCUAUAUCCUCUAUUUUGUGAUGUCUGAAACAAUCAUUACUUAUACAUACACGGGAAAUAAGAAAGACAAAUGUACGUACACUUACACCGGGUUCCUCGGUGUGUUCAGCCUGAUAAGAUGUAUCUCUAUCAUUAUCCUCAGAAAUUUCUGGUUGCUCCCCAACAUUUGCUUCACUCUCAAGACCGGCACCAUGUUCUUCUCCCUGAAACAAAUAUACCAUACACGUCUUAAGCUUUAUGUGAGUACACAUAUGGAAAACUACAUUUGACUAUUAGCAAACCAUAUACCUGUCCAGAUGUUGCAGGUAAACCUGAUGGAUUUUCUACCAUCUCUGUGUCAGCAGUUGGUUUUUCAUCUGUCCCUCGCUGUGUACCAACUACGACAGGCUCACCACCAUCAAUUGGUUCUUUAUCCUAAAACAUAGUAUACCAUACACUUCUUAAGCUAUAUGUACGUGGAGAACUGAAAAUAAUUGAUACGCGUACACUUAUGGAAAACAGUAUGUGACUAUUAGCACAAGACAUACCUGUACAGAGGUUGAAGGUACAAAAGAUGGAAUUUCUUCCAUCUCUGUGUCAGCACUAGCUUUUUCCUCGGUCCCUGACUGUGUACCAACAAGGACAGACUCACCACCAUCACGUGCUCCUUCAUCCUGAAACAUAGUAUACCAUACACUUCUGAAGCCUAUGUGUACGUACACAACUGGAAAUAAUUGAAAAAAAAUUUGUACACGACAUACCUGAUGGGAAGGUGUAGGUCCACCAACUGAAAUGUUAGCUACUCCAGUGUCAACCAUACCUUCGUCUCUGUUCGAAAAAUCUCCUCCAUCAUUUACAGAAAAACCACCUUCAUUGUUGGCUUCAUCCUGUACCAUAGCAGACAAGUUACAGUUAUUAAUCUUCAUGUACGUACAUUUAAAAUACUAUAUAUAAAUGUACGUACAUGCCAUACCUGGUCAUCUUCCUCAGAGGAAGAGUUACCAUCAGAAAGCUGAGUAAUCUCCGCAACUGACGUCAUUAUAUUCUUCAGCCUUGAAGACUUUCUUGUUCCAGACUUGAAGACUUUCUUUGUAGACAUCUUUUUAGAUGCCUUCGUCACACUCAUCGGUGCCUUAACCACCGAUUUAUUUGGGCCCUGUGAAGCAUGGGAAGUUUUGGUUGGUUCUGUCUUUUUGACCUUUGGAUCUAAGGCAGCACGAAUCUCCUUACGGACAAAUUUCUUCAAGUCUUCUUGCAUUUGUUUAUUUUGUGCUUCCUGCCUCUUGAAACACCUCCUAAGUUCAACUACAAACUUCUCAAACUGGGGAUCUUCAGAACAAUCCUCAGCAGUGUCCUCAUUUUCUUCUUCCACAACAUAUUUCUGUUUUUUCAAAGAAGGUGCAUUCGGGGCUGGUACAUUUCUUUUCCUCUUCUUCACACCUACGAUAGACCAGUUUAAUCAUUGAUUGGUCUUCAAGGGACAAUAAUCAGAAAGUAUAAAACAACAUUUACACUCACGUAUCUCUCCAAGUUGUGGUGGGCGCUCCUGCUUUGGAAAUGCAGCAUUACCUCCAACCCAUUCUUCCUCCUUCCACUCAUGACCAGCUAACAACAGUCGCUCAAUGUAAGCAACUCUUGGAUCCUCAACUUCAUCAUCCCAUGACAGGGAUGAAGGACAAAUAUUGUCCUCUGGUUUCACAAGAUAGGUUACCUCAACCUACACCAAUAAGUUUGUUGACCACUUAGAGAAUGUACACUUACUUUUUAAAUAAUGUACGUACAUAAACAAUUGUACAUACCUCUUCAGCAGCCUCACACUCCAAGAUGCUGGAUGUCCUGAUUGCCCGCAGUGAGGCAAGAUGAUGGAUAGACCUCUGAGUAAAUGUCUUGUUAGCUUCAUCAUCAGGUACUAGCUUAGCAAGGGAUGGGAUUGUUUCGAACGCAAACAGCUGGAGUGCUAAUGGGAAUCCAUGUAGUGCAUAAGACCCAUCCUUUACACACCUUAUCAGUUUUUGAGCAUCUGAAGGGGUUUGGAAUUUUGCUAUCCUCUCCAAAGUACGGGUAAAAGACACCCUUCCCCAAGGGUAUUUGCAGAAGAAUUGCACGUCCUUCGUCAUCUCAACAGUGAACUCAGAAGGCCUUAUGGGGUUAUUAUGGCACCCUAUCACACCAUCUACCAAGAUUAUAAGAGAUAAGGCCAGCUGCUUCCACCCAUCCAUGGUUUCCUCCUCCUUCAGCCAGACCACCAAAUCAUGCACUGUUGGAUUCGGCUUCUCCCCAAACUUCUCCUCAAACAGAGUUUUCCAGACACUUUGACUACCAGCUUUAACCUUUAGCACAUCCGUCACGUCUUUCUUGUUGGGAUAUGUCCCACAUUCUAGACCAGUUACCAGACUAAAUUCUCUUAAUCCGAAUUUUAUUGGAUGACCGCCGAAGACCAUCCACAUCUCAUUCACUUUACUCGUCACUAACUGACGACAUAUUAGUCCAAGAACAAGCUUACCUGAGAAGGAAGACUUGUUAGCACGUAUCCUAAAAAGGUCCCCAAAUGGAGACUCGAGAAGAAACUUCAUCUCCUCUUUUCCCUUAAGAACUUACGCUAUGUCAGAAAGGUACUCCGGUUUGGAGUACGCGUUCAUCUUCGUCUUCACAGGGUACCGGUCUAGGGCAAAGAGUCUAGGUGGUAACUCUUCAACUAUAAGAUCUUCAGUCGGAGCCACGCUUGUACUGCCUGCAAUUACAAGUAAUAUACAAUUAAGUAAGGAUGUAAACAAUACAAAUUCGUGUACGUACACAGUAAUUAUCAACAUUAUAUACUCAACAUCUGAAUUUUGGCGGAAAAAGAGAUUUCCAAUUCAUCUUCAAAUUUUCAAACUACAGAUUUAGCAAAAUCCGGCAACUUCUAUCCCUUUAAUCAAACAAGCUUUAAGAUUCCGAUACACCCAAAGAAACUACAAACAAAAUAAUAUCAGAACUUACUCAAUUCCUCCGGCGGCUUUGUCGGAGAGAGUUUCCUCCUCGGGGAUACUCUGAGUACCCGCUUCUCCUUCUCGGGGCCUUCCCGCGUAUGCUGCUUCCUCGGUACUUCGUCGUUUUGUUUAUUCCCAGCCAUCUCGAAGGUUUCUAUCUCGCCGGAGGUUUCUCAGGUCGUCUUCGCCAGAAAAACUUCAACUUUCUAUUCGCCGGUUUUUGGAGUUCAAUGCGAUGCCUCAAAUCAAGUAUCCAACAAUUCGAACGGUGAUGUCGAAAAACGAAGAUGGAUGAAUGAAUUUCGAACUGAUUUCAACUUCUCUCGAAUCUCUCUGUCUCUCUCUCCUUCUUCUUCUUCGUUUUCUUCGACAGUUUUUUUUUUUUUUUUUUUUUUUUAAACCGCAACAAAAAUCAAAAGAAACUAAACCGGUCAGUAACUGUGCGGUUUGGUUUAAUUUGUUAGGGGCAUUUUCUUCAAAAAAUGUUGUAACUGUCAAAACAUGAGAAUGAAAUCUCACUUUGCCAAACUGUGAGACAAAAUCUUUUUUCCAACCCAAACGUGAAAAUUUUAUGUAAGAAGUUCAUUACAAUUUGUUCAAAAAUAUAAUACAAAAAUGCAUCAAUUUAAUGUGGUUGUUAAUUGUGUAGAUAAACUGUGUUCUUUGACAGUAGACAUGAUACGAUUCCUGAAUUAAUAAAAUUUAAAUAUCUUCCCAUGGUGGUUAAUUUCUUUCAAUUAUUACGUGGAUUUAUGUUAGAAAUAUUAUUUUAUUUAUAAACCCUUUAAUUUAUAAAUGCCAAAUGACUCAAUAAAGAGAAAAUGAAACCCUUAUUAUAUAUAUACUAUUUAAUCCGCGGUAUACCACAAAAUAAUUUUGUUUUUUUUAUAUAUAAUCACAGUUUAAUCAACAUAAUUUGAUAUGUUUAGUAUUCUAUUGAUGGUGUUAACAAAAUAAUGAAAUGAUGAUUUACCCAUGUUGGAGCAUCGAGUCAAUCAUUUUUUAACCGUCCCGUCAUAUAACCCCGUCCCGUGAUGUUUUAUUUUUUUUAGAAAUUUAAAUUUAUAUAUCGGGAUAGUUUAAUGGUUCGACUAAAGACCGAAUUAAACCGGAGACAAACUUUUUAAUAUAGAUUUGUUAAGUUAACUUCAUGUUUAUUCAGAUUUAGAUUAUUUUGGUCUUAUUUAUAAUAUGACUCUGAACUAUUGUCUAAAAAUUUUAGCCAAUGUGGGACGUUAAUACUUGAACACAUAAUUUUUUAUCAUUACUUGAGUAAUACAUGUCCUUUUUCACACUUCGAAUCACGAUAAAUGCAGAAAAAUAAUCUAAAGAUUUAUUUGUUUUAUGUAUUAUAUGAUGAUUCAAAGCAAGUAAAUAAAAUAUCAAACAAAGAUGAUAGGUGAAUCAUAAUUUUUUAAAUCUUAACAAAAUCUUCCAAAUAUCUAUAAAGAACAUUAUAUGGAUAUUUCAUAUUUUAUAAUUAAAACUAAAUUUUUUUUAUCGUGUUUGGUUAUAUGGAUAGUAGAGAUAUUGUAAAAGUUUGUUUGGAUGCUUGUAUAUUUGUAUUUUUAUAUUACCAAAUUACUCUUAAUGAGCUUCUUAAAUUAUUUUUUAAUACAAUUACAUUCUUUGUAAAUACUUAUUAAAACAAAGAAUUGUUCUCAAAAUAUACUUCGAAAAUGUUAUAUAGAUGAUUGAUUUGUGCCUAUUAUGGGUUAUUAAACCGAACAUAACAUGAUUUGAUUCGACUUCUAUUCAGUUUCCUUUAUUUCCUUUGGUGUCACAAUAAAAAAUAUCAACCAAGAACACAUUACAGAAUCAUAUUUUUUUCUUCUAAUAGAUUGAUAUAUUUUAAUUUAUUCUAUGUUUUAGCCAUGAAUUUAUUUAAUAUAGAGGUUCAACAAGUACCUUUUACAUGUUUUUUUGAAGAGAGAGAGGGAAAAAUGGGUAGAAAAACCCUCACUUUUCCUAAAAACAUAUUAAAAACCCUCAACUUUUUUUAUGGGUUUUUAAACCCUCACCUUUUCAUAAGUGGUAAAAUAAACCCUAAUAUUAAUAAACUCAACUUAAAUUUUAAAAAAUCGUUAUAUUAAAACAACAAUAAACGAAAACAAUUUAAUUUAUGAUUUAUUCUUUUCAAAUUCGAGUUUGCUAUUUUUUUUUCUAAAAUUAAGGUUUUUGCGAUAUAAAAAUUCAUUCACAUAUAGUUUUUUUGGUAGGCAAUUUAUUCACAUAUAGUUGAGAUUGGAUAAAUCAAUUUUGUUACAAUUAAAAUUUAUGUUAUGUAAACUACAAAAAUUUAUAGGAUAGCACAUUUGAUUGUUUUGGUUUGUUCGAGUUUUUCAGCUUUUGAUUUAAGAAAUAUUCAAAAUUAUAACAAAAUUCAGAUUCAGUUGGAGGUUAGUUAAAUAAUGAUUAACUAAAUUUAAUUUAAAUUAUAAUUUAAAUAUAUCAUAAUUUACAUAGAAUUAUUAACUGCUAAUAAAUGUUUAUUUAGUUUAUUUUGUCCGAUGAAAAUAUUUUCACGUGGAAAUUCUUGUACUUUUCGUAGUAUUAUAAAAUUUGCUUUGGUUUCAUGUUAGCAAUUUGUGUGAUCGAACCUAAUAAAUAUUUAUUAACAUAAAUUCAUAUUCAGUUCGGUAUAAGAAUGUAUAUAUCACUCGUAACAAAAUUUGUUUAGUUUCACGUUGAUGAAUUUUUGUAAUACAACCGAAUAAAAGUUCAUUAAUUAACUUUUUUACAUCAUGAUUUAAAAAAAAAUUUAAUUUAGAAAAAGAUUGUAAACUAGAAUUUUAUAAGAAAAAAUCCUAAAUCAAAUUUUUUAUAUUUAUUUGUAUUUUAAUAUAACGAUUUCUUUGAAUUUAAGUUGAGUGUUUUAAUAAUAGGGUUUAUAUUACCAUUAUGAAAAGGUGGGGAUUUAAAAACCCACAAAAAAAAGUUGAGGGUUUUUUAUAUGUUUUUAAGAAAGGUGAGGAUUUUUUUACCCAUUUUUCCGAGAGAGAGCGUCAUCUAUCUUUCAAUCAAUUUUUCUUUAAGUAAAACAUAACCUUUUAAUGUAGACAUUACUUUAUUAUAUAUAUACUCUCUCCGUCACAAAAAGUGUCACUUUGUAUUUCCAAAACAAAAUUUUAAACCAAAUCUAAUAUUAACCCUACUAUUUUGAUUUAUUAAUUAGAAAAAGAAAUAUUUUUAGUGUAUUAGUGAAGGACAAAAGAGAAAUUUCUUUAUUUUUCUUAAUAUUUGUGAAAAUGGAUCGAAUAACACUUUUUAUGAAACAAAGCGAGUGAGAAGUAUGUGUGCAAUUUGCAUGCAUUUUUUGUACAAACGAAGCAUUAAUAUUGCUACAAGAAUUUUGUCUUGGUUCAUCCGAGAGAUCUUAGAUUAGUUUUGCUUGGUCCUUUCACAUAUCAUACAAAAUAAAUCAUUAUUCUUUAAUUCAAGAACUUGCUAUUUUGAUUCUUUUUCACGUAGUUUUUUUUGGAAAGCUUAGUUUUUUGGUGUUCUAAUGGGGAUCGAACCAUGUGGAAUUGGUGUUUUGCAUGAUGAUUAUUUGUUAGCUCACAAAUUGUUUACACCAAAAAAAAAAAAAAAAAAAAAAAGUUAAAGAAACAUGAUUGUCACUCAAUCAUGAAUUUAAAAUUAUUUCUCUAUGUUUUAUAAUCUUCAUGAUUUCCAACUCUCUCCUUACCUCUAACAGACUCUUCUAAGUUAAGUGAGAAAAUUUGUCUAACUCAAUUUCAACGAGAACAAGCGAGAGAAUGUGUGUAUAUCUAACAACAUGAACAACAGAUCUUCUUUCUGCUCUCAUCGCUUUUCAUUUUCAUCGCAGUGACUCAAACAUUUAAUUUACUUUAUUUCAAGUCAAAACUUUUCGCAUUAGCUUUUUUUUUUUUUGUAGAUCAAAAAAUGUAUGCUAAGCAAGAGUUUCCUAAAGAGGAAAUACGUACCUUAUGUGUGUUUGAUGUGAGUUUUUUCAAGGAAGCUAUGGCAAGCUUUGAAGACAUAAAAGCACCUAAACCAAAUCAUUAGCACAAUUCUCUUGCAUACCGGUAUAAAAUCCUAAAAUAAUCCGACCGGAUAACGAUUUACCCGUUGUUGGUGGGUUUGUUCGGUUUUACCUGUGCAGAAUAUCAAUCUAAAGACAUAGAAUAAAUUGAUUUUCAUCGGGUUCACAAAGGUUGUAAAUCUAAAUACAUAUGUUAUUUUGAGAAUAAUAUAUAUCGUUCAUACGUAAUUAAUUAAGAUACAAAGUUACAAACGAAUUCGCAGGGAUUUGUAUUAAAUACCAUUUUAAAAACAUUGUUAUUCAUACCAACUCCUCUAAUCAUGCUUAAAAGCUUAACUAUCUUAGAAUCUAACGAAUUAUAUGAUAAUACUAAAAAAAAAUGCUACGGAACUGGCUUUGCAUUACAUAUUUUUAGACGCUUUAUCUUCACCUUGGUAUGUUUGACUUCCUCCCGUAGUGGCUCCUCAACUCAACCACACUAUUCACAAUAUCAUCUCAUUGUUACAAAAAUAAUUGAACGAUCAAUAAUAAUCUUUCUUGGAUGAUUAGGAUUUAUGACAAAAAUCCACGUUAAAACAAACAAAAGAAAACCCCAUUGGUAUUAAUAAAAAUGCAUAAUGUAACUUAAUGCUAUUUAGCUUCUAAUGUUCCGCAAGGUAAAAGAAAAGGGAAUCAAAUCUAUUCACUACACAAAAUCCCAUCACGACAAACUCCAACUAAAAUUCAGACACGUAUUUGUACUUAAAACUUCCAUCUUUAUAUUCUAUUGACGACUCUUAAUUAACUACUUCAUCUUAUCUCCAAUAACAGCUUCUAAUGCAGAAUUGCUUCAAGCUGAGUUUAUUGGUGCCCCAAGACCCUAAGAAGGUUAAAAUAAUGUUGCAGUUUUGAUGUCUUGAACAGACGGAACACCUCAUACCGUUAAAGAUCCACAUAACAUCCUCACAGUUAUGAACUACUGGACUUGCAAAAUUUAUGUACCUCAGGGUUUUGAUUCUCAACUACCAAAUUCAUCCUGUGAGAGCCUACACUUUUAUGGUGCAUCAAUACUAUGGUGCACGUCCUAUAUAGUAAGAUCAACUUUUAAACAAUUGAUGUGACAUGUGAGACUUCACAUUAUGCUCUAUAAUCUACGAUUGUGGACGAUUUAAAUAUUUAAUAUAGAUUUAAUAUAUCUAAUAAUGACCGAAGAAAAUCACAACAAUAGAACUUUUAUUACACAUAAAUAAAUAUACUAAUUUGUUUUUUAUAUAUUACUAGAUUAGGUCCCGCGUAUACGCGGGAUUUGUAAUUAAAACUUUUUAUAACCCGUGUGAAAAAAUCAAAAGCCAAAAAAAUGUGGAAAACAAAAGGAGAUGAGAUGUGAAAAUAAAUCAGAAAAUUAUUAUUUUAAUAAUCCUAAAUUUUUUACUAAUUUUUUCCAAUGAAAUUUAGUAAUUUACUCACAUAUGUUCAAAUAUUUCUGUUUUUUUAUUCUUAUUCCUAUUUUGAAUGAAAUUUAAUAAUUGUUUUUUUAAAAAAAAAAAUUGAUCGGUUGAUUAUCUUAUUCUUAUUUCACUUAAACCUAUUAUUUUACCAUGCGAAUUUUGAAAAUUUUUUGCUCAUUUUAUUUUUGAUGAUAACUAUUUUCUGUAAAUUGGAAGUAAAAACAAUUGAAAUUAGAAGAAAACUUAUUAAUCAUAAAAAUCUAAAAGAAUUUGAUAUAUGCAUGGUCUUGAUCAAGAAUAAUAAAUCUUCAACAUUUUCGUUUGCAAACAUAUGGUUGUGGUCUUACUUACUUGUUUAUAGAAACAGACGUGGUCAAAUAUUUACAGACUUUGAGAAUUAAAUAAAGAUAAAACAUAAAUAAAAGAACGUUCUCGUCAUCAUGAGUCAUGACAUACCCCAUAGGAAAAAAAAAACUAUAGAGUUAUAGUGUAUCUUUACUCUAUAAUUUGAGACGAUCUCAUAAAAAAUAUAUUUUUAAAAUAAAAAAAUAAAGAGAAGAUUUACCAAUAGAACGAAGUUGAAGCAGUGGUGGUGUUUUGUUUGAUGAAAAAAAUAUGAAACAACUUAUAUAGAGGUGAAUAUUUACAAUUUUUAUUUCCUCUAGGAUUAAUUAUUAAUUAUAUAAUUUCCAACUAUUGAAGUUCAUAGUUUUAAAGAAAAAAAAUCCUUUUUCUUUUAGAAUUAGUAAUUUCUAAGAUUUUGUUUUGUUAUCGAUUACGUUAUCAUUAGAAAUAUUUGUAUGAUUUCCUUAUAAUUAUUUUACUGUAUUAAUAAUUAAUUGUAGAAUUUCUUUAAUUAUAGAAGUAUAUUUUUUAAGAUACAUUAUUGUUAGUAAGACAUUGUAUAAUUUUCUUAUAAUAAUGAUAUUGUAUAAUUUCCUUAUUAUAUUAUCUUUAACAUUUUUGAAACUUAUUUAAUUUUAUAAGUGUUUUCUUUUUAUUUUGACACGUGUCAAAUUCUUAUCAAUAUAUUUGACACGUGUCACGAUCACAUGAGUUACUAACUUUGAAACCAAACUUUAUAAUUUUAUAACUGGGACUUAACCCGUGCUACAGCACGGAUAUAUGUUUAAUUUUUAAAAACUUUUAAUGUAGAGUUUUUGUAAAUAUAAAAUUUAGUUUUAAGAUUGUAAAAUUGUUUGUAAGUUUGUUUUGUUUAGUGUUUAAAAUUUUAUAAUUGUAUUUUGAUUGUUAAUUCUAGGAUUUCACCCGCAGUAUACCUUCCCAUAUUUAUAUCGACCCAAACUCGUCCCGUCACAUAAGUCCGUCCUGUGAUAUUUUAGUUUUUUAAAAUUUUUAUAUACUUUAAAAGUUUUAUAAAGUUUAGAUAUUUAUAAUGUUUAAACUUCUUAUAAAAUAUUUAUAAUAUUUAAACUUCAUAUAAAUAUAAAUAAUUAAAUAUUUAUAAUAUUUAAAUUUUUAUAAGUUUAAAUAUUUAUAAUAUUUUAAACCUUUUGAAAAGUUUAAAUUUUUUAAAUUAAAGCAAAGAAUCGGAAUAAACCGAAUAAAACUUGUAAAUUUAGACGUCUGAUAAAUCAACCACCCUGCUCAUUCUUAUUCGGAGUCAUGUUUGUCCUUUUUAUAGUAUGACUCUUAACCAUUGCAAAACAAUUUAGGCGAUGUGGGACAUUGUACACCUAUUUUUUUCGAUUGAGUAAUAUAUGUCCGUUUUUAAAAUUUUGAAUCACAUCAUACGCAGAAAAAAAUCUAUAAUUUUAUUAACUAUAUGUAUUUUAUAAUAAUUUAAAUAUAAGAUCAAAUAAAAGUGAAAGUAUAAUCAUAUAUGUUUAUGUUUAAAUUAGGUAAACAAAUUUUAGGAAAUUAGCUUAAAUAUGUUAUAUUAGAAUUAGGAAAUCUAAAAGAUACAGUCAAUCAUGUUUGGAAAGCGGGUUUUCUUAACCAUGGUUGGAAUAGGAUUAAAUUUAAAGAUGUUGUUAGGCUACAUUGUCGUACAUAAUUGCCCUUAAUGAAUGUUUAUUAUGUGUCUUUGGCUAGUGGCAUUUGCUGUAAAUACUUCAAAUUUUUUGGAUAUGUUCAUAUGAGUACUUCAAAAAUACUAUAGUAGAUUGUUUUCUUUUUUGACACGUGUCAAAAUCUUAUCAAUAUAUUUGACACGUGUCACGAUCACAUGAGUUACUAACUUUAAAACCAAACUUUAUAUAAUAAGAUUAGGCAAAAAGAAAAAUCCUCCGAGGAAAAAAAUGAUGAAGAAGUCGUAGGAGUUACUAACUAUAAUUUUUGGGGGUGUUAUUAGUUUAUGAUUUACAUGGAGUUUUAAUGACUUAAAAUGUUAUGAAGAAUCUUUUGUUAUUCAAUUAAGAUUGUUUAAAAGUCUUUUGAAGUUUGGUGUUAUUGGUUUAUAAUUUAUCAAAAAUAAUCUAAAAUCUUUAUAAAUUUGGUGUUAUUGGAUUCAUACUUUUAUAAAGUCAAUAAAAUUUUUUUAUUAAUCAAUUAAAACAAAAGUAUCUCGGAUUUUUCAAGAAUUAAAUUAUUAUGUUAUUGGUUUAAAAUUUGUAACAUUUUUCUUCAUAAAAUGAAAUCAUGGAAAAUAUCAUUGAAAUAGAGAUUUGUCAAAAUAUCAACUUAACCAAGGUAGAGCUAAUUUAUGUGGCAACUUUUAUUCACGUAGAGGUUGAGACGUAGCGGAAGUGGUGGUUAUCACCGGUGGAUCUGUUCACACAUCUUAUGGUUGUGGUCUAUGGUGAUGAAGGAGCAUAGAUAGACCAGAUCAUAGAAGAGGAAGGAGAAGUAGAGAAAAACAAAAAAAAAAAGAAGGAAAAGAAGUGCAGUUCCAGUAGUCUUUUUUGGAGGCUCACCGGCGCUGGAGGAGAUGGAGGCUAAAAAAAAUAAAGGCACCGUCAUGACCACCACCAACCCAAGAGUCCACGGCAACUAACGGUUUGUCAAUCGGAGUUAAGAUCCGAAAGUUAUUCGCGUUGCUUUUUGGCCAAGAAACAGAAAUUGUGAAAAACUUGCAACAUCAUCUGCAUCUAUUGAAAAAUAUUGCUGGAAGAAAAUUACUGGAACUGAUGCAUCAAUUAAAACUAGUAACAUGCUAAGAAAUAAUUUAAUAACAAUGUUUAGAACAAAAGAUUAAUCCAACAGAUGAAAAGUAAGAUUCCACAAAAUAUUGAAAAUAAAAAUUUCAGGAUCUUCAUUGCAUACUCCCUGCUCCUGUAGCUUCUGCCCACAUAUUAGCAGCUAUUGUGUCUCCAAUUAUUAGCAUAUUCUCUUUGUUGCGAUUGGAGAGUCUCCGUAUCUCGAUUUUCCUCAAAAUUGUUAUUCUCGUUAUUCUCAUUGUAUGCUUCGUUGUUUGCACUGUUUUUUCAGGAGAAACUCAUCGGACCGACAUUCUUUACGAAGAAAGUUAUGUAAUCCAACACAAGCUAAUACAAGUUCUGCUUGAACAUUAAAAGGAAAAGGCGGUGCUGAUUUAAAAAUCUGAAAACAAGAUUUGAAGAUACCAAAAAUUAUCUUGAUCACAUUUCUCAAAGAUGCAUGAUGCAAGUUGAACAACUCAUUUUGAUUACUAGGAUCACGACCUUGACCUCUAAAAUCUUGUAGAACUUGGUACCUCUGAAUGGAGUUAAAAAAUUACGCCGAUUUGCAAAUCCAUAAUCAACUAAAUAAAGUUUUCUUGAAAUUCAUAUAUGAUAACAUUAUUAAUAGUUAUAUUAACAAAAAGAAUAAAAUAAAAAAUUAAAAAAAAAUAAAAAAAAUAUAAUAUGUAAUGCAUAUGAUGUGCUGUAAAUUUCAGCUCAAGGUUUUACCUUAGAUGACACACGAUACUACAAGUGCACAGUGAAUCGGUUGUGUAUUUAAGGAUCGAUCCCACAGAGAGUGAAUAACUACGCGAAUGAAUCCUGAAAAGAAAUCCAACUAAGAAAAACGAUUAAGGGGUUUUGGUUUGUUGUCACGUUGAAAACGAAAUAAGCAAAUAAAAUGAAGUUGUAAAUCAAUAAGAGAAAGGCGCUGGGCAUUAGGGAUUAUCUCAGGGUUUUCAUGGUUCUCUACAAAUCAAAUUAGAAGAUUAAUUAAUAAAUGUUGUCUACUAGAUUCCCGACUCAAAGCACUGGUAGUACACUUGAUCCUCUUUCGAGAAACCAAAUGUCUAAACCUCUAUACUCCGUUACUCAACUUUCGCAGGCAAUGACGCAUAGAGAUCAGCAGUUUUAACAAGUUUGAUAGGUCCACGACACUCCAUAACUCAACUUUCGCAGGUUAUGGCGCGAAGCUCUCGCAACCCUAGAUCUGAGAUCAAGUCACGCGGUUAGCGCUUCCCUCUCCCUGAGAUCAGAUACUCGUGAUCAAUCAAGUAUCAUGCAUUAAGAAUAAGAAGUCCAAGAGGAAUCAUAAAUAUAAAGUAAAAAAUCAGAUCUAACAACCUAACUAGUUUUGAACCAUGAAUCCCCUUUGAAUCACCCCAUCAAACCCAACAAAAAGAACUACUCGCUCAUGAUGCAAAGAAACGAAAUCAUAUUGAAUUGAAACAACAUAAUAAACGAUUCAAUAAUCAAAAAGGGUUCAAAGAAAACUUCUCUAAAUGUCACAGAAGAGAUCUUGUAUCCAAAAGCAAGAAAGAGUAGAAUAGAUGAAAGAAACAAUGAAGAACAGAUGAGAUCUUCAAAGGAUGGCUUCAGGAGAAGAGAGGCGGCGUCGGAUCUGGAGGAGAAGAGAGGCGGCUCUAGGGUUCUGAAGAAGGACGUGUGAGGCACUCUGAAGCAUACCCUAACCCUAGGCAAGAGCCUGUAUUUAUAGGCUUAGGGCUCGGGAAAUUGGAUUAGGGCUUCCGGGAUCAAAACUACGCCGUUUUGAUUAAUGAGGGUCGAAUUUGUCUGGACCGGUCACGUGAGCUGUGACCGGUGGUGGUGAAGGUCUGGCCGUCUGGGACCGAUCACGGCCUCUCUGGCCGGUCUGGGAGCAGCUCCACGAUCGGUCUCGUCUCUUCUGGCCGGUCUGCGACAGGCUUCAGUAGAUUGGGCGUGAAAAACAAUUGGCUCAUUGUAUCGACCUAAUUCCACUUCGACAUGAUUCUUGACUCCUUCAGCUUUCCAUAGAGACCAAGAACACUCAAUUUCAUGUACGGGAAGGUCUUCAACGAUGGCCAAACUUCUGAUGGUACGAAACUGUCCAGAAACGGGGUUUUGCUCGUCUUUUACUCCUUUUUGCCUGAAAACUCUCAAAAGCUUCUGGAAGCUUAAAUACUUGGAAAUGACCUUGAAGAUUCUCAAAACACCUGAAUUCUUCGUGAAAUACCUAUCAAAAACAUGCUUAAAAUGGGCCAAUAUAUGAUGUUAUCAGCAUAUGUAUAUACCUUCGGGAACAAGUAGCUUGCUCGCACUUCUCAUUAGAGCAUCACUUGAUACUUUUGAAUCGUGAGCUGUACCUUCCCAUCCACUAAGGACAUAUAUAAAUUCUAGAUCAAAGUUACAAGCAGCAAUAACAUUUUGUGAUGUAUAUCCUUUCCGAUUACGAUAGCUUGGUGCAUUAGAAGCAGGCACCAUUGCAUGAAUGUGUGUACCGUCAAUUACUCCAACGCAAUCCAGUAAAAAUCAUGAAUAUUUAAAUUGUUUUGAAGUGUACCUUGAAUAGAUUUCUUAGUAACCAUACCUUGAAAUAAGCAUAAUAGCUUGUGUUUUCUCUGAUUUUUGCAGGAACUGUGAGUCCAGGUUUGGCCAUCAUAUAUACUUGGUGCAAUAGUGUUUAGGAGUUACACAUCCCCUACAAGAUUAGAACCCGUGCUAAAACACAGGGUUGAACUUUUUAAAAGAUAAUUUUGUAAUCUUGAAGAUGGAACUACAUUAUGAAAACAACUUUGAAAAUUGUAAACAUUAUCAAUGAAAUGUCAUUAGAAAUAUAGGUUUCAAAGAACAAAUUAAUGAUAGUCAUUAAAGAUAAAAAUGUCAAAUACUAAUUUAUACAAUUUAAUUAAUUUAUAAAAAACGAAAAUACAUUAUUAAUUUUUAAAAUUUUGAAUAACCAAUCAAAAAGAACAUUUAAGAUUUGAUAUCUAACUUACCAUAUUAAUUUGUUAUUAAUCAUUAGACUUCACCUCUCAUAUUUAUAUGAUUUAAUAUUUGUGAAACAAAUAAAUUAUCAUAUCAUGUAUAUAAUAAAAAAUAUAGAUUUUUUUUUCCGCAUAUGGCAUGAUUUGAAUUUUUUAAAACGAAUAUAAAUGUAAAUUUUUCAAUCUGAAAAUAAAAAAUUAUAACGGGUCAAAAUUGUGAAUGAUCAAUAUAUUUUUUUAAAAUAAAAAUAUAUCUCUUUAUUAUUAAAACGGAAGUUCAAGAAAAAGCAAACUUCAUUAAGUGUAAACAAUCACAUCUUAAUGCCAUUAGAAAAAAAAUAAUCAAAAAAUAUAAGUUGAUUGCUUAAGGUUAAAUUAGUCAUUAACAUACAUCUUCUAAUUAAUGAAUUACACGCAUGUCCAUGGAUGAAAUAAAAAAAACUCGGAUCCAGGUAAAAUAAGUUUUGCCAAUCCUAUCUAUAACAAAUAUAAAUACAGAAAUUAAAAACUAUAGUAUACUAUUAGUUGAUGUAAAUAUGUUUUUUUUUUAUUCAUUCACCGGGAAACAAAUGUUUCCCGUAUUUUAUCAAGAAAAGUAAAUAAACGUCAUUACACACGGAUUAGCCUUGGUCGUGUUGACCCAAGGCUAUCCUCUCUGAAUAUUGAAUCCAAAGUAAUCGGAACAGAAUCAAAUGAAUGAAAACCUAAAGAAAGCGAAAACGCAUAGUUAGCUAAUCCAUCUGCAAGACGGUUAGCUUCCCUAUACACGUGAGAAAUCCGGACAAUCCAGUCCUUCGAUAAAAGGCCGUGGCAUAGUCGUACCAGGAAUGACAGCGGAUGUUGAUGUAAAUAUGUUGCAUCAACAAUUAGUUUUAAAACACAUAUUAUACAACAAUAUAAAUAACUAAACAUAUUUUCUUCAAGAGUGAAUAUAUAUUUAAUUUCUAAUCUACAUAAAUCUAACAUUUAUUUCAGAUUAUCCAUAUUAGUUUUAGAUUCUUUUUUUGUAAACUAACAUUUAUUUCAGAUUUUCUAAAAUAUAGAUAUUUAAAAGACUUUGUCAAGAUUUAAAAUUAUGAUUUUCUUAUCAUCUUUGUUUGAUUUUAUUUUUGAUUGUUUUGAAUCAUCAUCUAUAUAGUUUUUUAAAAGUCAUUUUGGAUUCCAAACACCUUUAUUCUAAUUAAUCUAUAUAACAUUUUUGAAGUACAUUUUGAAGAAAAGUCUUCGUUUUAAUAAGUACUUACAAAGAAUGUCAUUGUAUUUAAGAACAAUUUAAGAACCUCAUUAAGGGUAAUUUAGAAAUAUAAAAAAAUUAUAUACAUACAUCCAAACAAACUUCUACAAUUUCUCUACUAUCAAUAUAAUCAAACACAGUUAAACGAUUUUAAUUUUAAUUAUAAAAUCUGAAAUAUCCAUAUAAUAUUUUUUAUAGAUAUUUAGAAGAUUUUUUUAAGUUUAAAAUUAUGAUUCACUUAUCAUCUUUGUUUGAUAUUUUUUACUUUAUUUGAAUAAUCAUAUAAUACAUAAAAUAAAUAAAAAAAUAUAUUUUUUAUAUUUUUCGUGAUUCGAAUUGUGAAAAAUAGACAUGUAUUACUCAAUUAAUGAUGAAAAAUUGUGUUCAACGUCCCACUUAGGCUAAAAUUUUUAGACAAUAAUUCAGAAUCAAAUUAAAAAUAAGACCAAAAUGAUAUAAAUCUGAAUUAACAUAAAACUUAACUUAACGAACAUCUAUAUUAAAAAGUUUAUUUCCGGUUUAACUCGGUUUUUUAGUCAAACCGUUUAACUAUACCAUAUAUAUCUUCCUUUUUAAAAGGAGCUAACGAUACGAUGUUCAAGAUUUGCCAGAAGCCUUUUGGAGAGAGAAAGUUCGAAGAUCUGGCAAACUUUCAAAAUUUUAAAAUAUUAUGAAUACUUUACACUUCUAAAAAGUUUAAAAUAUCACGGGACGGAGAUAUAUGGCGAGACAGGUUUAAAAUAUUAUUGACUCGAUGUUGUAACACGGGUAAAUCAUCAUUUCUUUAUUUUCUUAUCACAUCAAUAAAAUACUAAACAUAUUAAAUUAAGUUGAUUAAAUUAUUAUUAUAUAAAAAAUAAAUUAUUCCGUGGUAUACCGCGGGUUAAAUUCUAGUUUAUAGGUAUUUUUAUAAACAAAUAUAAUAUUAAUAUUAUCCAUAUUAAUUAUUGCUAUUUUCUUUUGUGAAUUUACAUAUUUUUUUUCUUCUGUCAAGAUUUAAAAUUACGAAUCUCAUAUCUUCUUUGGUUGAUUUUAAUUUUAAUUGUUUUGAAUCAUCAUAUAAUACAUAAAAAUAAUAAAAAUCUAAAUUUUAUUCUGCAUAUAUUGUGAUUCGAAUUUUAUAAAACAGAUAUAUAUUACUCAAUUAAUAUAAAAAUGUAUGUUCAAUAUUCUAAAUCGGCUAAAAUAAUUAUAUUAUGAUUCAAUUUCAUAUUAUAAAUAAAAUCAAAAUGAGUCCAUAUCAGAAUAAGAAAGAAGUUUCACUUAAUAAGCAUCAAAAUUUAAAUUUUGUAUAUGGUUUAAUUCGAUUUUUUAUUGGAAAUAUUUAAUUUUACCGUAUUAUAAAAUUUUAAACUUUUAAUAAGUUUUAAAUAUUUGAUAUAUCUAAACUUAAUAAAAACUUUUAAAGUAUGAAUAUUUAAACAUAUUAAAAGUUUAAAAUACCAUGACCAGGUUAUAUUGCAAGACGGGUUAUAUGACGGGACGGGUAAUUAGAAUCGAUAUUACUAAAAUGUUAAAAUCUCAUUAAUAUGAUAUUUCAAUACGGGUUAAAUCCUCAUUUCACUAUUAUUAACAAUAUCAAUAUAAGACAUGUCAAAUCAAACUGAUUUAAUUAAUUAUGUACAGCAAAAAUUGUUCCACGGUAUACAGCUGGUUAAAUUCUAGAAUUAACAAUCAACAUACAAUUGUACAAUCUUAAAAACUAAACAAAACAAACAAAAUUAACAAACAUAUACAACUUUGUUGUGAAACUUAUUGUUAUCUUAUUCCAUUCCAUGAAUAACGAUACAUAUAUAUAGGCAUAUAAACCUAGGGUUUUAGAAUACAUAAUGAAUAACCCUGAUGGGCUUAUUGGGCCCGGUUAUAAGUCCAAUAUGAUGUAUUAUAACAAACUUAAAAUUUAAAUGUUUUAGAUAAAAGAAUUGUCUCGCGAUGUACCGCGGGUUAAUAUCUAUAUUAUUAUUUUUGAAGUAUAUUUUGACCAUAAUACUUAUUGGGUCAGUUUUAUUUUGAUCAGAAUACUUUAGUCGGAUCUAACUCAAAUAUUUGUUAAGAUUUAAUUAACAUUUUUCCUAAAAUAUCUCUACAUUUAUGAUUUUGGUAAAAUUUAAAAAAAAUAUCCAUAUAAUGUUCUACAAUUAAUAGUAUAGAUAUUUAGAAGAUUUUGUUAAUAUUUUAAAAUUAUGAUUCUCCUAUUUUCUUUGUUAAAUAUAUAUUUUUGUUUGCUUUGAAUAACCAUAUAAUACAUAAAAUUAAUGCAACUAUAAAAAAAUUAUGCAUUUGUCGUGAUUUGAAUUUAGAAAAACGGACAUGUAUUACUCAAGCAAUGAAAAAAAAUUGUAUGUUCAACAUCCUAUAUCGUCUAAAAUUUUAGACAAUGGCUGAGAGUCAUAUUAUAAAUAAGAUCAAAAUGAAUCUAAAUCCGAAUAAGCAAGAAGUUGAACUUAGCAAGUUUCCAAAUUUAAAAAUUUAUAUCCGGUUUAAUUCGGUUCUUUAGUCGAAACGUUUAAUCAUAACGGAUAUAAUAAAUUUUAAACUUUUAAAAAUUUUAAAAUAUUAUGAACAUUUACACUUAUAAAAAGUUUAAAAUAUCACGGGACAAGUUGUAUGGCGGAUCGGGUUUGAAUCGAUAUUAACAUAAAUUAGUUUUAAAAAUUAUUUUAUUAUUUUGCUAACAUCAUCAAUAUUAGAAUAUUAUACAUAUUUCAUUAAAUUGAUUCAAUUAUGAUUAUGUAAAAAAAAAUUUGUCCCGCGAUAUAUUGCGGAUUAUUGCUACUGAGUUAAUUAAAAUAUAUAUAUAUUAUAGUGAUUUUUUUUGUGCAACAUAUAAGUGUUCUUAAAAUUUUAAUAUAUAUAUGCCAAUUGAUUCAAUAAAGAGAAAAUGAAAUUCCCGUAUUAUAUAUGAUUGAUUUGUGGCUAGUAUGGUAACCCAAAACGUUUUCCUACAGAAUUGUAAUUAUACACCGAACAGAACAUGAUUUGACUCGACUUCUAUUCAUUUUUCUUUCCUUCCUCUGGUUUCACAAUCAACAAUAUCAACCAAGAACACAUUAAGGAAAGGCCUCACUUGAUCUUUUUAUCACUCCAAAGACACAUCCGAUUCAAUAUCCGGUCCUGUUUUUUAUAAACCGUUGAUCAAAACCAAGUAUAAACCGAUCACUAAUCAUAAAUAAUAUCACGUCGAUAAAAACAUAUCGCAAAUUAUGAAUUACAUGUGCAUACUGCAUAUGGACUUAUUUGCUAUUCCUUUUUAAGUUAUGAUUAUAAUGCCAGGUUACAUGAUAACAUUUGAUCCAGUAUAUGUGAAUGCUAGUUAAAGUGGUAAUGAAAUUAAUUAAAACUAGAUAUCAUAAAUCUAUAUUAUUAAUUGGGAAUCACUCAAAACUAACAAACCUUAUUUUGAUAGAUUAAUUACAAUAAAUGCCAUUAGAAUUAUUGAAUUUAAAACAAAAAAAAAGAAAAAGAUUCGAAAAAAAUAUAUUCAAAAAGUAUAUAUAUUUAUUUCACUGGAGCAUUAACAAUAUAUAUUCAAAAAGAUUUUUCUGCCUUUUGUAUCCAAAACUUAAACAAAGUAAAUUUACUGUUAUGAUUUAAUAAGAUUUCCAUAUAUAACAAUUGACAAUAAUAAAUUCAAAAUAAUUAAAAUGAAAAAUACAUCUGUUUACGAUUAAAUCAAAUCUUAAAUUAGUUUAUGAAAUCAUAUCACGAACAGUUAUUAUACUUGCCAAAUAUAACUCUAAUUAUAGAUUACUAUUUUUAUUUUUUUUAAAUCAAGCAUAUAACUGGAAUCUAUAUUUAAUACUUUGAUUCGCAAACAUAUUGUUAAGAUUAUAAUAGUCUGUUAACCCUAAAUAUUUAAACUGAAUUUUUGUAUCCUAUAAAUAUAGAAGUCGAUUAUUCAGUACUACUCACUAAUUAUACGUGUUUUCUAAAGGACUUCAAUGAAACACAUGGUGCUAUUUCUUGAAUCUUCUUCUCAUUUAUUAGCAAUGUGUUGUUCAUGUGUGAAUCUGUUGGUUGUUUUAUAUAAAAACAAUCGAUUGUUUUGACUUAAAUACAAAGAUAAAUCUAAACGUAUACAAAAAAAAUUCCUUUUAUUUUUCAUUUUGACAGGUAAACACCUUUCAUACUGCGAUACGUUUUCUACAUAUUACGGAUCUUGGCCAUCUAAUGCAAGGAAUAUUGAAUUCAUGUGGUUUGGAUUUUAUGUGUUUAGUUCUCGGUUUGUGUUGUAUUAUUGUAUUGUUUUUUGUUCUAACAUAUACAUAAAUACGACAUAUAAAAUAAUUCACAUAAAAAGAUUGAAACAAAUCAUUGAUCUUACAAAGCUAGACAGAGUGAAUGCAUACUUCUUUCAACAAAUUUGACACAAAUACAUGAGUAGACUAUAUUUCUAAAGAAAAAAUUCACUGAAGUAGGAAAAGUUGUAGAAAAGUAUCCAUAUCAAAGUAAGUGUUCUUUGAAUUAAUGUAACGGUAAAAAAUGAAUUAAGACGAGCACGAAGAGAAAUUGUCUAAGUUGUAGACAGGUAAAUGAAGUUCUAACGCUUGCAGUAGAACUCGAACAUGAAUUUUUGAUUCUCGAGUGUCCCUCAUGGCUGCAAAUCAACAUUCCAUAUUUGUACUAUCAAAAGUUAUUUAUGUCCUAUUUAAAUUUUAGGACGGGAUCGAGAUUGAACGGGAUGGGAUGAGAAUUCCUAAAAAAAUGUCGUAUAACAUGUUACAAUUAAAAUAAAACAUUGCUUGCAAUCAUAUAUUUAAAAUGUUUCUUUCAAAUUAUCUAGCAUAUAUAGCAUGUGCCAAAUAAAAGAUUUUGGGACGGGUAAAGUUUAUUUCAUGAUGGAAAUUUUGGGAAAUUUGGGUAUUUUCAAAAACAUAAUAGUGAAAUAUUGAGAAAAUAAAGAAAAUAUGGAUAACUUCCACUAAUUAUGUAAAAAUUAAAUACCUACAUGAAAAUACAUAAAAUACGGGUAUUCCAUCCGAAUCUUAGACCUACACGAUAUACAAUCACAAACGAGUAAAUCAACUCUUAUGUGAUUAAAUGUGUGUGGUAGAUAUGUGACCAUACAGAUUUUCUGUCUCAAAAUUGAUAUGUCUAUUUUCUCUCUCUUUUUGAUUAUGUAAUUGUCUUUACUGUAACCAAAAACAAAUCUGAUUAAUUAUUUUUUUUUUUUUUUUUUUUUUUUUUUUGACAAAAAUUAUUUUGUCUAAACAAAAUUGAAACUAAACCGAAUACCAAACUGAUAUGAGGUAGGAUAAUGAAUGUUAUACCAAAUAAAUACAUCUACAAACAUAAUCCCGCACGAAUGUGCGGGUCCGAAUCUAGUUAAUUAUAAUUAGGUAGAAUUAGGAAAAUAGUGAAUGCUAAUUAAAGUGGUUAUGAAAUCAGUUUAGAAUAUAUGUGAAAAUAAGAUAUCUUUGAAAUUAAGAUAGAAUGUUUGUGGAAGCCCCCUUGGCCCAUUGGUUGACCAAGGGUUAAUUAAUGCUUCUACACCAAGAGGUCUGGGGUUCGAGUCCCAGAUACUGCGAUUUAUUAAUAAAUUUGCAGAUUAAAUGAGGCAAGUGUGCAAGAGAUCUCCAGCGAAGUACAAUUAUAGCCGUUCGCCAGGAUUCUACGCAGAGAGAGAAGUGUCGUUAGGUCGUGGAUCAUUGAAGGUGUCCGUCAAGAGCAUGGAGAAAGAAGUGUCGUCUGUCGUGGAUCUAAUAAGGGUCGGAAGGAAUUGUCCGUUGUAGAAUCGUCUAUGUAACAGUUCUCAUAAUUUGCAAUAAAUAAUAAAUCUAGACGUCAAAAAAAAGAUAGAAUGUUUAAGGAAUAUGUUUUUAAUUGUGCUUUUGAGAUUUACGCAAACUAACUAGUCUGUGAGUACACUUCUUUGACUUUGCUCUUCAAUAGUGUUUAUGAUUACUCUAAAUUUGGCUUUCUUAUUUUUCGGAAAUUUUUGUAUUUUUAGUGUCUUGGAACCAAAUCUCAGACAAGCUACUGUCAGAUUUUGGAAAUCUAUAGAAAAUUCAAAGGCUGUAAGAAUAUGUUCCAAGUUCUAUCAAACUGUUUCUUUUUCUUUUUUUCUAACAGCUAUUGGUCUUUGUUGGUGUUGAGACUAUGUGUACUCUUUGUAUUCGUAUAAUUUAAGAUAAGAGAAGAACAAUGUUCUUUAUAUUUUUGUAAUAGAUAGAGGUUUGAAAUCAAGGUUUCAUGUUUGACUAUCUAUCUAUUGGGCUAUUGGGUCAACCCAUUUGAUUAUUUAACCAACUCAAUUUAAUGGAUCAUGGGUUGAUCCAACCCAUUUACUUAAAGGAUUGGGUUGACCAUAAUCCAUAUAACAUACUAUUUAUUGGGUAAUGGGUUUGAUUGGGUUGGAUUAUCCAUUUUGACAUCUCUAAAUAAAACCAUAACAUUUCAAUGUAGACAUUACUUUUUUUUCUAUAUAUACUCCUUCCGUUUCACAAAAAGUGUCAUUUUAAAAUUUUAUUUUUGUUUCACAAAGAGUGUCAUUUUGUAUUUCCAAAUUAAAUUUUUAAACCAAAUCUCAUAUCACUACAAAAAAAUGUGUGUUUUACAUCAUUUAUUUUCUAAUUUUAUAUCAGUUAUAAAUGAUGCAAAAAAAAUAACAUCACUUAAAAAAGUGACUCCAAAAGUGGUGAUGCAAAUAUUUUGUAUCAAUUCUUUGUAAAUCGAUGUUAACAUAUAUCAAUUAUAAAAAAUGAUGUUAAACUUUGAAUCAAUUAAUAUGAAUGAUGUUAAUAUUUGUAACGGUUAUACUAAUUGAUGCCAAUAAUCAUAUUUCUAUCACUUGUAUCAAUUGAUGUCAAAUUAGUAUCAAUUUUCAUAACUGAUUUAAAAUUUUUGUCAUUUGAAUUAAUUAAUUUGACAAUAAUUAAUUUGUUGUAAUUUAUUAUUAAUUUUUCAAUAAAUACGUAAAAUGAAAUAUAAAUUGGAAAUCAUUAUAUCAUUUUAUUAUAAUUAUAAUAGUACAACCAAUGGUAAAAAUUACAAACUAAAACAUAUAACUACAAAAAUCUAAAGCAAAAGUAUGAUUAAAAGUGUAGACACAAAUAAUAACUAGGUAAAGCUUAGCGGCAAGCCUUCUGUCAUUGAGGUGGUGGUUUUCUUUGUUUGAUAGGCUUCUAUAGAUGAAUGUAUGUUUUGUUCGUUUCAACUUCGUCUGCCAUAGUUUAAAUCCUGCAAGAAAAAAAAAGAUAAAUAAUUUAAAUCUUAUCACUUAUAAGAACUUGUUCCAAUGCUUUGAAAUAAACCAAGCUUGGGGAUAUAUUUAAUGUACUAUCUUAUAUCAUUUAGAAACUGAAAUUUAUAAAACCAAUAUGUAUAAUUUAGGAUUCUAUAGGAAAAAUCAAUGAACGAGUAAGAAAUUAGUACAUGAGAAGUGACAAAAUUACAGAGAAGCAAACAUGAGAUUUGAAAAUAGAAAGAGUUAGAAAGAAAAAAACACAAAUAUAAAGAAAAAACCAUGAACUUAUCUAAUCGAAUCGGCAAGAUUGAGAGGUGUUUAAACUUCUGUAGUUAAUGGUAAACCUUAUUGUUCAUCAAUGGUGGAUUUGAGUAUAGAAAGAAUGAGAGCGAGAGAGAAAACGAAAACAAGGUAAGUUGAUCUUUAGAAAAAAAAGAUGAUUUUUUUUUUUUUAAUUAGAGUAAACAGUUGUAGAAUAAUGUUUAUAGAACGUGAUUAGAGGGAGAGAUUUUAGGGAUUUCAGUUGUUAUAUCUGCCGAUAGAUAUAUUGCCAUUUGAUUUUUUUCACUAUUGUUUUUACUAUUGAUAUCAAUUAAUUACUUAAGUUAAAAUCAUUAAUAUUUUUAUUAUCAAUAAUUAAAGUUUAAACUAACAGGCCGAUAUUUUAAAUGAUGUAAACUAGCUUUUAUUAGUGUUAAAUGUUUUAACCGAUACAAGUUAGUAUCAAUUUAAUCCAACAGAUGUAAAAUGAGUAAAUAAUUACAUCGUUUUUGGAAUGUGAAGCUAAGUCACAUACAUAUUAGAAUCGUUUCUUAUUGAUGUAAAAUCUCUAUCAUUUUUUAAACGAUUUUAACAAAAAUGAGUGAAUACAUCGAUUACUUAAUUGAUGUCAACUCAUAUAUUUGUCUCAAUUCUUUACAAGUGAUGUAAACCAAUAUAGAUUUGUAUCAAUUUUAUUGACUCGAUGUAAAACAAAUCAAAAAUUAUAUCAGUUAUUAUAAUUGAUGUUAAACUACAAAAUUUGUAUCAUUUAUUAACAAAUAAUUUAAAAUAAUAUCAUUUAAUUUUGUGAUACUAUUUAUGUGAUGCAAUACACACUUUUUUUUGUAGUGUAUUUACCCCUACUAUUUUGAUUUAUUAAAUAGAAAAAAAAAUAUUUUUAGUGUUUUAGCGAAGGACAAAAGAGAGAUUUUUUUGUUUUUCUUAAUAUUUGUGAGAAUGGAUAGAAUGACACAUUUUAUGAACCAUAACGAGUAAGAAGUUUUGUCAAAGUCAUAAGUGGUAGAGCUCGUGGGUUAAAAAAACCUACAUAAAAAACAAAUAAAACUACUAAAAUCAAAGUUAUAAAAUAAUCAAUUACUAUGAUUUAGUAAAAACAAAAAUAAUAACUUAUGAAUACCUUAAUUAUUAUAUGAUACAUUAAUUGGAUUAGGCAUGAUAAUGUAAACCUAGAUUUUUUGCAUGGCAUUGCGUUCCGUAUAGCUUACUUAGUUUCUUUAAUAAAUUAUAAAUAUUUAAAUUAUAAAUAUUAUUAAACUUUUCAAAAUCUACCAUAUUUCUCACCCACACCGAUUAUGAUGUUUGACCACUAGAUAUAUUUGGGAUAUAUUUUAGAAGAAGCAUGUGUGCAAUUUGCAUGCGUUUUUUGUACAAACGAUGCAUUAAUAUUGCUUCAAGAAUUUGUUCUUGGUUCUUCCGAGAGAUCUUAGAUUAGUUUUGCUUGUUUCUUUCACAUAUCAUGCAAAGUAAACUCAUUAUUCUUGAAUUCAAGAAUUUGCUAUUUUGAUUCUUUUUCACGUAGUUUUUUUGGAAAGCUUAGUUUUUUGGUGUUCUAAUGGGGAUCGAACCAAAUGGAAUUGGUGGUUUGCAUGAUUAUUAUUUGUUAGCUCACAAAAUGUUUAUUUGUUAGCUAACAAAUUGUUUACACAACAACAAAAAUAAAAUAAAAUAAAAAAGUUAAAGAAACAUGAUUGUCACUCAAUCAUGAAGUUAAAAUUAUUUCUCUAUGUUUUAUAAUCUUCAUGAUUUAAAAUUUUGAUAUCAUUUUCAAGAAUUCAUGUGUGCGGAUUUUAAAAUCUUUGUAAAAUACUUUGGAUAUUAUGUUUCUAAUAGCUUAUACAUAUAACUUCAUUUGAAUUCAUAUACUUAAGGCUGUAAAUGGGAGUUGGGUUUAGAUGGAGUUGUUUGGUUUUUAAAGUUAGAAAAUGUAUUCUAGUUUUAAACUUUUCUACGGGUUUAUCUACUUACACCCCUUAACAGAGAUAACUCUAAGUGUAAGGUUUGUUAACAACGCCUGGUUGUUGCAACCAAUAGUCAAAAGGCUAUAAGACCGCCUGGUAGUAUAAGGAGUUCCCAUGAGAUUUAACAAACUGUCAAAUUUUUUUCUUUCGCUUUUAACCUAAGUUUUGGGCAUCAUAUCGAUGUACAUAAUUUGUGCUUGGACGCGAAUAGAACCAUAAGGAUUGAGUAUGUCUUUCCUUGGUAGACUAUAAUCUCGAGCAGUGUCUUGUUAAUACUUGGGAGGAAUGCCACAUGUUCACCAUAUUUCUUAUCUCUCUUACAUUGAACUUCAAAGAAUUUGCUGAGGUAGCAAUUCUUUUCAAUGCUAAACGGAUACAUUAUACUUGUCACAUUGUCGUUGGCAUGAUUUUUCAACAAAUGCUAAACUCGAAACUAGUACAAUUAGAGUCGGAAACGGUGUCAACCAGAACAUUCUUCUUCACUGAAACAAGUGAAAAGAUAUAUAUUUAAAAUAUUAAAAUCCAUCUAAAGAGGAGAGACUUUCUCUCAAAGUUAAAAUAAACCAAUGCAAAAAAGACUUAAAAGGGAAACAAUAUUUUAAGUCAUAAAAAUCAAAACAUUUAUCCUCUCCUUACCUCUGAUAUAGAUUUAUCAAAGUGUAAUGCUUAUAUGGGGAUGGAAUGGAAAGAUGAUUAUGUACAUAUAAUAUUUUGUAAUCGAAUUAUAAGAAAUUGACACAACAAUCCUUAGUAUACUUGUGCAAUUCAAUAUGAAUAUGAAAAAAAUUACGGCAGACAAAAUUACAAAGCAUCGAUCAUAUUUAUUUCAUAUGGAAUAGAAAAAAUAUAGUCAUACCAUUAGAGCAUCUCUAUCUAGGGUUUUUCAUUGAGAACAUGAUUUGACUCGGAUUUCUAUUUAUUUCUCUUUCCUUCCUCUGGUUUCACAAUCAACAAUAUCAACCAAGAACACAUUAAGGAAAGGUCUCACUCGAUCUUUUUUUUCACUCUAAAGACACAUCCGAUUCAAUAUUCGGUCCUGAUUUUUAUAAACCGUUGAUCAAAACCAAGUAUAAACCGAUCACUAAUCACAAAUAAUUUCACUUCGAUAAAAACAUAUCGCAAAUUAUGAACUACGUGUGCAUAUGGACUUAUUGGCCAUUUCUUUUUAAGUUAUGAUUAUAAUGCCUGGUUACAUGAUAACAUUUGAUUUGGUUUUAACAAAUACAUCGCAAAUCAAUAAAAUAAAAUAAGAGUAACUAGCCAUUUUUGAUGAUUUAAUUAAGAAUAUAGCAUCAUAUAUAUAUAAAUUAAGAAAAUAGCAUGUGAGGGUUGAGAAAAGACAAUUUUGGGGUGGAGUUGUUGUGAGAAAUGUCUAUCGUGGGGUUUGUGAAGCGAGCAAAAAGAGAGUAGAAGAGUGAAGUCUCUGAAGCUAUGAAAGAGAUUUUAAUAGCACUUAGUAUAACUUUCAUCCAUUUAUAUUUGUUUGCAUUAUACCUUUUCAAAAAAUUGGAUUCGAAAUCUCAAAUUUAUUAGCAUAUGACAUAGUUUGAAUUUUUAUACUCGGAUAUGAAUUUCAAAAAUGAUAAAUAGUGUUUGUAAGUAAAAAUAUGUUGUACUAUUUAGAAUAUAUAUGAAUACAAUGUUGUACUAUACUAUUUUCCAUUAAUCAUUCAUAAAUCAAUUUUAACUUUAAUAUAUUAAACGCUAAAUCGUAAACCCUAAACCAUGAAUGAUAUACCCUAUAAGAUAUAGCAUAGGGAACCGAAAAUGUCGAAACGUACGACAAAUAAGAAACGUUAUAUCAUAAAGAUACAACUUAGAAAACUCAAACAACCAAACUAAACGCACGCCAAAAACAAAUGUUAUAUCAUAAGACAUAUAUCAUAGUGAACCGCAUUUUUUGAUUAAACACAAGCCGAAUAAGAAACACUAUACCCUAAAAGAUACAACAUAAGGAACCCAAAUUACCAAAUUAAACGUUUUGUCUAUAUAGAACACGAAACAUAAAUGGUAUAGAACAAAAAAACACUGUAUCUUGUUUGUUGAUUUAAUCUCUAUAUCAAAUAAUUAAAUCUUUCAAUCAUGUGAAAAGUAAAAACCAGCAUGUUUUUGGCAUUCCAUAUAGUUUCAGCCAAGAAAAAUAAAAUAAAUUUAUUACGGCGAAAAUUUGCAUAAUUAGUUAAACAAGCUUUACAAAAUUUAAUCACUUUUGUAAAAUAGUACAGACUUUAAUUAAAUAGAAUAGUAACAUGUUUAAGGUUUCCAACCAUGGAAGCUGAAUCAGUUUCUAUAAGUGGCUAUUAUGUUUGCUUAGGAUUUUGAUGUUGGAAAGUUUAGGAUGAUCAAAAUCUUUAAUCGAAACAGAAUAAUGGCAUCUCCAAAACGAUGUAGUGAUGAUGGUGAUGCUAGCGGCCAUGGUGGUGAUCACGGCGGUGGAGGAAGUUGAAGUUGCAGCGGAGGAGGGAGCAUAAGAGGAGUGGUGGUGAGAGUGACGAGGAUAUAGAGGAUGCAGGUUGGAUUGCUGUUAGACCUCCAUUUCGAUCACGGCAGAGCCAACGAAGAAGAAGAACAUAACAAAAUAUAUAUAAAGCACUCAUAUCAGUAAAAAAUACUUACUCCCUAGUGACCAAUGUUAUGGUUAACCAAGUGUGACAAUCCCUUAAUAAUAUUAAUGUUAGUUUUCAUUGACUGUAAUCAUAACUCACAAGAACAUUUGAACAAUAUCGAAACGACACCGUUCCACGUUUUGUAAUAAUUUCAGAAUUUUUAAUAACCGAAAUCCGUAAAAUUCUCAAAACUCUUUGCAAAUAUAACAUAUUCUUUAAACUUUAAAAUUAAAACAAAUCUCUUUUUUUUUUAUAUAUAUUUAUCUAAACCAAGCAACUCCAUCUAAAUCCAACAUACACUAACACCCAUUAAAUAAUUUUUUUGAUCAUUGUUCAUAAACUCGGUCCUUGAGUUGAACAUCUUAUAUUAUAGCAUCGAUAGAUAAUAUAGUUUUGCAAAUUUGUUUAUGAACAAUGACUUAUAAGAUUAUGGACCAUUAAAAAUAUAUAAUAUAGUUUUGCAAAUUUGUUUUACAUACAAUGACUGAAAGAAAAUCACAAGAAUAAAUCAGAUUGCCCAAGGCUCAUUCAUCGUUGUAUAUUUGUAUGCUUUUUUUUUUUUUUUUUUCUCCAAUAGUGAACUUUAUUCAAACCAUUUGAUACAAGGCCAAGGAAAGCCCAACAUACAUGAACUGUUAACGAAGCAAACUAAAGGCCUAGAAGAAACCAACAGCGCACCACUUAUAGAAGAUAUUUUUGAUCGUAAAAGACCACUCAAAGACACGUGACAAGACACGUGGAAGAUGAGCAAAACAAGAUUUCCAUCAUCAUCCUUCUGUUGAAGGAUGAGUCUUCGAUUAAACCUGCAAUAAGACAAGAAGAAUUAGUCAGAGAAGAAGAAACAAAGCAAGACAAAGAAGGCGUCAAAGAGAAGAAGAAGCUUCGUGUGGAGGAGUCAACGAGAAUAUACAAGUCAACAAGAAAGAUGGUGUUGGUGUGAUGGGCAGAAAAGCCAAACGAAUUAAGUAUGUUUUUUGUUUGUAAACAAAGUUAGUAGCUAAGGAUAGUAUUAAUUAAAAUAUCUAGUGGAGUGUAGUUGUUAAAGGUGGCUUGGAGAAGUGAACCUAGUUCCUAGAAAUAUGGUCUAGUGGAAGAGUUUUGUCUAAAGUAGCAAGUGAGAUAAACCACUAUAUGUAUGUGGGUUGUGGGGUUGUGUGUUGAGUAUCUAAGCGAUCCGAAAACAAGAUGUAGUAUUCAAGUUUAUUCUCUCUAAGUUACUAAUCUGUUUUUGGUGUUUAUCAAACAGACGCAAAACAGAGAGUGAAACAUAUAACUAGAGAGAAGAGUUGAACUAACCUUAAGUGGUGAGAGUGAGGUUAGUGAGAAUACCAACACCUUCGCUAUCGGAGACAUCGAUUUUUCGGUGAAUGAACCAUCGCCGAGAUUACAUCGUCGGUAGAAUCGUCUGUUUUUCACCAGCAAUAGCAAAACAGUAACAUGGAGAUAUUUCAUAACGUUUAAACUCAACCAAAUUGCUAUAAUUAUCAAGAGAUUUGAGAUCCAACAAUAUGAGAAUAAAAUCCGAUCAAUCCAGAAACUGUUGAUUAAAACCAACCGAAGCUCUAAAAGCAAGUAACAGCUAAAGACAAUCCAAAUAUGCUGAGGAAAGUGUUUCACAUCUUCAUAUCUUUGCAAAGCGCAGAGAUCUUUUCCGUGAACCGCAAACUUAAAGGAUGCACUGGAAAAGAGACUUUUGAGCGAAAAUCGCCACAAACGCCGUAACCACCAGCACCGAUCCGACGAAGAAAAAACUAAAACAAACAACGGCAACAAAGACACCGUGGUAGAAACCGAGAAAAGAAAGAACCGAACAACGCCAGAGGAAAACUAAAGCUAGCCAUCGUCGCGAGAACCGAUCGAUGCUAGACAAGAAGCCAUCCAACCACCGCUAUAUGAGCUGAUAGCUGACGGACAGAUGCCGAAAUACAAACCGGACGGCUAAAAGGAAGAAUAAGCUACUCUCUCUCUAAAAGAUUUGAGAGAGAGAAGAGAGAGAAGAGAGAGAAGAGAGAGUAUUGUGUUAUAUUUGUAUGCUUAAACAAAGUUUAUAUAGUUUGUUAGGCGAACACAGUUCACUAGGACGGUCCUACUAGGACCCAACUAAUUACGACAGACAAGUGGAUCCGGUUGGAUAGUUUCGGGGCUACGACAAUGUUUUAAUGGUUUACUUCAAAUUAAAAAACUCAAAAUUCAAAAGCCGUUUGCUUUUUUUGAAAUCUACAUGACGGAUAAGAAGGAGAUCAUCGAUAUCUACAGUUCAGAUGAGGAAGACGAAGAAGAAGAAGAUGAUGAUAUCGAUGGCGAGAGUAGCGACGAAGACGAUUAUGAAGAAGAUGAUGAUGAUGAUGAUGAUGAUGAUGAUGAUGAAGAAGAUCGGAGUUUGAGGUAUUUGCGUAUUUUUGGCGGUGAUCUAUUUCUCGAUUUGAUUCUAGUUUUUGAUCGAUUCUGGAUUAAUUCGAUUUCAGUGGAGAUGAUAGCGAAUUGAGCGAAGAUGAUUCUACGGAUUCGAAUUCGGAUUCUGAUGACGACGAUGAAGACGAUGAUGAGGAAGACGAUGAUGAAGACUCUCUAGUUGAUAAAGUCACUCGUCUAUUCAAAGGUUUAUCAAUUUAGGGUUUUAUGAAUCUUAAUUUGUUCAUACUUGCUUCGGUUUGCAUCAAUUUAGGGUUUAUGAAUCUUGGUUGAUUGAUUAGUAACAAUCGUUUAUAUGGGUACAUUUUGCUUAAUAUUUGGGGAAAUCAUUGAAAUUUGAAUUGGAUCAUUCUAAGUCUAUGUUAGAAAUUGGGAAUGUUGUUGCUACAUAUCUUUCACUAAAAUCUCUGUUGGGAUUUGGUCUUUGGGAAACAAGAUUGACUCAGAAACAUUUCUUAGCUCAGAAGCUUUUUUAAGGUAAUCAAAGACUUGAGCUACUAUUGAGGUGAUCUGGUUCACUUUCGUAUAGAUUUUUAGUAAUAUGAAUUUUAAAGAAGUUUCUAUACCUGCCUUAUAGAGCUGCAUGUUUGUUUGAUAUGAAGCAGACUUUUAUCUGAAAUAUCAUCUUGUUCUCACAGAUUUUGGUUUGUUAAUGUCUUCCUCUAAAACUCCCCAGGUUCAUUUGGUGACUGAUCAGCUGAGCAAUAAACCCAAUUGAUUAUCACAAUGAUAUCUUAUGAAAGGUCCCAUCUCAUCUGUUUCCUUUACAAUCCUUUUUUUCCUCUCCCUGAGAUGAUGUGCUCUUUCUUACUGAGUGUGCGAUGUGUACUUUGUUGGUCGUCUUACAGAUUGAUGGUCAUAAGACUGAUUGUAUAAGAGUGUUGGUUGAUGUUGAGAGAGGUAGAGGCAGAGCUGUCCCAAACUGGCUUGGUGGUGACUUGGGACCUCAAGAGUUGGUGGAGAACCUCCCGUCCCGGUUACUGUCAGAGGAACCAAAAAGACCAUGGGAGGAGUGGUAACGAUAUAUUCACUUUCACUUUCAUUUCGUUUGCCUUGUUUUGGUGCUGAUAAUGCUGUGGCCUUUGUCUGCAGUGAGGAAUCUCGGGAUAAGGAGAAAGAAAGGGAAUGAUUGAGGUAAAGCAUCACAGACGCUAGGACCGAGGAGGCAGGGAGAGCAGACGGGAUCGUGCUACAAUGAAUCAUGUCAGAGACUGUGAUAGGAGCUGUAUGAUACAAACCAACGAAGUAAAAUGGUUCUUGUAGUUGUUGUACCAAAACAAUUUCCAAGUUUGUCAUCUUCUCUUUGAUUAUUUCUUUUGCUAUCUAUACUCUUAGGUAAUUUACACACUUUUUACAAUUACAAAUCAUUCAAAAAUAACGUAUGAAAAGUUCCAAGUUUUGUAUUUGUUCCUAAAGAAAUAGCUUAAACAAAGCAAAAAAAAUGUGCAGACGAUGCAUUUUAUAACUCCAAAAGAGACGCGUUGAGUUUCAAAUCAGCUUAAACAUGUUCUCAAAAUCCAUACGAUCCCAAACAGCAAACUAUCAUCAAAGAAAUUCACACAUCACAUGAGCAUACAGCACAUCACUAAUCCACUUUUGUCUUUAACAAUACACCAUUACAGAGACUUCGAAACUUACAUAAAACACUUUAUUCAAGUACCCGGUGGUAACAAGAACGAUUCGGACGUUGCAGCGGUUUGAAAUUGGGAUGUUGAAGCACUUGAAUCCCAAUUUAUGUCAAACUGCAGAACUUCAUUUUCUUCAUCACUGUCGACCAUUGGUUGUGCUCCAAGCUGCAACGAACGGAUCCGCUCCAACUCUACAGAUACUUCUCUCAUGGUUGGUCGUUUGGGACCUCUGGGACUCACGCACCUCCUAGCUAGACUUGCCACCGCUGUGACUUGUUCAAUGUUGUGAUUAUCUUUCAGCUUGACAUCAAUCACCUCGACCAAUCUACUCUCUUUAACUGCAAGAGCAAAGUCCCUCGCUAAGCACCUGUUUUGUUGAGUAACCGUCUUCUCACCUGUGAUAAGCUCUACCAACACAACACCAAAGCUAUAAACGUCGCUCUUGUCCGUGUACAACAUCGUUUGGAAAUAUUCUGGAUCCAUGUAACCGGCGGUACCUGCUACUUCAGUGAUCAAGUGUGUGUUGGCUACAUUUACGGACCUUGAAAUCCCAAAAUCAGACAGUUUGGCUUUACGGUUCUCAUCGAGCAUGAUGUUAGAGCUUUUUAUGUCCCGGUGAUAGAUCUUGAUUGAGGCGUCUGAGUGCAGGUACGACAAAGCUCCAGCAAUGUCUACUGCGAUGGCCAAACGCAGUUCCCAAGGGGAAUUAUCAGACCCAUGAUGAAGAAGAUUGGACAGGUCUCCGUUGGGGACAAAUUCAUACACCAAGGUUGGCACUUCUGUCUCGAGGCAACAUCCUAAGACUUUGACGAUGUUUCUGUGGUUGAUCUGCGCGAGGAUCACAAGCUCGUUGAUGAAAUGCUCGAGCCUGUGUUCAUCCACGGAUGUGGACUUCUUCACAGCGACUAUCCUACCAUCCACAAGCAUACCUUUGUAGACAGUACCUUGACCACCUUUUCCCAGCACCCUGUUAACGCUGAAGUUUUCUGUAGCUCUAUUGAGAUCGUUCGAAGUGAAGACUAUUAUCUUGUCAAUGCUGCCUGCCGUUGAAUUCAGCUGUUGUUGCAAGAGUAGACCACCAUUGCGUUUGAAGAAUCUCUUUUUUCGGUUGAUCUGCCUUUGUCUCUUGAUGAUAACGUAUAGCCAGAAGGCCACACCGACACUUAUCAACACACCAAAACUCGUGCCAACACCUGAAAAUGCACAAAAGAAAACUGAAUAAAGACACUCUGAUAACAAGACUCUGAUAAUUAAUACAAACAGAUGGGAGAGUGUGUGAACAAUAACUUCUUACAAUGUGACAAUAGUAUUCUUUGAUUCAAAGCCAUAAUGAAGAUGAUUAAGAAACAACUUUUAAAGAUCUUAACCAUUCUUCUUCGACCAAUUAACAACAAAGGAACACAAACUUUAUCAUACAGAGAGAUAAGAAACUGAUAUUUAACAUAUCAUUAUGUACCAUUAUUAUAUUUCUCAUGCAAUUUCGAUGGUAAAAUCUUUCAUAUAAAAAUAAUGAUAAUAACAAUAAUUCUCAUGCAUUUUCACCAUCCUGCAUCAUAUAUAUGUAUGUUUAUAUGUGUGUUCCGUCGCUUUGCAUUUUAUCCCAAAAUAUGUUGGAUAUAUAUGUAUCUUAUAUUUUCCAUAGAUCUUCAAGUCAAUCUGUGUGUUGAAUUAGGUUGUUAAACCUUCUUCUCCCUAAAGGAUCCUUUAGUUAAUUUGCACAGUAAGAUCUACCUAGCUAUUGUAUUAUACAUUUCUCAUCCAAAUCUGGCUUGAUUUUUGUCUUUUGACCAGAUAAGUUCAUCAAAAAUACAACAAAAAACAGAAUCCAAAAAUAAUUGAAAAUUGUCAGUUUUUAAUUGUCUUUUCAAUCAAAAUUUUUCCCAAAACGUUUCUUCUUAAACUAUGGCUGAAACAGAGCUUCACUAACUUUUAUUCUUAAACUACGGCUGAAACAGAGCUUCACUAAAACUCUUACCUAUUUCUAGACAAGAGAUUAUGAAUACAUAGAUUUAGUCAAAUUUAUGUACCUAUGAUAAUUGGUAACGCCUUGUUCUUAUGGAACACGCAGUGAUACCCUCCCGGAGUGUUAACACACAUGCUACCUCCUCUACAGUAUCUGGGACGUCCAUCAUUGUUGAGAAUUCGACACUCGUCGAUAUCUGUAAAUGAAAAACCAAAUAAUUGUUGUACUAAGCAAACAUUUAUGGUAAUACAAUAAAACCGAACGAGUCAGUUUCUCACCUUUGCAUCCACCUAAAAGAUACGGGUUACCAUUGUAACCACUGGAACAUGCACAAGUUGAAUACCCAAUCUCAUACUCAUACUCCGUUAGGUUAUGGCACUUGCAACGGUGAUCUGAGCACCCGAUAGAUGAGCGAUUCACAGUUUGAAUUGACCACCGUAGCUGCACCGUUGUAUGUUUCAUCGCAUAAAACCAUCUAGGAUCACUGAUUUUUGAGGAAGGAUAUCUAUCAAACUCAUCCGUCAAAAAUGCCACUUUGCACCUUCCUAUUGUUGUGUUUAUACUAUCACCUAGUAUACUGAGACCAGUCACCUGUCCGAUCACAUCAGGUGCUUUCUUUCUGCAGCAUAUGUAACCGUUGCAGCCUUUUUUAUCCAUUCUAGCUUCUGGCGCACAAGUGGAGACACAACCAACUAUUCUUGGCUCAAUUUUUCUCAAAGAAGCCUUGAUGUUGCAACCAAUACCAACAACGUCGUUAGCGCGACCAAUGACAAAAGGUGUGCCCGUCAAGUUCAAUACAUCUCCAACCUCAUUGCCAUCAAAUUUAAGAAAGACAUUGGUUGGAGAGCCGCAUCCUGUGGAAAAGAUGUCCAUUUGUAUGCGAAUCGACCCAUAUGGAGUUGAUGCCCGUUGCCUUGGAAGAUUGAUUUGCAAAACUGUUUUAUUUAUGCCCGGCAAGAAUGGCAGAAGCUGACCGGAAGCAGGAUUCCUAUGGCAUUGAACUUCGUGCCAUUUACUGAGGUAACAUGCCUCUCCGAUCCCGAACGGAUACGGGAUUGAAACACUUCCACAGUUUCUUUGGCAAUUGUUCUUAGCUAAUGCUGAACCAAAUAUAGCUAACGCUAAAUGCACCAACAAGAGAAACACGUUCUUCAUCUUAGACAGAAACAUGUUUUUCCUCUCAACAGAAACAGAGCAACGAGACACUUAACCGUAAGCCUUAAUUCUUCCUAUACCUAAGCAGAGAAAAAAUUUCUUCAGUAUAGAAUACCUUUUCACUUCAUAAGCCGAUAUACUGGAUCUUGUGUAAUUCCUUCUUUUUUUCGUGGUUUUGAUGCAGAGCAAUGAGCAGAGAAAUCAGAAAUGUUUGUUCUGGACUUGAUUUGCUUUUACCGGGAAACAUUUUGUUCUUUUCAUUUCAUUAAAACAAGUAUACGUAGUUUCCUAUAACAGAAGGUUGUUUUGUUGUCAAUGUCAACUUUUGUUUCAAAUAAAACAAAUACCCUGGAUUUUUGUAUAGCCUCCAUAUAUUUUUUUUUUUUUUUUUAAUUUCCAUUAGAAAAAACGUCCAACAACAUACAUGGCAAAUGCCCAAAUAGAGGCCACAGGCCCACACCAGAAAGAAACAAACCAUUUCUUGGAAUCAACAACCUACAAAAGAGAGAAACGAAAAGAGCAGAGGAACAUCACUGAAACAAUGAGAACCAAGUUGCUAGAAGGGUUAGAGCAGGAGGAAUACAACGCUGUUUUCUCGAGAGAGGGUCGAGUCUCGCCCUGGCGAUCAUCUUAAUUUCCUUGAUGAGCGAAGGCGCAGACCUAGGAGAGGCAGAAUGAAUGCGCUGGUUCCUUUCCCGCCAGAUUAAGUACAUGGAGGCUUGAUGAAGGAGCUUGAUUAUGAGAGUGAUAUUCUUGUUUCUCGAAACAGUAUCAACCCAAAGGAGACAGCUCAUAAACUUGGUUGGAGGAGUCAGGUUAGCCUUUGAAGUAAAGUAGCCCCAAAUGCUAGCACUGAAUCUGCAGGCAAAAAACAAAUGAUCCCUGGACUCAUCUUGGGAAUUACAAAGGAUGCAGAACGCCGGGACAGCCAAGCCCCAGUUCCUCAAUCUGUCUCUCGUAUGCAGCCUAUUCCAAGCAACAAUCCAAGAAAUGAAGGCAUGUUUUGGGAUGUUGCCACUGAACCACACAGACUUGUUCCAAGGUACCGUGGCUUGAGGAGGAUAGAGGGCAAGCCAAGUCUUAGACGCAGAGAAGGUGUUUGAGGGAGCAUGAUGAUCAUAUUUCCAUAGAUAUGAAUCGUCAUUCUGGCUCUCAAUCAUGUUCUCCGGACUUGGGAGGAUAUUUCUUAGUAAGGUGAUGGUCUGGUUCCUGCUUCUAGAAGAAGAAAGCCUCCAGGAGUUACCAGCCACAGCAUCCCUAACCACAGCAUCAAGAGGCAACCCAAUAGUUUGUGGACCAAGAGGACUUGUUAAAUCAAUAAGAGGCCCAUACCCUGUCCAAUUAUCCUGCCAAAACUUUGCAGUGAUACCAGACCCCAAUUCGCAGACAAACACUACAAGAAAACAGUCGUUUUACGACUACGACAAUAGUCACUACUUAGUCGUAAAACUGGAUAAUACGACUAGGUUACGACUAAUACCCGUAGUCGUAAAUAUUUAGUCGCUAAAAUAAAUAGUCGUAAAUUUAGUCGCCUUUUAACGACAAACAUACGACUAAUAUAUAUGAGUCAUAUAUUAGUCACUCAUUAGUCGUAACUUUUGAUGACUAUUUGGCGACUAUGUUACGAUUAAUCAACACUCAUAUAAGGUCUGUUUAGUGCAGUCGUAUACAUAGUCGUUAAUUUGUAGUGACUAAAUGGCGUCUAUUUUACGACUAUAAAUGCGACUAUUGUAAGACAGUCAUUACUUAGUCGUUAAUAAAAGCGACUAUAUUGCGACUAAUAUACGACUUUUUUAUGACUAAUUGGCGACUAUUGUUGCGACUAAUAUAAGAAUUUGGCAUUUCGGAUUUUGUUUUCAAAUUGUUUGGAUUCCGAUUUUGUUUCAUUUCCGAUUUUGUUUUGAAAUUGUUUGGAUUCAGAUUUUGUUUCAUUUCUAAGUUUGAUUCCAUAACCCAAACAACAUUAAUCUAAAACCAAAUAAAAAAAAAAGAACUCCAAAUCAAAUAAAAGCCAAAACACAUACAAAAGUACAUCAUUCACUAUCAAAGUACACAUACACACCAUUCACAAUCAAAGACACUUAUAAAAAACUGAGAGAGUGAUAAAGUUUUUGUUCAUGAUAAAAGAGAGAUGAAAAGGAGAAACCUAUGGAUCAUUUUGAGGAAGAGGCGAGAGAGGGUCUGUGGUUUCUUGAGGAGCUGAAUGAGUGGCCAUGAAGUCCAGGAAGUGCGGAUCGGUUUGCCGCAGAUACUUCUCUACCAAAGACAAGUGUGCGAGCUUCUCCUUUUGCUCAGCCGCUACUCGGGUUUGCUCAGCUUUACGGGCAGCUUCCUCAAGAUCUCUCUUUUCAUUAUAUGAUGCCUGCUCUUCUAUCUUGCGUUGAGCUUCCUUCAGCUGUUCUUGCAGAUCCAGAAAGGAUGUAGAUGAAGAUGAAGACUGUCCAUAGCGCUUGCGCUUGCCAAGAGUCUCUUUGAGGCUUCCAAUUCCAUACGGAAUUCCUCUAGAAUCUACCUCAGUGGACUGUAAAAAAGUAAGAGAACAGCUGAGAUUAGAGAAGGGUUAAUUGAACUCCAGAUUAUAUAAAUGUAAUUUGGAAAAUUGAAACUUAACCUGCAGAAAGAUGGUGGUGCAGUCCUCUGUUGUGAGCUCCCGGAGACGUGACUCGCCAUCUGAAACACUCGAAGCAUCUGCCUCUAGCUGAGACAACCUCAGUUCCAAAUUCUGCUGGUAUGUUGUUGCUAUUUUCUCCUCCUUCCGAUCAACAUACGUACCAUCUGGCUUAGUAUGGGUCUUGAUGAAAACCUCACCAAGACUGACCGCUCUUCCCAGUUGCUCUUCCUUCAUUGUAACCAAAUAACAUGUGUUAACCAGUCAUAAUGAAAAGAUAAAUAAAUAACAGAUAUAUGAAGUCACUGACCAUUUCAUCUUUGAUUUGUUGAAACGACUUAGGGCCUGAGAAAUGAACGUGAGGACCAAGUCCGCCACGGUCAGACUUGCGAACUUUUGAAUAUGUUUCACUCCUCUUCUUCGCUUCUUCAGUGUCCCAGUAGGUGCACAUUGUUUCCCAGAGAGUGUCACCAAUCCAUGGAGGUCGCUCUCGACUUGUCCUCGCUCCGCUAACCAUAUCUUUCAUCCGGCGCUGACAUAUAUCCUCAAAAUAAUAUUGCACGGUGCCUGUUAUCAAGGGAUCCCAAUGGUGUGUUUUCUACAAAAAAAAAAAGAAAAAAAAAAAAAAAAAAAAAAAAAAAAGCGGCUCAACAAUUACCUCAGACGGCAGUCAGCUUCAUGCUGCAGGCCACUCUAGACGAACAAAAUUUAACUAUGCAACAGGUCUGACGAAUAAGUCAAGUAAAUUAGCCAUCAUAGAACAAGAAACAACAACUCCAUAAACCAUAAAAUAAAGGCAGAAUAAGAAGUAAGCAAGAAUCAUACCAUGAGGUGUUUUCCACGGGUUCGGGACAGAGCACGGUGGUCCACUGUUCCCUACCAGGCACACUAAGCAACGCAUUCAAUGCCCGCAGCGAGUCCUCCUGCAGCUCCGGCAACUCGUGAGGAAUCUCGUCCUGGAAGUUGUUGCCUUGCGAGGAAGUCGUGUGGGGAUGAGCCUCACUAUGAGCCGGAGAAUCCUGAACAAUUGGCUGAGGAGUCGCUUGAGGCUGUGGGUUGUUCUCCACUUCUUCUGAGUGAGUCGCAUCAACUCCACGUGGUUGAGUUCCGGAGUUCUGGAAUAGUUGCUGAGGCGGUGGAUAGUCCCGGACUGUCGUUGCCUGAGCUUGUAAAUUAGCAGGUGGUACUUGAGGAGACUGCGUCGGAGGCACUUGGACCGCCGGAGUGAAGUUGUACUGACUGGGUAGACUAUUAGGUCGUAGACCAGGCGUCGUCCCUACGACUCUCUGAGAAACGUUAGGCACGUUUCUUCUCCUUCUUCCUCGGCCACCCAUCUGAGAGAUCUGAGAGAACUGGGGAAGAAUAUGGAAGUAAAUCGAUCGAUUUCAGUGAGAACUGGGGAAGAAGAAGAAGAAGAUCGAAGUAAAUCGAUCGAUUGGGGAAGAAAUCGAUCGAACAGAGAAAGAAAAAAUUAGGGUUUUCAGAGGCGAAAACCGAUCGAUCGAUUGGGGAAGAAGAAGAAGAAGAAGAUCGAAAGAAGAAGAAGAAGAAGAAGAAGAUCGAAAGAAGAAGAAGAAGAAGAAGAAGAAGAUCGAAAGAAGAAGAAGAUUAGGGUUGUGUCGUCAAUUGGCUCAUAAGUUAAUGGGCUUAUUGGGCUUGGACCGAGUAAUUGGCUCAUUUCAUUUAUUUUAGUCGCUAUUUAGACGUCAAUUAGUCGCAUAAUGUGAUAUAUAGUCGUUUAAAAGACGGUAAAAUGUCGCAUUUUUAUUUAAAACAUAAUAAACAUAAGUAGAUAACCUUAACAUAUAAACAUAAUUAAUAUCAUACAAAAAAACACAAGUACAAACAUAUAGAAAAUAUUUAGUAAGGUUCAUCGGAUUCUGGUUCUUCCUCAUCAGAAGACGAUAAAUUGCAUCGGAAUUCAUCUUCUGGUUCAGCAUCGCAGACAUCGUAAUCGAGUACUAUUGGGUUUGAUCUCUCUACCGGAUUGUCUAGUACAAGAUCUUCAAUUGUAGUCAUCAAAACAGCAUCAUCAUUUUCUGUUUGCAAAAGAGUCGGAUCAUUGGUUUCAUAUUCUCCUGAAAUGUUUCCUCUUGGAUUCACUUUUAGAACAUUGAGCCAAAUUUGCUUCGGUUUCUUUGUAUAUGGAUAUGGAAUAUAACAAACUUGAUCUGCUUGAGAGGCUGUAGACAUAAAAAUUUGCAUGAGAUUUAUAGAUAUAUAUAUAUAUAUAUAUAUAUAUAUAUAUAUAUAUGAUAUCAAGAAUAAAUGGUUGGUAUACAUAAGUACAUACCUAGAAUAAAUGGCUCGUAUUUAUUGUAUUUUCUCGAUGAUAGAACGUCUACUACGCCACCAUUUCUCCUCCGAGUACCUCGACCGAGUUUAGGGUCAUACCAGUUACACUUAAAAAGAGUGAUCCUCAAAUUGACCAUGCCUUCAUACUGGAGUUCAAUAAUAUCCGUUAAGGUUCCAUAGAAAUCUGCCUCAUCUGAUGCAUCCGUGUAAUUUUCACCUUUAACACACACACCAUAAUUACAUGUCUUUCGUCCAGCUCCGUGCUUCUGCGUAUGAAACAAAUAACCUCUUGUAAAGUACAUUGGCCAAGUUUUGACCUUGUUCAAAGGUCCAUGGACUAUCUCUUGAACCCAAGUAGGAAAUGGAUUAGUCGAGUUCCAAUAUGUAACCUGCAUAUAAAUAUAAACCAACAUCAAUACAAAAGUUGAAAUCCAUGCAUGUAGAAGUUAUUUAAUGACGUACAUAGUCUUUCACCCAUAAAUGAUAUUCUUCAGCUCUUUUCGUGGAGAGUUCUUUUUCGGUCAAAUCUGGAUAUUUUGUAGAUAAAAAAUCCUCGAACAUACUAUGCAAAACAGAAACAAAUAUAUUAGAAAUUAUCAUGUAUAUUACAAAUUAAAGAGUGAUUUUAGGAGAGAUAUUAACUUAUAUACCUCUCAAUUGGUUGAAAAUAGUCACAAUUUCGUAAAACAUAUGCAUGUGCGCAUUGAUAGUCUUUUUCGGAAAGCCAUUCUUCAUGCAUUUCCCCACUUGGCCUCCCGACGUGAGUAAAAAUAGUAGGUACUCCAGGGACAUGAUAUACAGGUACUUCGCCUUCAUCAAAUCUUGUUAACCUGAUCCAAAUGAGUUAAUUAAAAGUAAUUCACAUCAAAAAUAGUGAUCAAUGCAUUAAAUUACCUUGAUUUUGUUUGUAUAUGAUCGGCAAAGUAGUGCUCUGAGAAAUAAGCAAUCUCGUCAUUUAUAUAUGAUUCAACAAUUGAUCCUGCCGCAUAUCUUUUGUUCUUUGCUUUUCCUUUCAACUUUUUGAAAAACCUCUCAUAGGAUACAUCCACCUAUAUUGGACAGGUCCACCCAAUUCAGCUUCGUACGGGAGAUGUAUAGGCAGGUGCUCCAUCACAUCAAAAAAUGAUGGUGGAAAUAUCUUCUCCAAGUUGCAUAUGAUUAGGACAAUAUUCUGCUUUAAAAUCUGAACGCGACUACUCUGCAAAGUCCUCGAACAUAAGUCCCGGAAAAAUGCUCCAAUCCCUAUACAUACAAUUAAGAGGUUAAGUGUAUCAUCAAAACAUGUUUAAAGAUAAGUAGAAUAAAUACUAUAUGGAAUGUGUGAUUAUUAGUACCUGAUAACGCAAUGUGGACGUUCCGGUCUAGGAUUUCUGCAAAGAUAAAUGGAAGUAGUCGCUCCAUAAAAACAUGGCAAUCAUGACUCUUCAUGCCUGAAAACUUGCCAUUCUCCAUAUCAACACAACUAGCCAAGUCUGACGAAUAACCAUCUGGAAAUUUAACCGCAUGUUUCACACAUUCCAAUAAACUUGUUUUGGCAGCUGCUGUCAAUGUGUAAGCUGGAAAAGGAGCUUUACCCCGACUAUCAAUAUGUAACUGUGGCCGAGAACAAAAUUGUUCUAUAUCCAAUCUUGACAUGAUGUUGUCUUUUGAUUUACCCUUCACAUUCAUAAGAGUAUUCAUAAUGUUGUCCAAAAAAUUCUUCUCUGUGUGCAUCACAUCAAUAUUAUGACGAAGAUUGAGGUCCCUCCAAUACGGCAGCUCCCAUAGUAUGCUUUCCUUGUGCCAGUUAUGUUGCUUCCCAUAACCAGGCAUCUUCUUUUCGUGACCGUUUCCACCGACGUCCUUGGUACAUGGUGGAUUUACACCAUUCAACUUCUCGUAAUAAACUUGUUCACCGGUCAAAGAUUGAGGUGGAUACUCUUUAGAUGCGUCUCUUCCUCUUAGGAAGUCUUUUUUGUUCUUCCUUAAUGGAUGACCGUGAGGAAGAAAUCUUCGGUGACAAUCAAACCAACACGUCUUCCUUCCCUUAGGUAGAUAAAAAGACUUUGUAUCCUCCAUACAAAUUGGACAAGAUAAUUUUCCAUGGGUGGUCCAUCCUGAUAACAUGCUAUAUGCAGGAAAGUCGCUUAUCGUCCACAUCAGCACUGCCUUCAGAUUAAAAUUUUGAUUCAAAGAUACAUCGUAUGCAUCGAUCCCAGUAGACCACAACUCUUUUAACUCCUCAAUAAGCGGUUGGAGGAAGAUAUCGAGACUAGCUCGCGGAUGAUUAGGCCCUGAAUUCAGAAUUGUAAGAAACAAAUACUCUGUAUUCAUGCACAUACCAGGGGGUAAAUUGUAUGGAGUUAGGAUCACUGGCCACAACGAAUGAUUACGAGACAUGCCAAAUGGAUUGAACCCAUCUGUGCAUAAUCCAAGAUAAACGUUACGAGGUUCUUCGGUAAACCGGGGAUGUUGCUCUUGGAAAUAUUUCCACUCGGCCGCAUCAGAAGGAUGAUUCAUUUCUCCCUCCUUUGAUUGAUGCUCUGCAUGCCAUCGCAUUGCCGCUGCUGUCUUGUAGCUCUGAUACAUUCUCUUCAAUCGGUCACCAAUAGGUAGAUACCACAUACGACUAUAUGGUACUUUGGUUCGUCGACGGUCAUCCUUAGGCUUCCAUCUUUGUGCACCACAAAACCGACAUUGAUCUUCCUUUUCAUUUUCUUUCCAGAAAAGCAUACAAUUGUUCAUACAAACAUCAAUUGUAUGAUAAGGAAGACCUAAAUUGCGCAUCAAUUUCUCGGUAUGGUAAUGCGAACCGGUUGCCUGGUUUCCUUCUGGUAAAAAAUCAGUCAACAUUUGGCAAACCGAAUCCACACAUUUUUCACUCAUAUUAUGAUCCGCUUUGUUUUGCAUGACUCGAGCAGCUAACGAUAACUGCGACUGGCCUUCACGACAACCAUCGUAUAAUGGAUUUUUUGCACCUUCUAACAAGUCGUAGAAUUUCUUCGAAUGGUUUAGUACCGGUUCUUCCACAUUCUGAUAACUAAGAUCCUCAUAAUAGUUAUCAUCAACCCCCACAUUAUAACAAAAUGCAUCAUUCACCAUAUCCACAUAUGGAUCUUCUGCUACAUUACCCCCUACUUCAUAAUUCUCACUUACAUACGUCCUAUCAAUGUAACUUGGUCCUAUAUCCAUAUUGAGUUCCUCUCCAUGUUUAUACCAAACAUAAUAAUCUACCAUAAAUCCAUGACUAAACAGAUGACUCAUAACUCUUCUACCCGAGACGAUAUGUUUAUUGUUCUUGCAAACACUACAAGGACAGUGAAAUUUACCGCGAUUACUCUGGACUAUAGGCUGGCUAUUUGCAAACGUCAAGAAUUCCUCCACACCCGCUUCAAAUUCUUUUGAAAAAUUUCCCGUUGCUUCAUCGAACCUCUUGUACAUCCACUCUCGAUAAUUACCGCCGUCAUUACCGCCAUAAUUGUAAUUUCCCGCCAUUCCUCUAGAAUAAAUAACUAUAAACGUUUUUUUUUCUUAUAAACGCUCUGCUUUUUUUUUUCUUUUAAGUGUUGAUUAUGUUUGUUGUAAUGAAGAGAAGAGAGAGUGAUUUUUGUUAUAUAGACAAAUUUGGUGACUAAACAGCGACUAAAAUACGACUAUUACUUUUACUCGCCAAAAACCGGUACACCAACCCCAUCUACCUCUUCAUGAAAAAAACAUGUUUUUUACCGGCAUUUUACGACUAUUUACCGACUUUUUAACGACUAUUAUGCGACCCGCCGAAUGAGUCGCUAAAUAGUCGCCUAUUUAGCGACAACAGUCAUUAGUCAUUCAAUAUAGUCGCCUAUUUAGCGACUACAGUAAUUAGUCAUUCAAUAUAGUCGCCAAUUUAGCGACUAAAAUACGACUAUAGUCGGGGUUUUAAUUGUAGUCGUAUAAUAGUCGCUAAUUUACGACUAUUAGAAUGACUACAGUAUGUAGUCGUUAAUUAGCGACAAUACGACGACUAUAUAAUUGUAGUCGUAACAUUAGUCGUAUAAUAGUCGUAUAUUAGUCGUCUAAUUUAGCGACUAUACAAUUAGUCGCCGAUCGUAGUCGGUAAUCGCCUGUUUUCUUGUAGUGAAAGAAUGGUCUAGCAAGGGGUCUAAGUUUGCAAAGCUGUCUCCAAAUCCAACUACUUGAGGAAGCCGGGUUUAAAUCCCAGAAGCAUCUAUUACCAAUCAAAUUCAGGCGAAUCCAGGAAACCCAUAAAGAGCCAGCAGCUGAAAACAAAAGCCAAAUCAACUUUAAAGCAAGCACUUUAUUCCAUGCCGUUAAUCUCCUAAGACCAAGACCUCCACAAGCCUUAGAAGUGCAGACCACAUCCCAAGCAAUUUUUGCCCCUCGGGCUGAAUUGGGUGCGCCCUUCCAUAAAAAAGCGCAGCACAUCUGUUCAAGUUUGAGUAGGCAGUGAUUUGGAAGAAGGAAGAUAGAGGUCCAGAAGUUUAUGGUGGAAAAGAUGACCGAUUUCAGUAACUGUAAUCUUCCCGCAUAGGAGAGGUGUCUAGCAGUCCAAGAAGUGAAUCUGAGAUUAACCUUGUCAAUUAGGCGCUGAUAAUCUUGUUUUCUCAUCUUUUGAGCCAUUAGCGGGACUCCCAAGUAACGAACAGGGAGAGCACCUUGAGUGAGGUUAAAUUGGGCUGCCAUGGAACGAUUUCUCUCAAAAUCGCCACCAUCAAUCAAGAGGGCGAUUUUCUGUAUAUUGACUCCCAGACCAGAACCAGCUUUGAAGUCGUCUAAAAUUUGAAGGAUGCCAGCGAUAGAGGCAGCAGAACCAUCAGAAAAGACUAACACGUCGUCAGCGAAGCUCAGAUGAGUGACAAGAGGAGAAAAGCACUUAGGAUGAGGCUGGAAAAGACCACUAGCAGCGCCUUUGUCUAAGGAUCUAGACAGAACAUCCAUAACAAGAACAAAUAGAUGAGACGACAUAGGAUCCCCUUGUCGUAUCCCUUUCUUUCCUUGGAAGAAGCCAAUCAAUUCUCCAUUGAAGGCAAUGCUAUAAGAAGGAGAAGAAAUGCAAACCCAAAUCCAGUUGAUAAAAAUCUCAGGAAGCUGCAUUGCCUUAAGGAUAUUGAUGAGGAAGGUCCAAUUCACGUUGUCAUAGGCCUUUGAGAUAUCUAUUUGCAGGCAGCCUCUAGAAACUGCCCCAAUUGUGUGAAAGUUCUCAACUAGUUCAAAAGCAAGAAGAACAUUUUCACAGAGCAGUCUCCCUUUUAUAAAACCUACCUGAUUGCCUUGGACUGCAUCCGAGAUAAACAACUUGAGCCUCUUGGAUAACAGACGAGUGAUGAUUUUGUAGACUGUGUUACAACAAGCGACAGGUCUGAAUUUGGAUAACUGGUCAGCCCCUGGAUCUUUGGGAAUUAACGUGAUGGCAGUUGCGUUGAAUUUUUUUAGUAGAUGACCUGUCCUGAAAAAAUCCCUAACCGCCGCCACAGUGUUGUCCUUUACCACAGUCCAAGCCUCCCAAAAGAACUCGGCCGAAAAUCCAUCUGGUCCAGGAGCUUUGUUUUUUGGCAUGGAGAAGAGAGUUUGGAUGAUUUCUUCAUCGCUUGGAAUGGCUGUGAGUUUGGCAGCAAGAUCAGAGUUACACCGAAAUGGUUGAAGCUCUUGUAGCCUUUCAACAGAGAAAGGCUGAGAUAUGUCACUCGCAGAACCCAAAAGAUGAGAGUAGUAUGCAAUGAUCAUAUCCUUAAUCUGAUUGACAUUAUCCACCUUUUCAUUGUUCUCACCCCGGAGAUAAGUGAUAAUAUUUUUUGCUUGAUGAGCAAGAACCGCUCUGUGGAAAAAAGUUGUAUUGGCGUCUCCUUCUAGCAACCAGCGAAUCCUGGAUUUCUGCUUGUAGAAAGACUCUAAGGCAGUCGCAAAAAAAUCCCAUUUUUUCUAGCAACAUGCUCCUCUCUGAAAAGAGAAUCAGACGGAGAAGAGAGUAAUUCCGAUUGGAUAUUCUCUAAGGCCAACAGAGCAUCCUUGGUCUUUUGCUGGAUAUUACCAAAACCAAUCCUGUUCAAUCUCUUGCAACAAAUCUUAGCCGCCUUUAGGUGUUCACCAAGAGAAAACAUAGCUGAGCCCACCAUAAUCUGUUCUUCCCAAACAGCCAAAAUAGAAGAGAUGAAAUCUGGAUGUGUGGAAAGGAAGGAGAAGUACCUGAAACAUUUUUUUGAUCUCGCAGGUUGAGUGUCUAAAUUGAUGAUGCAAGGAGCAUGGUCAGAUUCGCCAGGAGGAUCAAAAACAGCCACUGCAUUAGGGAAAGUAGAGAACCACUCACCAUUUGCUAAGGCUCUGUCCAGUUUCCUUAUUAUGGGAUUGUCAUCCUGAUGAUUAGACCAAGUGUAAUAAACCCCACGACUAGGAAUAUCAUCCAGCUCAUUAUCCCUUAAGCAAUUCUGCAAAUCCUCCAUUCCAUUUAAAGACAUAGUAGAAUGAAUAACCGAGAAGUGCUCAGAAGAAUUCGCAAUCUGGUUAAAGUCUCCAACCAAAGCCCAAGGAGUAGUAUUUAGGGGAGAAGAAGAAGAUAACGCAGAGAUAUCAUCCCACAAAAACCUUCUCGCCGCUGGGGUGUUUCUUCCGUAGACAAAAGCGAUCACAAAGGAUCGAACAACAUUAGGCAGCUUUAUACUGCAGAGAAUCAGCUGAUCUGACUUCUUGAAAACCACACCUGAGACCGAUGGAUGCCAAACAACCAAAAUACGUCCCAAAUCUGAGAAACUAUAAUUAUUAUCCGAACGCCAACCAGGAAGAGUGGAGGCUAAGACUGAAGAAGCGUUGUCUUCAGAGACAUGGGUUUCCAAAAAAGAACCAACCAAUAAACUAUUGGAAGCAACCCAACUUCUGACCAUUCUCUGUCGGCCAUGGCUAUUCAAGCCUCUUAUAUUCCAACAAAAAACCCUCAUAAUGAACAAAAGGGGAGGGGUUGAAAGCUGAGCUUUCAGAGAUGAGCUGUUCCGCUCGAGGACGCGCCUUGAACGGGAACAUAAACUGCAGGAGACUUAGAACUUAUAUGGUUAUGCCAUUUCUUCAAUAGUUUUUUCCUCUGUUUUUUUGACAUGACGCCCCAGCCUGGUGGUAUAGGAAAAUUGGGAUCAAUCUCCUUGCCUUUCUCUCUACUUGUGACUUUGUCCUUCCCAUGUUUUUUCUUAUCCUCAACAAAACCAGAAAGAGUUCCUUCAGGAGGAGUAGUCUUCGAUGGAGCAAUCACUGCAGAGUUAACCCGUAAGGCCUUCCCUUUAACAAGAUGAUCCUGAGGAGGUAUGAUGAUCAAGGUAGAGGUCGCUGGACCUUGAGUAGAAGGUGGGGAGCUUCUUGAUCUUUUGCUUGAUCGAGAUCUCCUUCUUUUUGGCUUAAUGGUCUCUGAAUCCGGAAUAACCUGAUUGUCCCCAAUUGGCAACACAGAAUCUGACCGAGAAGGGAGGAUGACUGAAGGAUGAGCCACAUCAGAAGAACCUGCGGGAAUGAUUUUCUUGAAAGGAGACUUCUUCAAGAGUGGAGAAGGACAUCGACUAAGCAAGUGACCAUACUUACCACAAUUGAGGCAAUGAGGAGGUGGACGCGGAUAUUCCACCUCAAUACGAGCUUUGUUCCCUUGAACAUCUCUGACUAUGACAGUGGUGGGAAGAAUCUUAUCAAGCUUAAUGACAACUUUCACCUUUGUCAUACCCAUAUUGAUCGGAUCAAGCCUCGACUUCUCAGUGUGAAGAGGCUCACCUAUACCACUGGCGAUGACACUAAUACCGUCAAAAGAAUAUAAUUGAGGAGGGACGUUUUUCAGAAUCGCCCACGUCGGAGCAGUCUGCAACUCUUCUAAUUCCGAAAGGCCUUCUGGAGACCAAGGGUAAACUGUGCAAGAACAGUUACCAGCUUGCCAGAAUCCCACAUCAACAACCCAAUCACGAGUGGCAACUGAGGGAAUGAAGAUCAGAGAGGCCGUUUCUGAUAUCACUCUCACUGUGAUAUUACCGUAUCUACCCCAGAUAGGAUUCAGGUCAUUGAAAAUCCUCAGAAGACGUGGGACAGAGACCAUGGAAUUGCGCAAUCAAAUGCCCCUUCCACAUCUCAGCCGUCUAAAGAAGAACUGAAGCCGGAGCAGUGACAACAGGAGUACCAUCCUCGAGAAAGGUUGGUGAGGACAUCUGUUUUAGGUUCCUGAGAGAAGCCUUAAACUUCUGAGCCCAAGGAAGAAUCACAUUCGACUUGUUUGGUCCGUUUUCUUGCUGCAGAACAACAGAAGGAGAUGGAGGCAGGAUUGCUUCAGACUUGGUCGAGCUUCCUGGAGGUGAGGGUGAAACCACAGUGGAGGAGAUCUCAGACACCGUGUGUACCACGAUAGGAGAUUCGGCCACAAUUUUAGGAGAAACAACAGGAGAAUCCUUAAUCUCACCAAAAUUGUCAGGUCGAAGAGGAAUUGAAGACUGAGAGAUGGUUGUCGGAAUUAACUCCUGUUCCGGAGACGAGGGAAGAAUUCCCAUUAUCUCAACAGUAGAGGAAUCAACCAAAUCGACCGGAGAGAACUUUAUCGGUAUGGAUCCGGCGGGGGCCGAAACCCGAGAGCGAGAGACUGGCUUAACAGUGGAGGCAGAGGAAACACGAGCAAACUUGGAGGUGACCGGAACAUGCCAUUUCGGCCGAGCUUUCUUCGCCGGCAUCAAGAAUUCUCACCCAACGGCGUGUGGCCGGGAGGCGGCGGCGAUUAGGGUUACGGAAACUAAUCGCCUUUGGAAUCGCACGAAGAGAGAGAAAAUCCUUUUUUCGUCGACUCAGCUUUUUUAUUUUGUUGCUCGUUAGCCUCCAUUUUUCAUCCAGUAAAAGUUAAAAAGAAUUAAAGAACAAAGAUUCGUCCCAAGAAGAAAAAAAAAAUGUCCCGGCAAAAGCAAAUCAAGUCCAGAAAAAACAUUCAUCUUCUCAUUGCUCUACGUCAAAACAGCAAAAAAAGGAAUCACACAAGAUCAUGUAUAUCUUCUUAUGAAGUGAAACGAACAGAGAGAUUUAAUGCUCCAGCCUACGAGCCUAAUAGUCUGUACAGUUGGAAUAGGACACAAGCUCCUUAUAAAGUACCCGACGAAGGAAACCAAGCUUCCAAGUCAUACUUUUUUGCAGCUGCAUCAUUCAAUGCUCCAGAGACGACCAAGACGAUUUGGUAUGGAAAGGUUUAGCUGGUUAGAAAACUAUUGGGAAUUCAUAAGGUUUCCCAUCUCAUCAUCCGAGUUCUUCAUCAUCUCAUCGACCAUUUCCCACGAAGCAUUCUCGUAGAGAACUAGUGAUGCAAACCUGGUGAACACGGAAAAUGCCACGUGUGUCUCUUUCAUGGGAACCAGCUUCUGUUCUAAAGCAGGACGAGUAAGAAACGAUCGUCUUAAAGCUGCGACUAUCUUUAUUUAUAUAUUUAUAUAAUAUACCUUAGGGGACGAUCAGUCGGAUGGAUCCACUCAGAAGCCGGUCCAAAAGGGCUCUGAGACCAGAAAAGAAACAUACGUUUACCAAAGUAUGGAAACACAAAUCCUUGUGGCUUGUGAGUUGACUAGUGAAGCUAGCAUAUCCAUCAGAAGAUCCAAAAAUAGCGCUGAGACAAGAAAAGAAACAUAUAUUGAUCAUCAGUCUCCAUUAAACCAGAAGCAGAAAGAUAGACAGAAACAAACUCAAGACUUAAAAAGAGACCUGCAUUGAUUUGAAGAGCUGAAAACUGAUCACACCUUCGUUUUUGUUUCCCUUUUAGGCCUGACAUUCGAAAUCAGAAAUCAUCAACUUAUGCACAAACAACAUUAACUGCAUCAGCAAACACAACGGUAACUUCUUUCUCAAACUCCGAAGACCUGUCCCAGUCCGGUUUUUAUAAAUCGUUGGUCAAAACUCAAAAUCAAAUGUUAACCGAUCACUUAUCACAAAUAAUAUCACGUCAAUGACCGUAACUUAUUAAAUACGUGUACAUUUGGAAUUUUUGCCAAUUCUUUUGAUAUCUAUCUCUCUCUCUAUAUAUAUACUAGAUUUACUCGCCCGCGCAUCAAAUUUUAACUGGCUACAAUACAAAAUGUUAAAAAUAAUCAUAAUCAUUUGAAUUUCAAAAACUAUAUAUAUAUAUAUAUAUAUAUAUAUAUAUAUAUAUAUUCAUACUUAUUUUACAAAACAAUAUACAACAUAGAAAUUAUAAAAUAUAUUUGGUAGAUACCACGUAAUAACAAAAGUUAUAUAAGAUCAAUCGGUCUCGGUAGUCAUCAAUGAACUUUUAUCAAAAAGAGAGUUAUUUCCAUAAACAAAUCUUGUAAGUAUAUUUGUCGUGAUGUUUUGUUGAUCUAUUCGUACCUCAUACUAAAAGUAAAUUUGCUGAGUUUGAACAUCAAUUUAUGAAAAUGUAUAAACGUUAUAUUCAUGCCGUUUCAAUAGGUUUGGAGAGCACAUUUUACCUAUUGAAGCAAGACCAUCAUACCUUAAAGAAAGUUUUGACCAAAUCAUGAAUGUUUUUAUCUUAUCUAUCCUACUACGCUUACAUGGCUCGACGAUUUAACUCGAGGUUGAAUAUGUUAGUCUGGUUUAUAGUCUGGUUUACUAAACCAAACUAUCCAAUAAUGCAUACAUAUAUCUGAUGCUUCAAGCAUUACUAAAUUUCUCUUCAAACAUUUUUUCGUCAUCUUCUAUAAUGCACUUGUUCGCUACCCAACAUCUACUAUUCUUUUAUCUUCUAUGCUCACUUACAUAUAAUAAAACUUUAAAUUGAUUCUUAAUUCAAAACUAUUUCCUCAUUUUCAUCUUCUUAGUUUAUUUUUCUUUUAUUAAUUAUAUGGUUUUCACGCUUUAACGUAAUAUAAUUUUACGAAAGAUAUAUAUUUGUUAAAAUUUCUUCAACAGUAUUUAUUUAGAUUCUUAAUUACCUAUAUUUAAGCAACUUCACCUUUUUAUUUAGAAAGCAAACAAUAAUAUAGAUAUAAUUAUAUUAUUUUAAUUCUUAUAUUUUAAUAUAAUUUAAUAUUAAGAUACAAUUAAUCUUUCUAUUUUUUCGUCAAUGUGAAUUUAUACUAUUACUCUCUUGAAAUAUAGUUUUCAAUUUUAAAUAUAAAUUAUUUCUUAUAUCUUAAAAAACUUAUACAAUCAUACAUUUACUAUAACAUUUAACCAUUUAUUUUCUAAAUAUAAAAAUAAUAUUAUUUUAAAUAAAUUUCUUCCACUUCAUUAUUAUCUCUUAAAGUUAAUGUUUCAAUGAAAUAUGAAUAUCUUCUUAUUAUUAAAAACAAAAAACUCUUAUAGUCUUCCAUUUCAAUUGAAUUCUUUUGUUCAUCCUAAAUUAUAUUUGAGGUUUUCUUAUUAAACGUUUUUUUAUUUUUAAUAAGUUCUUAUUUGUUUGUAAUUGUAUAAUAAAUUUCAUUAAGAAUCCUUUUGUCCAUCUUAAAUAGCAUUAGUAUUCCUAUGAAAUUUUCAAAUAUUUUGAAAUAAUUAUUAGUGGGAUCCAUAAUAUUAAUUUGGUGAUGAUGUGGACACCCUAAGAGGAGAAAAACUCUCCCAUUAUAUAUAUAGAUUGCUAAGUUAAUAAAUUUUCUUAAUAAAUCAGAGUAACACAAUUAAUGUUUUUUCUUUUCAUUUUGAGGGUCAAAGAGUUAAACAGUUAAUGAUAAUCUCUCUACUAAUUAAUAGUCAACAGUUUCCAAAUUAAUGAAUAUCUUUACUAAUUAAAUCUAUACAACUUUUAUAUAUAACACAUUAGCCAAAAAAAUUAAAAAAAACUCUCGUAGAAAACAAAAAUGAAGAACAAGUCAAUUUAUGGCUAUAUCAUCAUCGUCGUCACAUUAUUGUCGGUCGUGGCUCGAGUCACCCUAGCUCAACCUCCAAAGGGACAUCCAGGAGCCGAUAUCAACCCGCAACAAACUCUUGCGGCUCAUAACAAAGCCCGAGCAGAAGAUGGGGUGGGUCCAAUGGUGUGGAACGAUACUCUUGCAGCCUAUGCACAGAGCUUUGCUAACAAACGUAUCGGAGAUUGUGCUCUAACGCAUUCCUCGGGACCUUAUGGUGAGAAUAUUAUUCUCGGGAGAUAUCCGGACUCCAACCUGAGCGGACCCGUCGCGG